RNAcentral lists this long non-coding RNA (160242 nucleotides) under Capsicum annuum. RNAcentral describes it as "long non-coding RNA (CANN_LNC021846)". Lineage: Eukaryota; Viridiplantae; Streptophyta; Magnoliopsida; Solanales; Solanaceae. The record is from RNAcentral.
UAUUAAUGUAUAGAAUUUAAAUUUAUAAGAUAUUACCUGUUGUCAUGAGUGCAGACUUGAUAGCUGUUGGAGAUCAAUUAGGAUGUGCAGCUUUGAGGAGUGCAACAAUUCCUGCGACAUGAGGGGCUGACAUGGAUGUUCCUCACAUGAUGUUGAAUCCAUUGUAUCCUCCUAGAGCGGGAGGAAAUGCUAUGAGUAUAUUAACUCCAAGAGCUGCAAUAUCGGACUGUAAUGAUAUAUAUUUUAGUAAAACUUAUAAGUCACUUUCAAAAAAUAUAAUAAAAUAAUUCAGUGAGAGAAAUUAUCAAACUAAAAGACGAUAAAAAUUAUUAAAUCAUUUUUAUAUUUACCUUUAGAAUUUCUGGGGCAAAGAAAUUGGGGACUCUUGAGGAGAAUCUAGCACCUUUAUGUAUGCCUCCUUGCCGUCACGAAUUUGAGUUUGUCCAUAUUUAAUUAUUGGAUCUUGAUUGCUGUUACAAAUGAUGAAUCAAUUCAGUGAUGUAUAAUAUAACAAGAAAACUAGAGGUACCUUGGCAUGAUAAAAGUCAUUUUAUUUUAUUAUUUUUAAAAGUUAAUUGUUUCUCAGAAAUUAAAUCAUUUCCUCAAAUUUAAAAAGUUCUCUUGUGUUUGGUCGGAGAAUGGAUAAGGUUUCCAAGAAAAUAAUAUUUAUUAGAGAUUGAUAAUAAUAUUAGCACAAGAUAAUACUCCCCGUCCCAUUUUAUCCGUCUCAAAUUGGGAUGAUACAGCUAUUAAGAAAAUAAUGAUUGGUAAUGUAACUUUAUCGUUUUGCCCCUCUUAAUUGUGUCUUGUUGUUAGUUUCAAUAUUGAUGGAUGACCAAUACCAAAACACCAUUUAUAUUCUUAAUGAUGUACUUUUAAUGGUACUCUUUUUUGCAACAUUUUUCAAGAAUACUAAUAACAAGGAGCAAGCAAUUACACUAAGGGUAUAAUGGGAGAAAAAAUUGUCUUGUCUUGAUAAGUAAAAAAGGAUAAGUAAAAUGGGACACUAAAUUAGAAAAUUUGGAAUGAAUAAAAUGGGACGGAGGAAGUAUUUAACAACAAAGCAUAAUUAUUACAUAUUACUAAUAAUAUGUAAGUGUUGGUUAAAAUUAAUGACGUGAAGAUAAGAGUUAGAGACAAUUGCAUGCGACUUCCAUCCAAGAGCUAGGAAGGUCAUUUUUUUUUUUUUUUGGUAAAAUAAUUUUCUCCAUUUUUAGUGAUCUGACUUCUAAAAAUAUUUUUAACUCGUAUCAAAUAUACCUUAAAAUAUUCAAAAAUAGGAAAAGAAAAGAAUAAAAUGAAGAAGGAACGGAGCAGGAGAAAAAUAUGUUUACUUUGAUAUACGUUGUUGAUAAUAAUCAAAAAUUUGAUUUCCUUGCUCGAAAUCAACGGUUAAAAAAGGUUUAGGAUUUCGAGUAAGUUCAGUGACGUCAAGGAGUUGAUCAGCGGGAACUGUAGCAAAAAUAUAAGCCAAAACUCCUCUAUCCUCUACAGCCUCUACACAUUCAGCUAUAUCUCCAUUUUUUUUGAAAGAAAAGCAUUAGAACUUUUCCUUUUAGUCCACUAGCAAUAAAUUUAAGGUCUUCAGCACUGCAAUAUUUGAAAAUGCAAGUAUUAGCAUGUAUAGAUAAAUAUUUUAAAAAAUGGUUUUAGUGAGAAACUACAAUAACUCUCGGGCCUUUAUGCCAAAAAUAUUCUUUAUCUAAACUAUUUUGUCAAAUACCCACAAGUUUUAAAUUCUUUGUCAAAUACCCACUUAAUUCCCCCUCACCACCAACUUUUCCAACUUAACAAUUUCAGCCUCAACCUUUAUAAUAAUUCACUUUAACUCAAUACUUCCAACUUAAUAAAUUCACCCAUAAGUUUCUAAUAAUACACUUCAACCCACUCCAUUAUCCACCACUAUAUAUAUAAAAAUAAUAUCUAGGUUUUCAAAAAUAUUAAAAAAAAUAAUUCCAAAAGCUAAAAAUAGAAAGUGGUUAUUUUUUCCACCAAAAAGCUCCGAAUCCGGCCACUUUUUCAGUGUUAUUUUCCGGCGAUCAGCUAUAAAUUAGUCCAGAAACAUCAUAAGCUUGUCCAUUGCAUCCAUUGUUACCCCAUUUGUUUCCUAUCUUCCCAAACACACUUUCCACCAUUGUUAAAAAGCUUUAAAUCACUCACAUUACUCAAAGCCACUUUAGAAAGUGCAUUACAGCAGCUCAGGUGACUCCAAGUUCAUUUCUUUAUUCCACAAACCCAACAAUCAUUGAUUACAAGUGAUAUUUGCAAUUUCAAGUAAUUGUACGAAAAUCUGCGCAAUCAUCGACCCAUCUUGGCCAGUCAUCGACCGUGCAUACAACACGACAUAGACCAUAAGCAUAAUCUACCAUCGACUGAAGCUUAAUUCUAGGAUGUCUAUUCCAAAAUUUGUUCUGGUUUCUGGUGAUUUCAUGGGAGAAUGGGUGGAGACUUCGAAAUGUUGGAAAUGGAGAUCAUUUACCAAGGUGACAAUUCCCAUUCCUGUUCGCCGCAACAGUUCGUACGAGGAAUUUGUUACAAGCGUAAUGCAGAGUGGGGAUCUAGAUUGUGCGCCGAGCGCCGUGGUGAUUAGUUAUGUAAUGCAUUCGAGGAAAAAGGUGAAUCAUACGAUCAUAAAUAGUAAUGUACGUGCGCUGACGUACAUAAUGGAUGCUGAUGUAGAUGACUUUAGGCCAAUUUUGAGGAUAAAUGUGGUUGAGAGGUCCUUUGAAGAACCGCUGAAUUCAUCAGCACCCCCACUGCGGCGCCCGGCAGUUGAUGAUGAUUUGAUCGACGACGAUUUGAAUGAUUACGAGAACGAUGUCGAUGAUACAAUUAAUAUGGAAGAUUAUUCUAUGCAUAUGGAAGACUUUUCAUCGGACUCGCAAGAUGAUGAAGAAGACCGUGAAACAGAAUCAUAAGCAAGACACUCCUUCACUGAUGGAACCAAUUUAUGUUGUGGUCAAACAUUCGCUGAUAAAAAAGAGCUGAAAAUGCAACUAGACGCAGCAGCGGCGAGGCAGUCUUUAGAUUAUUAUAUGGAGAAGAGCUGCACAAAAUUGGUGAAGGCGCAAUGCUUAUCUCAUGGUUGUGACUGGCUGUUGCGGGCAAAAAAGUACGACACCUUGGACAGAUUUUGCAUAUAUAAGUAUGUCGGGAUGCACACGUGCAGUGUUGAAAAUGCUACCCACAGGCACAAAAAAGUCUCAUCCGAAUUGAUUGCUUCAGUAUGCAUAAAUCAUUUUCGGGAUGGUAAGGGUCCAAGCAUAAGAGAAAUUCAAAGAAUUGUAUUUAAGGAGUUGCGUUGCAACGCAAGCUAUUGGAUGUGUUGGAAAGGAAGUGUAAUUGCGAAGAACAUCAUUCGCGAGACACCAGAGUACGGAUAUGCUUGCUUACCGGCUUUUUCCCACAUGGUAGAGUUAUUGAAUCCCGGGUCUUCUUACUCUAUCAUGGUAAACCGGAUGGAUAGAUCAUUCGUUUACUACUUUUUAGCAUUCGGAGCUUGCAUACGAGGAUAUACCCACAUGAGAAAGGUAAUUGCUGUCGAUGGCACACAUUUGUAUGGCAAGUACGGGGGCGUUCUGCUGAGCGCCGUUGCACAGGACACCGAAAAUCAUAUAUUUUUUAUUGUCUUUUGUGUCGUCGAUAAAGAGAACGAUGCUUCUUGGACCUUCUUCUUCCAGAAGCUGAAGUCUAUCAUAGAAGAUGAACCAGAUCUAUGCGUCAUCUUCGACAGGCAAAUUAACAUCGCCAAUGCCUUCUCCCAUGUAUACAGUCGUGCACAUCACGGACUUUGCAUGAGGCACCUCGCUUAAAAUCUUCGCGUAAAUCAACACCGUGGAGAACAUCUUUAUCUAUUCUACGCUGCAGUAAAGGCUUAUUCCUUUGAUGAGUUUAGCGAUAAUUUUGUGGAAUUGAAGAGCAAAUUCCCCGAGGUAGCUCAUGUCCUUGAAAAUGUGCUUGGUUUUGAAAAAUGGAGUAGAGCACACUCUCCGGGCAAUAGGUACGAUGUGAUGACCACAAACAUCGCCGAGUCGCUCAACUCGAUUUUGAUGGAUGAACGGGAGUACCCCAUGUCGUACAUAUUCAAUUCAAUUACUAAAAAAUUUGGUGAAAAAUUUAGGAGCGGCAUGCAUUUGUCGGUGAUAAAGAGAACAUAUUUGUGCCUUCGGCGGAAAGGAUCCUAAGGGAUAAUAAGAGUGCGAGCAAUUCCUUGUAUAUGGGUAAUCCAAACGGGAUUCUCGACGAGUAUAUGGUGUUCGGCAACGGCGUUACUGCCAAGGUCAAUCUCUUGGAGAGGAGCUGUUCUUGUCAGAAAUUUGACUUGGUGAAAAUACCGUGCGAACACGCAAUGGCAACUUUGCGAGAAAAGUACGACGAUGGCGAAGAGUAUGGUAACUCCAUCUACGACUACUCUUCGCCAAUUUAUAAAGCUGAAAGUUACCUCCUCGCAUACUCGAAAGCAAUUAACGUGGUCCCUCCUGAGGCUGAAUAGACUGUGUUACAGGAAUUGGUAGACACCAAAAUUUCUCCACCCCCGUACGAUCCCAAACUCAGAAGGAAGAAAGUUAAACGCACUAAGGGCGCCGGUGAGACAUUCAAGUUCAAAAGGAGGAAUAGGUGUUCAAUAUGCGAGAAAUUUGAAUACAAAAGAACCACGUGUAGAAUGGGCAUCAAUCAUAAAUAGUCUUUUUUUAGCUUCAGUUGUAAAGCUACUGUUUUGAGGGAUGAAUGUGCAUUUCUGUAGAUUUUAACGUUCAGUUGUUAUCGACCUAAAGCUUUGUCUACGAUAGACUAUCUAUAGUCUACGGUAUAUAUAAUAUAUGGUCUAUAAAAUAUUAUGUAUUGAUUAUAUUAUUACUGAUCUAACAUGUUAUGUUGGUCAUUUUCCUGGCUUAUUUCUCCAAUCGAUGCAAUGAAUCAUUAUUUCCCUUAUUUUCCGUUCCCAUUUAUUAAAAAGCUGCACAAAACGUCUCUUCACGAGGAAAAACAGCUGGUAUAUGCAUACAAAAUGUUUUCAUGGAUGUAUGAACGGAUGCAAUCUACAGGUCUAUAAGUAUAGGCCCUCUUUCUACGCAACCCUUCAGUUUUUUCUAAACCGAAAAUAUCAGAAAUCAUCUCUUUUUCUUCUUCACGCAAAUAAAAAAAAUCCUCCAAGAAGGAUACCCCUGUGCCCCAUCAGACGUGUUCCUCCUAGGCACUACGACCUCCUCCCCCUAAGGAAUGAUUUGGACUGGCUUUUCUACGUGCAGGGUCAAGACCGCAUCUACCUGGAGCGGGAGCUCCGUCGAAUUGCUCGUUUCUUGAGGGCAAUUCUGGAAAGGCUCGAAAUGGAAGACCCUGACUACAUCACCCCCCACCAUCCCCAUAAUUUAGUUUAAAUGUUUUAUUUUAGUAUAUGUUUUUAAGUUUUUUUGAUUUGUUCAUUGCUGAAGAAGCUUUCUUUGUAGGAUCUUGUUAGAAGAAAACUUCUUUCAUUUUUCCCUUUUUGAUGUAAAUUUUAUUAUGUAAUGCAAUGAACAAUUUUAAUACAACUAUGUUUCAGUUUCUUUUAACAUUGUGUGCUUGCCAUCUUUGUUCUGAUCCCUUGUUUGAAAACUCGAAUCAAAUAUGUCUGCCUUUUCAAGUUACAGUAUUGUGGCUUGACUAAUUUCCUGGAGUAAAAUCUAAUGUUUAGAUUUUAUACAAAGUAUUUCAUCGACUGUACAUAUAAGUCGAUCGUAGACUACAUGAAUCGAUGGAUCAUCGGGUAAAUUAAAACAAAUAAUAACAGAUUUUCAAAAAAUAAUUUAAUUUUAAAAGAUUUAAACAAAUUAUCACAUGUUAUGUGGCUGGUGGAAGAAAAUAAUAAAUUAAAAAUAAUUUAAAUAUAUAAUCACAUGUUUUGGGAAUUAUGAAAGACAAUUAUUAAAUUCAAAAAAAAUUAAAUAGAUAAUAGUAACAUGCUUUGGGGCUGGUGGAAGAAAAUAAUUAAAUAUAAUAUGAUUUAAAUGGAUAAUCACAUGUUUUGGGGUCAGUGGAAGAAAACAAUUACAUUAAAAAUGAUUUAAAUAGAUGAUCUUGGACUGAUGGUGACACUUAAUACACCGUCGUUGAUCAUGCACUAUGUCAUCCAUCGAUCAGUCUGGUCUAUUGUAGACUUACACGUUUAUUAUCGCAUCGACUGAUAUCAUGAUUAAGCGUAGACCACGAUGAUCUAUGUACAAGGUUAUAUAGAUCAUCACUUGGAUGUAGUUAAAAAAUUAUUAAAUAAAUUAUAAAUAAACCAUCCACACACUUCUUAAUUCACCCUUCCUAAUUUGUCUAAGCUCUAAUAUGAUUAUGUGACAUGUUUACACUCCUUCAUAUGUGUAGAAAUCCACACCAUAUUUAUUUAUAAUUUAUUUAACAAUUUUUUAACUACAUCCAAGUGAUGAUCUAUAUAACCUUGUACAUAGAUCAUCAUGGUUUACGCCUAAUCAUGAUAUCAGUCGAUGCGAUAAUAAACGUGUAAGUCUACGAUAGACUAUAUAGGCAUCAAAUAUAAUACAUAUCCUAUAUGAAUACUUUGCUUUGUUUAAACAUUACUCUUAUGAUAUUGAGCAUUCAACCACUAACCAUCCACACACUUCUUAAUUCACCCUUCCUAAUUUGUCUAAGCUCUAAUAUGAUUAUGUGACAUGUUUACACUCCUUCAUAUGUGUAGAAAUCCACACCAUAUUUAUUUAUAAUUUAUUUAACAAUUUUUUAACUACAUCCAAGUGAUGAUCUAUAUAACCUUGUACAUAGAUCAUCAUGGUUUACGCCUAAUCAUGAUAUCAGUCGAUGCGAUAAUAAACGUGUAAGUCUACAAUAGACCAGACUGAUCGAUGGAUGACAUAGUGCAUGAUCAACGACGGUGUAUUAAGUGUCACCAUCAGUCCAAGAUCAUCUAUUUAAAUCAUUUUUAAUGUAAUUAUUUUCUUCCACCGGUCCCAAAACAUGUGAUUAUCCAUUUAAAUCAUAUUAUAAUUAAUUAUUUUCUUCCACCAUCCCCAAAACAUGUUACUAUUAUCUAUUUAAUUUUUUUUUAAUUUAAUUAUUCAUUUUUUAACUACCUCCACGUGAUGGUCUAUAGAUGUGUACAUAGAUCACGGUAGUCUACGCAUAAUCAGGAUGUCAGUCGAUGCACUAAUAAAGGUGUAAGUCUAUGGUAAACCAUACAAAUCGAUGGCUGACAUAGGUCAUGAUCUACGACAGUCUAUUUAGUGUCACCACCAGUUCAAAAGAGAAAAAUNNNNNNNNNNNNNNNNNNNNNNNNNNNNNNNNNNNNNNNNNNNNNNNNNNNNNNNNNNNNNNNNNNNNNNNNNNNNNNNNNNNNNNNNNNNNNNNNNNNNNNNNNNNNNNNNNNNNNNNNNNNNNNNNNNNNUUGAGGACGUCACGCACGGAUUCAAAUCCAGGUCACAAAUUUUAUAAUUGUGCAAUUGCAAAGGUGAGGUGUGCGUGUUUUUUUAAAAGAUUUAAGUUAAUGGUUAUGUAAUUUUUUUUUCCUAGGAUAAUGGCGCAUGCUCGUUUUUCCAAUGGCUUGAUGAGUUAUCACCUCCAUCCAGUCCAUCAACGUUUAUUUCGGAACUCGAGACAUCAAAUUUUCAAGGCUUGGCAAAAUUUAAUCUACUACAAAGGCUCCAACAAUGCGAAGAAAAUAAAGAUUUUCUCAUGACUUUGUUCAAAGAAGCCGGAGAACAGAGUGAUCACUUUAAACUAUUGCUACAUGACACCCAAAUAGAGAGGGAUCAACUAAACGAAAAAUUGAUUUUGGCCGAAGAAAGAGAGAAUGUCCUAAAAAUGAUGUUAUGUGCUAUAAUGCUAGUAUUCAUUCUUUGGAAAAGUGUAACAUGAAUGUAGUGAUAUUGAAUGAAUAAUAAUAGUUCUACUUUUGUAUAAUGUAAAAUACUAUUUUUGAUAGAACCAUAGUAGAUUAAACAACACGUCAACUUAAAUUCGACCAGCAGGGUAAUGAUAGACUAUGCAUACGGUAUAUGGAAUAUUAAGUAUGCAUUCUAUGAUAUCAAGCAUACAAUGUACCAACUAUGACCACGCCCUGCAUAUUCAAAUUCCAUGCCACAAAUCAGUUUGAUAGAAACUGAUUCAGCUCAGAAUCAUAACAAGUUUCAUAAAAUAAAAGAAUAAUUGUCAUAUCCUACCACCAGAUCCUUCAAACUUCAUAUUUGUGAAAUAAAAAAAAAUUUAUCAUAUCCUAAUAACUCAUCAUUUAACAACAAAUUAAACAUCUUAGCAUUUAAAUGUCUCUUUCACUAAGUUCCUCAUCAACACAAGUGUUACUGUUGAUUUCAUCAACAAUGUCCAUGACCACAUCUGUUUGGACAGCUUCAACUUCUUUUUUCUCAACAAUUGCAGCUGCUUCUUCAUUCUCACCUUCUUCUCCUUCUUUUUUCAGCAUGUGCAUCAGCUGCUGCUUCUUCAGUUACCUUUUCUUCCACACCUUCUUUUUUUACUUCACCUGCAAUAGCUGUUUCUUCCUCAGCUUCAGCAGCUGUUUCUUCCUCAGCUUCAACAGUUGUUUCUUUCUCAGUUUCUUCUUUUCGUUCACCUGUUGCUUCUUCUCAACUUCUUCUUUGUCAGCUUUGUCGGCUUCUUCUUCAACAGUUUUUCCUUUUUCCGCGCCUCCUUGUUCAUCUGCUGCCACUUCUUCUUCUACUGCUGCUGCUACUUUUCCACCUUCUUCUUGGCUCUUAUCUUCUUCACCAUCAUUUUUUUUUUCUUCUUUUUUCCUCUUCUCCCACAACAACGGCCAACUCAUCCAUUUGCUCUUUUUUUCUCCUUCUUCAUUCCUCUCUGAUUCAUGCACAUGCACUAUUUCAUAAUAUUAUGAAGUGUUACUGAUAUUUAAAGCUGAAUAUUCAUUAACAACAUCAAUUAAUGAAUGAAGUUACCUCACUCAUGUUGUCGCUCAUCAUUUUCCUUUUUCUUCAUUCUUUUCUCUUUGAUAUAGGCAGCAAUAUCCAACACCGCUUCCUCGAGCGCAGCCACACGCUUAUGAAGAUCCCCGGGGGCUGAGGUUCCCGCUCCAUCUUUGGAGGUGCUUAAAGAAUCAUCAUCACCAACACAUACUCCAGCGGGGUUACCACCCAAAUCCCCGUCAUCAUCACUGUCCUCAUUUGAAGUGAGGACAGUCACCCCUUGUAAUUCUUUCUUCAAGCCAUCGAGAACGUUAUUCUUCAUCUCGUUCGUAUAUGGCUCAAAUGUAAUCAUGUAAUCCAUCUUCAUCUCACGAACAGUAGGGAUGAUGUACGGGUGCACGUUCUACCAAGUAUCAAUUAACAAUUACAUAACAUUUGAUAAAACCGUACUAUUAUUGCAUUAUAUAAAAUAAGUUCAUACCUCGAUAACUUUUCCUUUAUUCUUGAAUGGGUCGCCUUCGAUUAUCUUAUCGCUUUUUGAAGUGUGUCAUCUGAGGAUGCGGGGGAUGGGUAAGGACUCAUCCAUUAAUUUUCUAGCAAAUUCUCCAAGAUGAGGAAAGACCUCAUAGAUCCAAUUCUAUAUGCAGUACAACAGUGAAAAAAAUAACUAUGAGUCUAUGACAUAGUAUAAAUAAAAUGAUAAUCUACGAUAAACUCACUAAAGGGUUUAUGGUAGAUACCAUGAAUUCCCAGGGAAAUUCAAAUAGAGCAUAGGAUGCCUUCUGCUUCUCAUUAAAUACUUCCUUCUGCCUCUUCAGGUCACUUUUCUUCUUUAGAUAGUCCAUAGUCAGUUGAAAUGUCUCUUUCCCCCACGGAUACUUCUCAAAGAAACUCAAAGAGUCGACCAUUCGAAUCAGUUUUGUGUCGACAACCUUCGUCGAAUAUUUCGCAAGCAACAUGGUGUGCAAGAACCACAGUAUACAAUACUUGAACUUCUGGUCCUCGUUCAGCUUAUUCCCUCUGAUCAGGUGUAAGAAGUUCGCCGCCGUGAUGUUUUUAUUUUUUGUCACCUUAAAACGAAAAUUGUCCCCCUUUGCUAACACCUUCUUCAUUUUUGAUUCACGAGGGUAUGAUGAGCAGUUCAGCCCCGUGAUCAAACAAAACUCUUUCAAGCCAAAACAGGCGGGCUUGUUGUUAACGCAGAACCACAUCUCAUGACGUAUCUUAUCGUUCUUAACGCAUCGCAACAACAAAUAAUGGACCAACUGCCCAUUGAACUUGAGAUGUUCCGGCAGAUUUCUCAGGUGUCCAAAAUAGGACCGCUUGAAUCUUUUCUUCAAUUCUUGAUCGACAAGAAUUUGCUUAAAUUCUCGAUAAGCAGCCAUUCUUGAUCUGAUCGAUAUCUUUGCCGGGAAAGAUCCGACCUCGUCAAUUAUCGUUCGAAGGUCAUACCGCUACACGAAAAUGCACCUUGAAAGAUAUGACACGGACAAUGAAUCAUUAUCCUCAUCCUUGGAAUAAGUGGAAGGGUUAGGUGUAUUAUAUUAAAUUUGUAAAGUUGUAUAAAUGAUAAAUUGGUCCCUUGGCCCACGUGUGGGCCCCACUUUUUUCACUAUUUACACCCUAAACCUAAAAAAUGAAUCAAAAAAAAUUAAGUGGGUAUUUGGCAAAAUAGUUUUACAAAAGUUCUUCUUUGCCAAUUAUUCCCAUCACUCUCUGCCUCUAAGGUGGUCGGAGGUUAGGUCUGCAUACAUUCUAUCUUCCAUAGAUUUUACUUUUUGUGGGAUUAUAUUGAAUAUGUUUAUGUUGUUGUGUUUUUUCGUAAAAAACAGUUUGUAAUUAAUUAUUAAAUUUUAAAAAGAAUGUUUUAGCAACUACUAAUGUUUGACCAAGUAUUUUAAGGAGUACUUCAAGGUUUAUUUUUUUGAAAAUAUUUUUGAAAAAACUAUUUUUAGAGAAAAGUAAUUUUUUUUAGCCUCUACAAACAAUUUCUAUUAAUCAAAGAACAAAACCUUAGCCGAUGGCCCGAUAGAUAUUAUUUAUUCUCUCCUUAAAAAUUAACAAAACACCUGUCGUUUUUAAACAAAGAACAAACACUUUUGACCUUUUAAAACCUUAACCAAUAGAUAUUAUUAACUUGUAAAGUGCAUUAAUUGGAUAAUGUAAUAUACAUUUCACUUACCUCGUUACAUUCGCAAAAGUGACCAAAGGAGCAAAGCCUUGCCCCAUCCCUUUAACAAGUCCUGCAGCCUACAAUUACUCCAUGGGUGUAAAAAUAUGUACCAGUAUUGUAAUGUUUAGAUACAAACUGACCUCCGAAAAUUGAUUUUUUUUUUUUUUUUUGAAGAAAGACCUCAGAGGUUGUUUUUAUAUAAAAAAGGAAUUUUUAAAAAAUUGUAAAGUCAUAACCAACAAGCGUAGUAUAAAUGGUAGUUUGAAUCAUAGUUGCUGCAUUUUAUUAUUGUUUAAUGAUUUAUAAAUUGACUUAAUAUAUAAGAUUGAUGUUCUUAUAAAAAUUAAAAUAAAACUAAAAACCCGACCUUUGGAGAAUUAUAUUUUCCAUUUUUUUUCCUUGACCUGAAUUUUACUGACCUUUGAUAUGCGAUCUAUUUGCUAGAUGAACUGUUGACAUAAUUUUCUUCGAAAAAAGUUUUAAGAAAACAUAAGAACUUACUAGUAUCGUCUUGUUGUUGCCAAGUGUUAAAGGAGUAAUAAUUUCACUUUCGGAAUUGCUACUAGCAACACUUAUCAUCCAUGGAGAAGUAGCACCAACGACUGUGUAAGAGUCUGGUCCACAAUUUCCUGCGCUAGCAAUAAAAGGUAUGCCAUGGGAUACUGCAUGAAAAGAUCCUAUCCCGAAAAUUUUUUCCUCGUCAAAGUCAGCCAUGUUGAUAAUACUUUUACCACCAAUAGAUGUUGAUAUUAUGUCAACCCCAUCUUUUAAAGCAUCAUCAAUGGCAGAAAGAACAUCAAUAUUACUAAGCAUUGUUCCAUUUGUACCAUCCCAACCCACCUGUUAAAAAUAUUAAAAAUACGCAAAUAAAAUUGUGUUUAGAUUCUCUAACGUCUUAAUCUUUUUGAUAAGAGGAUCAAGGCUCAACAAAGAAGGUUUUUGGUUCAAUUUUGUAAUGACUUGAAUUUGUGAUGAGUUUCGAUUUUUAUAUGAUUUGAUCAUUUUAUUUUUUCCCAUAAUUGUUACAUGUCGAUUUUGGGGCUUGGGGGUGGUUAGUACAAUUUCUAAUGCAAUUGGGAAUGAUUUGUGCAAGUUUGUGUUUUUUAAAAGCUUGAAAAGUCAUAUAAUUGACUUAGAUCAGCAUUUAUUAUUUUGAGUGUUGGAUGAUAAUUUGGACGGCACUAGUAGAUUCAAAAUAUCUAAUUUGAGUUAGUAGUAUAGUUGAUUCGGAUUUGGGACUUUUAUCUUGCAUUUCGAUACUUCAUUUGGAAAAUAGUGAAAAGGGGUCCCCAAGAGUCAAUUUAGAGAAAUUAGUUUUUUCUUUUCCAAAAAAUAUGAUGUUGCUAUUGAGUCCAGAACGUGAAAAUAAACUAGUAGAAUAGUUCGUUUGAGUCCAUGGAAUUCUGAAUGAAUCUCGAGGUCCAAUCGUAAACUUGACAUUUAGCCAAGUUGUUGAUUUUGCUGUCAUCUAGUACAACCAGUUAAAUGGCCAAGGACCACUUUAGUGGCCUGACAUUGCUCAAGUGAUAGCCACUUUAGCGGCCAUGUGUUGAUUAAGCGAUGGCCGGCCUAAGUGGAUUGUCCACUUUAGCGACCUUUUAGCUGCUUAAGUGGUGAUUUCUUAAACGGUCAAUUAUCUUAAGAGACGUCCAUUGAUAUUAUUAUUUUCAAUGUUUUGGGGUACACAAAUCUGUAUUUAGGCACACAACAACUUCAACACAAGUUCAAGUCUAAAACAAGAACACCUAUGAAGUUACACAACACCUUCAACACAAGAUUAAACAUAAUCUAUCCAAGAAGUGUGUUAUUAUUUCAUACUCCCUCUGUUUAAAAAAGAAUGACCUACUUUGACUUGACACAAAGUUUAAGAAAAUAAAGAAGACUUUUGAAUCUUGUGGCCUUAAAUUAAAGUAGUGUCAAAUGUACCAAAAUGCCCUUUAAUCUUGUGGUCCUAAAUAUGUCAUGUGGAAGGUUGAAAUUAAAGUAUUUCCAAAAAAGGAAAGAGGUCAUUCAUUUUGAAACGGACUAAAAAGGAAAGUAGGUCAUUCUUUUUUAAACGGAGGGAGUAAAUAAGAUGAAACAGAGAGUUAAAGCCAAGUCUCCCGACUUUACAGAGUGUCCUUAAGGAAUAAUUCCCCUCACUGUACCCGAGCUUAUGGAAUUUUCCUCCCAGGAUAAAAUGACUUUCAAUCCAACAAUUGUGGUACCUCAAAUUCUUGGAUUCGUCGAACUACUUAACGGCUAAGGAUCACACUGAGUUUUUGUAGAGAAGAAGAGUGUUUAUGCUGUCAAAAAUCAUGUAUAUACCUGAGGAAUAUGUCAGGUAUUUAUAGCCUUAAGGUGUCCCUUCAGAAAGAAAGCAUUGGUGCAGCAAAAAGGCACUUAUUCAGUAUAGUCAAGUCACCUUCGCCCAAUCUGUGCUAGAACUGCGCCUGAUCUGCGGCCGUAGGUGACACUGUCCAAAUUUCAGUAAGUACCUGUGCUGCAUCUUCGCCCGCAGGUUACUGAGGUGCGCGUGUAGAUCGCCCCAUUGCGCGAAACAGUGUGCGGCCGCACAUGAAAAAAAUUUCUAUCAGAUUCUUUGGAUUAAAAUUUUACUUGUUUAUCAAGUUUCAAAUAAAUUUUUUCUAAAAAAUAGAUCUCAUUGAUCGAUCAUUUUCCAAAUCCAAAUCCGGAGCUAAAGACAUGCCUUGUGAGUGACGACGAAGACGGCGCGGGGUACCACCUUGUUCUUGCCUCACUAUCCAUGUGGAGAUGUGUUUCUCAAUAUAAAUACAUGAAUGCUUCUUUCUUCCACCAAUGUGGGAGAAUUUAGUAAGCUUUCCAUAAAAGAAUACACAAUCCAUUUUAGUGACUCUCUUUUCCGCCAUUAUUUUUUCCCUCUAUUUUCUAUUUAUACAUACACCUUGAACCCAACAGAUAUAAAAACUCAUUUUCAUAUUUUUUUCCUCCAUUUCUGAACUUUUGAGCUUUGGGUGUGGGCCAUUCUUGAGAGCUUUUGUUUUCAAACUCAUUUUGCACCUGGCACAAAUAUGUGCAAUAUGGAUAUUUUUAGCUUUCUUUUAAUGCAUAGAAGUUAUAUAUAUAUAUUUGAAUAUUGUAGUUGAUUCUGAGGUCGUUCAUAAAGGGGAGGCUCCAUAUUGAAGCACUUUGGAUUGGGAUUUCUUUGUUUUGUGGUAAGUUAUGACUUAACUUCUUUCAGAUUGAGUUGGGUAGUUAAUAAAUAAGUAAAUCAUGUUAUGGGUUGGGUAAAUAAAUAUGAGAUUUAUAUUUUGGUAUUAUUAAUGUAUGCCCAUGUGAAGGCUUAUACUCUGUUUUGUUGACUUGUGAUAUCUGAUAUUAUGUGUUGCCUGUUUGAGGGCUUUAUUUGACAUCAUUGAUAUAAUCUGUGUAUUAGAAUAUCUUUAUUAUAAACACCUUUCCAUUGCGAUCCUUCCAAGUGUGACAUACCAGUGCCCCCAUAAGGCAACAACAACUUUCUUUGGAAUACAAGGCUAAUGCUUCUCUCUGAUUUGAUCUAGUAUUUGACUCAUACUUUCUCUCUACAAUGCAAUACCCAUUCACGCCAAUAGUGCAAUUCUCACUAUAUUAAACCAUGCACAUUCCACAAAUAGAUGUUGCAAGUGUUGUCACCUCUGCAGAUAAGCCACAUAAACAACAAUCUGGAUCAUUUACAAGGACAUUCAGCUUGAGUGGCCUCCUCUUAGUCAGUAGUGUUAUUUUGUAGUAUUUCCUUCAGGUACACAAAAUCUGUAUAAGCAGAACAACAACUUCAACUAGAGUUCAAGUAUAAACAAGAACACAAUGAAGUAUAUCAAAUACCCUCAACACAAUAUCAAAAUGACUUUUCCAAGAGGUAUAUUUUAUUUUUUCCAGAAAAUAGACGAAACAGAAAUGAAUAAGGCCAAGUCGUCCGAAUUCAUGGAGUUUCCUUAAGGAAAUAAUUCCCCUCACUUUACCCGGGGUUAUAGAAUUUUUCCUCCCAGGAUAAAAUGGCCUUCAAUCCAAAUAUAGAGGUACCUCAAAUAUUUGGACUCUUCGAACACACUCAACAUUUUGAAUGAUCACAUAGAAUUUUUGAAGAUAAGAAGAGUAUUUUUUAUUCUGAAAUUUUGUAUCGAAACCUGUAAAAGAAAGCAGGUUUUUAUAGACAUAACAUGCCUCUUCUGAAAAGAGGCAAUGGUUUAUGUCAAAGGUUACACAUGUUCUGUAAAUUCAUGUUUGUUUAUCCAAAGAUUGCAUCUUUUCUUGAACAGUCAUCUCGUUUUGUGAAUUAGUGUGUCACUUUAUUGAAGGAUUACAUCCUUCUAAAGCAUCAUUUUGAACCAUUGCAACUUUCUGUAGCCUCAGAAUAAUGCAUCAGUUCACUUGAAACAGUGCAACUGUUACUGCAUGUAUAUAUAAAUGGAGGUUCGAAACACUGCAGAAAAAUUUUACUGCAUUUUUCUUGUCAUUCUUCGGAAUCCAAAUAAAGUUUAUCCAAAAAGAUAGAUCUCAUCGAUCGAUCCAAAUGCAAAUCCAAAGCCGAAGCCGAGCCGAGCAACGACGACGACGGCGUGAGGAAUCUCUUAUUACUUGCCUCACUUAUCCAUGUGGAAGUGUGUUUCACAAUAUAAACACUUUAAAGCUUCUUUCUCCCACCAAUAUGGGAGAAUUUAGUAAGCUUUCCUAUUUUUGAGUACACUUUCCAUAUUGGUGUGAUCUCAAUUUUUCUCUUCCACUUGGUUUUAUCCAUUUUCCAUUCACACUUCUCAUUUACUAUGAACCCAACAAUCCCCCACAUGAAUGGGAAUGGCUAUUUUUUGUAAAAGUUUUACGGACAAGUAUGUGAUCAUCAAGCAAAGACUAAUUGCAUUUGGAUAAGUGGGUUUCCCUUUGAACUUUUCGUCUUGAAGAUGUAUCGGAUGCACUCGGUCAAUCGGUAGAUUUGAUAUCUUUGAACCAUCGAUCUUUAAUGUACACCUAGAAUAUACAUGUCACAAAACCAUCCUUUUACUGUUUUAUGGUUCUCACGAUUUUGUUCUUUUCAUCCAUGAACACGUCCCGAUUUCGUGAGAGCUUAGAGGGUAGGCCUUUACUAACAUUCUCUUUGAAGCGACUUCCACUUCGUCCUCACAUAGGUGAUUUUAAUACAUUCAAUCCUAUAUAUUAAACUAUUUGGUCAAAUCUGCCAAAUUUAGAUAAUCAUUAAAAGACUUUUCACCUUAAGUCUUAUCCUUGUUUACUAAACAUUGUCUAUAUCAUGAGAAUGGGUUGGGUAAUUGACAAUGUUGAACCUGUCAGACACAACUUUAUUUGAUCUCCUUGAACCUAUCUCUUGGGAUCUCCAGUCUGCUAGGUAGAGUUACCGCCAUGCCGACUUAUCCUAGGCCUUAAACCCAUUCCCUUUGAUGUCCUUUCCACUUCUUCUCUAGAUAGGCCUUUUGUAAGUGGAUCCAACACAUUAUCCUUUAACUUUACAUAGUCAACAGUGAUAAUUACACUAGAGAUAAGUUCCCUAACGGUAUUAUAUCUUCAUCGUAUGUGAUGAGAUUUACCAUUGUACAUCAUGCUCCCUGCCCUACCUGUUGUCGCUUAGCUAUCACAGUGUAUACAUAUUGGUGCCAGUGGCUUGGACUAAUAAUAAAUAUCUUCUAAGAAAUUCUGGAGUCAUUCUGCUUCUUCACCGGCUUUAUCCAAUGUGAUAAAUUCAGAUUCCAUUAUAGAGCGAGAAAUACAAGUCUAUUUGGAUGAUUUCCAAGAGACUCCUUCUCCACCGAUAGUAAAUACAUAUCCACUUGUGGAUUUUACUUCAUUCGAUCCAGUGAUCCAAUUUGCAUCACUAUAUCCUUCAAGUACCGCAGGAUAUUUAUUAUAAUGCAAGCAUAGUUUUAGUGUAUUUAAGAUACCCCAAAACCCUUUUCAAUACUAUCCAAUGAGUUUUGUUGCGAUUACUUAUGUACCGACUUAAUUUACUGAUAGCCCAUGCUAUGACUGAUUGUGUACAGUUUGUUAUAUACAUUAAACAUCCCAAUACUCUUGCGUACUCCAAUUGUGAGUCACUUUCAACUUCAUUCUUUCGACGUGCAAAGUUCACAUCCAAUGGAGUCUUGGCAAUACCGAAUUCCAUAUACUUGAACUUGUCAAGUACUUUUUAGAUACAAUGAGACUGUGACAAUGCCAACCCUUGUGGAGUUCGAUAGAUUCUUAUGCCUAAGAUCACAUCUGCAACUCCAAGGUCUUUUAUAUCAAACUUGCUCUCGAGCAUUUAUUUUGUUGCACUUAUGUUAGAAAUGUCUCUACUGAUGAUCAACAUAUCAUCCACAUAUAAACAUACAAUGACUUGGUGAUUUGGAGUGUCUUUAAUAUAAACAUAUUUAUCACAUUCAUUUAUUUUGAAUCCGUAUGCCAACAUGGUUUGGUCAAACUUCACAUGCCAUUGUUUAGGUGCUUGCUUUAGUCUAUACAAUGACUUAAUAAGUCUGCAUACCUUAUUUUUCUUCCCUGGAACCACUAAACUCUCAGGUUGUUCCAUGUAAAUUUCUUUCUCUAAUUCUCCAUUUAGGAAAGCGGUUUUCACAUCCAUUUGAUGGAUUUCAAGAUGAUAUACCGCAGCCAAGGUAAUUAACAUUCGAAUCGAUGUUAUCCUUGUUACUGGCAAGUAUGUAUCAAAGUAAUCAAGACCUUAUUUUUGUUUGAAGCCCUUUACUACAAGUCUUGCCUUGUAUUUGUCAAUAGUGCCAUCCGCUUUCAUCUUCCUUUUGAAAAUCCAUUUAGAACCUAAAGGUUUAUUUCUGGGAGGAAGGUCAACCAAUUCCCAUGUAUGGUUGCUUAAGAGUGAAUCUAUCUCACUAUUGGCUGCCUCUUUCUAAAAGGAUGAAUCCGAAGAUGCCAUCGCUUCCGUAAAUAUUUGAGGCUCAUUUUCCAAAAGAAAUGUCAUAAAAUCCGAUCCAAAUGAAGUAGACGUUCUUUGACGUGUACUACGUCUUGAAUUUUCUUCAUUAUGUUCAUUCUCAAUUGGUUCAUCACAAGGUCGUUUAUACCCCCCACUAGACUGUUCAUGUCUAGUUUUAUACGGAUAAAUAUUUUUAAAAAAUUUAGCAUUGUCUGAUUCAAUUACCGUAUUUUCAUUAAUAUCCGGAUGUUCGGAUUUAUGAACCAAAAAUCGGCAUGCCUUACUGCUUUUAUCGUAUCCUAUGAACACCCAGUCCACUGUCUUAGGUCCUAUCUUUACCCUUUUAGGCACAGGAACUUGGACCUUUGCUAGACACCCCCACACUUUGAAAUAUUUCAAGUUGGGUUUUCUUUCUUUCCACUUUUCAUAAGGAAUUGAUUGUGUCUUACUAUGGGGAACUCUAUUGAGUAUACGGUUGGCCAUAAGGAUAGCUUUCCCCCAUAAGUUUUGUGGUAAACAAAACUUAUAAGUAAGACAUUCAUCAUUUCCUUCAAAGUUCAGUUUUUUCUUUUCGCGAUUCCAUUAGAUUAGGGUGAAUAUGGGGCCGUAGUUUGAUGGAUGAUUCAAUUCUCUACACAUAUUUGCGCAAAAGGAGAUUCAUAUUCUCCACCCCUAUCACUUCUUAUCAUUUUGAUCUUUUUGUCUAACUGAUUUUCAACUUCAGUUUUAUAUUGCCUAAACACAUUUACUGCUUCAUCCUUACUAUUUAGCAAGUAGACAUAACAAUAUCUAGUGCAAUCGUCAAUAAAAGUUAUGAAAUACUUUUUCCCACCACAUGAUGGUGUUGACUUCAUAUCACAAAUGUUAGUGUGUAUUAAAUCUAAGGGAUUGGAAUUCCUCUCAACGAACUUAUAAGGAUGCUUUGCAUACUUUGAUUCCACAUAGGUUUGACACUUUUAUUUAUUGCACUCAAAAUUUGGUGAAACUUCUAAGUUAAUCAGUUUUCGUAAUAUUUUGUAAUUAACAUGGCCUGAACGUUCAUGCCAUAAAUCAUAAGACUCAACCAAAUAAGAAGAAUUUGAACUUUUAUUUAUUUCAACAGUCAUUACAUUCAUCUGAUAAAGGCUUUCGGUCAGAUAGCCUUUUUCUACAUACAUUUCUCCUUUGCUAAUUACAAUUUUUCAAGAAACAGUUACACAUUCGAAUCCGUUAUUGUCUAGAAGUGAAACAGAAAUUAGGUUCCUACGUAACUCCGGAACAUACAAGACAUUGUUAAGUGUCAAGACCUUUCUCGAAGUUAUUUUCAAGCAUAUUUUUCCUGUUCCUUCCACCUUAGCAGUAGCGGAGUUAUCCAUGUAGAUCAUUUCUUCUACUUGAGCCAGAGCGAAUGACGAAAACAACUCAUUGUUGGCACAUACAUGGCGGGUGGCACCAGAAUCCAUCCACCAUUCGCGAGGAUUCCUUGCCAAGUUGCAUUCUGAAAACAUAGCACACAAAUCAUCGCAUUCUUUGUUGGAUUCAAUCAUAUUUGCUUGAUCCUUCUUCUUGCCUUUCUUCGGGGCUCGACAAUUCAUGAACUUUUGUCCAACCUUGCCACAAUUGAAGCAUUUUCCCUUGAAUUUCUUCUUGGAUUGAUGGCUUCCUUGUUCAACUUUCUUUCUUUUCUUAGAAUUAUUUUGAUCAUCUUUUACAAUAUGUGCUCCAUUAAUUUUAGAAUUCCCUUUUGACCUUCUCUCGGCAGCUUUAUUGUCCUCUUCAAUACGCAGUCGGACAACAAGAUCUUCGACAGCCAUCUCCUUGCGUUUAUGCUUCAAGUAGUUUUUGAAGUCAUUCUACAUUGGUGAUAACUUCUCAAUUAUCGUUGCUACUUGGAAAGCAUCAUUCACAAUUAAACCUAUAAAACAGUUUAUAUGAGUAUUAAGAACUUUUUCAACUAAGGUAUUUUCUAAAGAUAUACCUUCUGCUAAGAAAUCGUGGAUGAUUACUUGCAACUCCUACGCUUGAGAGACAACCGAUUUGCUAUCUACUAUUUUAAAGUCCAGGAACCUUGCAAUAAGGAAUUUCUUAAUUCCCACAUCCUCCAUCUUGUAUUUUCGUUCAAGUGCCCCCCACAAUUCCUUCGAUGUCUUAGUUCCACAAUAAACAUUGUAAAGGUCAUCUUGGAGACCACUUAAUAUGUAAUUCCUGCAGAGGAAGUCUAAGUGCUUCCAAGCCUCUACAAUUACGAAGCGCACUUUGUCCGAGGUUCCCUCGGGCACCUCAGGAGCGUCUUCGCUAGUGAACCGUUGCAGACACACAGUGGUGAGGUAAAAGAACAUCUUUUGCUGCCAUCUCUUAAAGCUGAUGCUCGCAAACUUUUCGGGCUUUUCCGCAGGUGCCAUAUGUUGUGGAGCAUUUGCGCGGCUUGUCGUAGCAAUGCUAGUCGCCGCCACAGUCGUAACAUCUCAUGCAUUUGACUUUCAGUUGCCAUUUUUCUGUCACCACAAGACAGUAAAUUUAGUAUAUCAAAAUAAAAAAAAAUUGCAACUACUUUAAACACUUCUUGUUUCUAGUUAACAAUGAAGUUUUUAUUACUUCCAAUUGUCAACCGAGUGAAUUUUAAACUUAUGAUGAAAAUUAUAUGUCUUCUAAUCACUAGUUAAAUUCAAACGGAGUAGAAAGCCUAAAGCUUUAAUCUCCAAAAAUAAGUAUACAGAUUCUUAAAUUUAUUUCCUUAAGAUUGUUAUUUUGUAGUAUUUCCUUCAGGUACACAGAAUCUGCAUAAGCACAACAACAACUUCAACUAGAGUUCAAGUAUAAACAAGAACACAAUGAAGUAUAUCAAAUACCCUCAACACAAGAUCAAAAUGACCUUUUCAAGAGGUGUAUUUUAUUUUUUUCAGAAAAUAGAUGAAACAGAAAUGAAUAAGGCCAAGUCGUCCGAAUUCACGGUGUUUCCUUAAGGAAACAAUUCCCCUCACUGUAUCCGAGGUUAUGAAAGUUUUCCUCCCAGGAUAAAAUGGCCUUCAAUUUAAAUAUAGCGGUACCUCAAAUAUUUGGACUGUUCGAAUGCACUCAACAGUUUGAAUGAUCACACAGAAUUUGUAAAGACAAGUAGAGUAUUUUUUAUUCUGAAAUUUUGUAUCAAAACCUGUGGAAGAAAGCAGGUUUUAAUAACCAUAACAUGCCUCUUUUAAAAAGAGGCAAUGGUUCAUGUCAAAGGUUACACAUGUUCUGUAAAUUCAUGUCUGUUCAUCCAAAGAUUGCAUCUUUUCCUGAACAGUCAUCUCCUUUUGUGAAUCAAUGUGUCACUUCAUUGAAGGAUUACAUCCUUCUAAAGCAUCAUUUCGAACCAUUGCAACUUUCUGUAGCCUCAGUCCUUGGCAUUCUUCGGAAUCCAAAUAAAGUUUGUCCAAAAGAAUAGAUCUUAUCAAUCAUAAUCAUUAUACAAAUCCAAAGUCGAGCAACAACAACGACGACAACGCGAUGCAACUCUUAUUCCUUACCUCACUUAUCCAUGUGGGAGUGUGUUUCACAAUAUAAACACUUUAAAGCUUCUUUCUCCCACCAAUGUGGGAGAAAUUAGUAAGCUUUCCUAUUUUUGAGUACAAUUUCCAUAUUGGUAUGAUCUCAAUUUUUCUCUUCCACUUUGUUUUCUCCAUUUUCCAUUCACACUUCUCAUUUACUAUGAACCCAACAAGUAACCUGUCUUUACUAGCCAACCACACAAUAAAUCUAUGCUCAGGCUGAGCAGCUUUAGAGGACAAUUUGUAUAUACUGAGGAAGUUAUAGCACAAACCAAAUAGGAACAAAUUAAUAGGCUAGCUAGAACUUUCAUAUCUAGCAAAGAAAAUAACCAGAUGUAGAUGCAUAAUGCAGAGAUUAACUUUGUAACUAGUUUAAUUUCAGUUUUAGAGGUAAGGAUGACUGAGGUGAUCUUAGGAUGUAUUGAUGAUGGUUGUGUUUGUCUAUGUCAAUGUUUACAGUGUUACUAAAAGAAUUACUUUAAAUUUUUACUUGAGAAAGAUAAAUGCACAAGCAAUUCAAUGAUGACACCUUAUACAUAGCUAACCGUGCAAGUGGUGCUCCUCCUCGUGUUGUUCCCAUAUUAACACCAUGAUAUUUCACAUUGUUAAUAUAAGAACCAGCAGCUGUAUAUGCAACAUGAGUACCAUGCCCAUUAUCAUCUAAUGGUCAUAAUUUAUAUAAUUUUUCAACCAUUGUUUGGUUUAGUUCAUUAUCUUCCAUCGCUCCUUUUAUGUACCAACGAGCUCCAAUGCUUUCGAAUUAUCUCCCCAUGCAAUACCUACAAAAUGUUGCUAGUUCUUUUAGAGAAUUUAACUUCUAUGCACACAAUAUUUAAAAUAUCAUGAUUUUUAAAGAUAAUUCUCGAUAGAAUUGUAACCUAUAAGAAAUAUUAUUGAUUAUUCUAUUAUAACAAGAUAAAUUACAUCAAUAAUCUAAAAUUAUUUUUUACAAUAUUAUUUGUGCAUCAUAUUUAAAUCCCUUUUUAACAAGAUUUUUAGCUGCAGAGAAAUGUUAUUGGGUUAAGAAAAAAACAAAAAAACGGAAAAAAAGAAAAAGGGAGACACUUAACUUGAAUCUAAUAUGCCAAUAAUUAUUCUGUCACCCUGAUUUGUUUUGUUGACAAGACUAUUAGGAUCAUGUUUAGAAAGACCCAACUCCUUGACGUAUGAGUCUUGUAAAAAUGAUUUGGUAUAACUUGAACCACAUCAGGUAAUUCUGAAGUACGAUUACAACACAUACAUCAAUUAAGAGUCGUAUAAUGAAUAAAAUCCUUAUUUUCAUAAAAUUAUUUUUUAUUUCCUUUUAUUUAUUUUUUAUAAUUUUCUGCUAGUAUUUAAGGUAAAAAUGUGUGACAACAGAGAAUUAAAAUACCUUCAAUUUGUUUGGCUUGAGAAUAAGUAAGAUUAGCAGCGAAUCCAGAGAAGCCAUGCCUAUAACUAUACACCAUCAAUUUUUUUAGCUUCUUCUUUGCUGCAUAACAAGAAAAUACGAUUUAGCUUUUAAAGAAUGAAAUACAGGAAAUAAUAUUUUUGCAAUGAGGUCAUUUGUAGCUAAUUAGAGGUAACUGUUUCUAUGAUAAGCUUUAAUAAGAAAUUUAGUUAAAAUAGUAAUCUACUAAAUUUCAUUAGUUAAAUUUAUAAAUUUCAUUGAUUAUUUAAAGAAUAUGCAUACCUCCCAAUUACUUGACCUAAAAGUUUGUGAUGUGAAUCGGUGAUAAGUUCAUGAUCAUUAUGAGGCUUGUGUCCCAAAUAGACAAUGUAAAACUAUAGAUCAAAAAAUACCAUAGAAAACAAACCAAAAAAAUUAAAUUAAUGAGAGAGAUUAAUAUUCGAUAUGAUCAAUAAUCAACUGAAAGGAUAUCAUAUAAAUCAGAAGAAAGCUAACUUUUUGAAUCAAUCAUUCACAUCGUCAAAAAUACUACUCCCUUUAUUUCACUUCAGUUAUUACGUUUGUUAAAAAUAAUUAUUUAAAUAUAUUUGUUAUUUUAGAAAAUAUUUGACGGAAAAUUGAUUAUUUUUUUCAUUUAUUUUUCGCUUACUUUAUUAUAUAUUGAUAGAUUAACAUGAUAAGAGAAAUUAGUAAUAUGAUGAUGUAAGGUUGCACCGAAUAAAUUCUUACGGUUUGGUUCUUUUCGACCUUGCAUAUAGUGAGAACUUUAGUCACCGGCCGGGGUUGUAUUUUUUGAGAUGGUAACAAAUUGAGAAAAUAAAAUAAAAUUAAAUUCAAGAAUAUCCAAAAUGUACCUUAGCAUCGGCAUUGUCUGCUUUUGUAGUUAUUUCACAUAAACAAGUAAAGAUUAACAAAAAAAAUAAAAUAACAAGAGAAGAAAUUGGAUUAUUCAUCAUUUUUUGUUUCCCUCCUUUCCAUAGAAAAUGUGAAAGGAGGAAGAUAACCCAACUUCUGAUGAAUUCAAAAUAUAAUUUGGUUAAUGAAAUUUGAAAAUAAUUGCAAUUUAUUUAGCACUAGAUAGCUUAAACUCACCUCACAAAGUAGACAAAUUAAUUCGUGGCUAGUAUAUUAAGCGUAAAUUGUAGCCACUCGAAUACAAAUAGAUAAGUUAUUCUACUUUUACUCCUUUAAAAAAAAAAAAUUAAAUUUUUUUAGAACGUAUACUUUGUAUUUUCAUAUGAGUGAUUAAGAGCACAAGAAAGGAUUUUGGAGUUCCACUCACCAUCAUAUUUUUCCUCAUAACCUGUGUAAAUACCAUUGUUUUUCCUCAUAAUGGCACUUAGGAUUUGUUUAUAUAUGAAGUUAAAUUUAUGGCCAAGUUGAGCCAUGUUUGAGAAAGAGAUAAGCAUUCAGAACCUCUCGAAUUAUGGUCAGAGUUGUUAUGACACAGUACAAUUUUAUAGGGGUUCUAUUAAUCUCCUGAACUCAAUUUUAACAUAUUUUUGUUAUCCUUUUUUGGUGUUGAUAUGACACUUUUGUAACAUAAAAUGAGGCUCACAUCAAUAAUGUCACGUCAGUUAAAAAAGUUGACAAAAAUACAAUACAAUUUAGUUAAAUGAGGUAUUUGAACUCUAGUGAAGUUGAAGUGUAUCGUUAAAAAUUUUAAAAAAUUUGGUCAUAGUCAUGGAUAUUUGAUGCUUUACUUUGGAGAAAUAGAAAAAGAAAUCUUUUAAAUGUUAUGCUAAGGAAUAUUCUACUUAAAAUUCAACUUAGUUUUUCUUCUUUUACCAAAAAUAUGACUUGUUUUUCUAGUUAUAUAUAAAAAUAUGGGGUCUCAUAAGUAUGAGGUCCUGGACAAUCGAGAAAUAAACGAUACUCUGUCUAUGCUUUAUUUUUUAAAAAUCAUUUUAUGAGAUUUUACAAAUAUAUUAUUGUUUUUAUUGUUUAGUCCAAUGAAUUCUAGGAUAUAUUUACUCAUGUUAGUGUCCCUUUUUGUUUUUUAUUAUCUUCUUCAUUGACUUCAAAAUUAGUGCCGGAAGUAGGAAACCAAUCCUCCGAUCCCUGCCUAAUGUUUUUGAUUCAAUCUUUUAAUAGGUGGAUAGGAUUGACCCAUAAACAAGAAUUUUUGACAUGAAUUUAGCAAAUUACUGACCUGUUCAAAUACCCUACGUUUAUAACUAGGCAAAUAAAAUCACAUAUUGUCCUGUGAGCUAUGGAAAAAGAAUCUAAUUUCUCAGCAUAUACCCACAAAAUAGAAUCUGGGAGGGGAAAGUGUACGCAGUCUAUAUCAGUAUUCCAAAGAUGAUAUAAAGAGGUUAUUUCCGAUAGACUCAAGACAAAAAUAGUUCAACUUCUCAUAGUUUAGAUGAAGAUAAUAUUAUAUUAUUGGACUCACCUCCCUUUUAUGCUUUAGAUGAAAAAUGUUUGUAUAAUUUGAGAAGGAAAUAGAGGUUAGCUGUUUCCUCGUAAAAAUGUGUAGCGAACUUAUUAAUUCCCCUGCGACAUACAGCUAAUUAACCUCCAUAAAAUGUGACUAAUUAUUCUUAACAAUGAUUUGUUGAUCAUCAAAGUAUAUAUUUGUGCAUGCCACGUUAUAUUCUAAUUAGUAUGUAGUAUAUGACGACCACCAAUUAAUUGAAGAAGAUUAAUGUAAGAUGAACAAAAUAAAGGUUAUUUGAAAUCUUAGUAUUUUCCUGUGUGUUUCGUUACAGAGGUGGUGUGAUUUAUACACCUUUGUAGACUUCAAUAUGGGAGUUGGAUACAAAGUCAACUAAUAUAUCUCUUGGACUCUCAUAUUAAGGUCCGACUAGAAGUGUUAGUAGAUAAAUAUUUGGUCUGCGUUUCAGUAAACAUUAGGUGAUCGUUCUGAUAUGAAACUCGAAAAAUUGGGAUAAUUUAGCUGCGUUUUCGACCCUUAGCCCCAGAAUUAAACACAAACACUUGCUACAACUUGAACGAUUAGCGAUGCUACUGCUAUCUAUUAAACUAGAUAUUGACGGCCCGUGCUAGCAUGGGCGCAAUUUAUCUUAUUCUUUAUCUUAAUUUAUGUGAUACAAAUAGAAUUUAUAUAAUCAAUCAUUAAAAUAAUUUUAGUUUUUAAUUAUCGUGAUUUAUAAUACUUUUUCUUCUAUUUCAAUUUAACUGACACUAAUAUAAUUUCGACAGUCAGCAAAAAUAUUUUAUACUUUUUAAUUAACGGCACAUUCGACAUAUGUGCUUAUUGUCUAUAAAUUACAAAGAGGGGUAUUCUUAUCAUUUUAUUCUUCAAGAGAUGUGUACUAUUCUAAGUUAUACCACACCGCCUUACAUAGUGUCUCUCAAUAAAUAAACACGUGUUCAGCCUAAUUUAGGGAUGUACCUUGAAUGUGUAUAACAAUCUAAUUACUUUACACAUGUGUUGAUAGUGUGAUUAGUAGAUGUGUUAGUUAUAGUUUGUUACAAUUAGCAAGUUAGCUAGAACAUAACAAUUGCCACUUUGUAUAUAUAGAGGAAGGCACCAAUUUGAGCUAACUAGAGAAGAUAUUUUUCAUUUUUCUCAACUUCUUUCUAUCUAAUUUGUGAUAUAAAAUUAUAAAAGGGAAGGAAUGAAACUAGAAAAAACUUGUAUUAAUCUUUUCUUCUUUUUUGUACCAAACUUUCAGCAAAUGUAAGGCUAUUUAUAGUCAUAACAAUCAAUUAAAUAAGAUUAUAUAUUCCUUAGUGGUGGAGUGUGAAUUGACAUAAAUUGCCCACAAAUCAAUUAUCCACUUAAAUAAAGUUGUCCACUUAAAUAAAAGGUAGAUAAAAUGGCCUACAUGUCAUCCAUUUACAACACUCUCCCUUGGAUGACCAUGUAAAGAAAAAUCUAUUGAAUACGCAUAUGAGUGUUGCCUCAUUAAAAAUCUUAUCAGGAAAAAUCCAGUGGGAUAAAAACCUUGGUUAAGGAAAAAAGAGUACAACACAUAUUCUUACUCCCCUGAUGAAGACCUCGAUUCAACCAGUUUAUUCUUCGCAUCCCAAUCCCGUAUAUCAUCUUCUCAAAGGUUGAAGUUGGUAAAGAUUUGGUGAAUAAAUCUGCUUGAUUGUCAUAGGAACGGAUCUGCUGCCCAUCAAUAUCACCAUUCUUCUGAAGGUUGUGCGUGGCAAAAUGUGCUUUGUUCUAUCUCCCUUUAUAAAGCCUCCUUUUAGUUGAGCUAUGUAUGUUGCAUUAUCUUCAAAUAUGACUGUGGGUACCUUGGUAUCACGCUUCAGGCCACAUCUCUUUUUAUGGAAUGUACUACUGAUCUCAGCCAUAUGCAUUCUCUACUUGCUUCAUGGAUUGUUAUUAUCUCCGCAUGAUUAGAAGAAGUAGCAACGAUGGACUGCUUUGUCGAUUGCCAUGAUAUUGCAGUACCUCCAUAUGUAAACACAUAGCCUUUUUGGGACCGUAUUUUAUGUGGGUCAGAUAAAUAACCCGCAUCUGCAUAACAACAAGAGCUGGACUAGCUUUGUUAGUAUAAAACAAACCCAUAUCAAUAGUCCCUUUUAGGUACCUCAAUAUAUGCUUAACUUUGUUCCAGUGUCUUCGCCUAGGGGAAGAACUAUACCUCGCUAGCAAAUUAACAAAAAAUGCUAUAUCUGGCCUCGUAGCAUUAACGAGGUACAUAAGUGCACCAAUAGCACUGAGAUAUGGUACUUCAGGACCAAAAAUCUCUUCACCCUCUUCCAAAGGUCAGAAUGGAUCUUUACUCAUCUCGAGUGAUCGAACAACCAUUAGAGUACUUAAUGGAUAUGCUUUGUUCAUGUAAAAUUAUUUCAAAACCUUCUGGGUAUAGAUAUUUUGGUGGAUGAAAACUCUAUCGGCUAAAUGUUCAAUUUACAGACCAAGACAAAGUUUUAUCUUUCCAAGAUCUUUCAUUUCGAAUUCUUUCUUUAGAUACUCGAUUGCCUUUUGGACCUCUUCUGAAGUCCUAAUGAGAUUUAUAUCAUCCACAUUAACAGCGAGUAUAACAAACCCCGACGUAGUUUUCUUAAUGAAAAUACAAGGACAAAUAACAUUAUUUAUGUAACCUUCAUUUUUCAAGUACUCACUUAGGCGAUUAUACCACAUACGCCCUGAUUAUUUUAGACCGUACAACGAUUUUUGUAAUCUGAUUGAAUAUAAUUUUUUAGACUUUGAACUAUAUGCUUCAGGAAAUUUUAAUUCUUCUGGGAUUUUCAUGUAAAUAUCGUUAUCAAGUGAACCAUAAAGAUAAGUUGUAACCAUAUCCAUUAGAUGGAUUUCAAGAUUUUCAUGUACAGCUAGACCGAUGAGGUAUCGAAAUGUUAUUGCAUCCAUGACAAGUGAAUAUGUUUCUUCAUAGUUAAUACCGGGUCUUUAAGAGAAUCCUUGUGCAACAAGGCGUGCCUUUUAUCUUAUAAUUUUAUUUUUCUCAUUUCUUUGACGUACGAAGACCCAUUUAUAGCCAACUGAUUUUACACCAUUUGGGGUUUGGACUACAGGUCCAAAAAUCUCCCGUUUAGCAAGUGAAUUCAAUUCAAAUUGAAUCACCUCUUGACAUUUUUGGCCAAUCUUUUCUUCAUCGACAUUCUGCAACAGAUAGAGGUUCAAGUUCCUCAUUGUCUUACAUGAUGUUUAGUGCAACAUUGUAUGCAAAAACAUUAUACACCAUAAUUUUCGAUCGAUCUAAAUUUACCUCAUCAGUAGUAGAACUUAUUGAAAGUUCUUCAUUCACUCGAGUCUUGGGUUCACUGAUUUCUUCAGGAAUAUCAGGAUUAAUCAGAUUUUGAGUCUCUUCAGGAGAAUCUUUUAUAAUACCAUCUUUAUCAUUUUUCGCGGUUCUUUUUCUAGGAUUUUUAUCCUUUGAACCCAACGGCCUUCCACGCUUCAGGCGUGCUUGGGAUUCAGAAGUUAUUACAUUAGAAGAUGGUUCUUUUGGAACUUCAAUUCGGAUAGGCACAUUUCGCUGCAGGGAUAUGUGACUUGGUUAUCCUUUUCAAAUCAGUAAAUGCAUCUAGAAUUUGAUUUGCUAAUUUCUGUAAGUGAAUAAUCUUCUAUACCUCACUUUCACAUAUAAGGGUGCAUGGAUCAAAAUGAGAUAAUGAUGAAACUUUUGACACAAUUUCUCUUUUAAGUUCACGUUUUUCUCUCCUUAAUUGCGAAAAAUUUAUUUCAUCAAAUUGACAAUCUGCAAAUCGAUUAGUAAAUAAAUCUCCCAUCAAUGGUUCAAGGUAGCGAAUUAUAGAGGGUGACUCAAACCCCACAUAUAUUCCUAACCUUCUCUGGGGGCCCAUCUUAGUACGUUGAGGUGGUGCAAUUGACACAUGUACAACACAUCCAAAAAUUCGUAAAUAAAAAAUAUUUGAUUCAUGGCGCAAAAUCAAUUGAAACGGGAGUAUUUAUUAUAAUGAGUUGGCCUGAGACGAACAAGUGAUGUUGUAUGUAAGAUAGCAUGACCCCAAACAAUAGUAGGCAAUUUUGUUUUCAUAAGCAGUGGUCUUACUAUCAAUUGUAGGCGCUUAAUAAAUGACUCAGCAAGGCCAUUUUGAGUAUGAACAUGAACAACAAGAUGUUCAACUUUUAUCCCAACUGACAUGCAAUAAUCAUCAAAAACUUGGGAUGUAAAUUCUCCAGUAUUAUCUAGGCGAAUAGCCUUAAUAGGAUAAUCUGAAAAUUGCGCCCUUAAUCUUAUUAUUUGUGCCAAUAAUUUCGCAAACGCUAGGUUGCGAGAUGAUAAGAGGCACACAUGCGACCAUCUUGAAGAUGCGUCUAUUAGGACCAUAAAAUAUUUGAAUGUCCCACUAGGUGGGUGAAUAGGUCCACAUAUAUCCCCAUGUAUACGUUCUAGAAACUGAGGGGAUUCGAUGCUAACUUUCAGUAGCGAUGACUUAGUUAUCAUUUUGCCUUGAUAACAAGCAGCACAUGAAAAUUCAUCUGGUGUAAGAAUUUUCAGGUUCUUUAACUGAUGCCCUUUUUAAUUUCAAUGAUUCGUCUCAUCAUUAUUGAGCCAGGAUGGCCUACUCGAUCAUGACAAAGCACAAAUGUAUCAGUAAACUUCCGGUUUAUGAUAGAGUGUGCUUCAAUUGUACUAAUUUUGGCAUAGUAUAAGCUGGAAGACAAAACUGGUAAUUUCUUCAACAUUUGUUUUUAACCUGAGACAUUCUUUGUAAUGCCAAGAUAUUUGGCAUUCAUUUCAUUUAUUGUCUUAACAUGAUAUCUAUUUCUGCGAAUAUCUUUAAAACUCAAUAAGUUUCUUAGGGAUUUAGAAGAGAACAAUGCAUCUUCUAUAACUAGUUUUGUCCCCUUAGGCAGAAAUAUAGUAGCUCUUCCGGAGCCUUCGAUCAAUUUUGAAUUACCAGCAAUUGUGUAACAUUUUCUCUUCUUCUGAGUAAGUGAAAAAAGUAUUUUUCAUCUUUAAAUAUUUCAUGUGUUAUCCCACUAUCAACUACACAAAUAUCGUCAUGAUCGAUUAUUGAUCCAAAUACGACUUGAGGAGUAUCCAUGAACAAAAUAAACAUUAUAAUAUAACUAGCACAUAAUAUCAUGCAUUUACACAUUAUUUUAUAUUUUAAUUGCAGUUGUGUUCUAAACAAUUAACAUCUCUAUUACAUAAUAGUUUUGCUAUUACUAACCAUGUGCAUCUAAAGUACACAUAUUUAAUAUUGUAUGUAAUAACAUGAUCUAUUGGCUACUCAUGUUAAUUUCAUAAUAUGUCUUCUAUGAAUAUUCAUUACUGCAAUAAAUAAUUCCAGUCAUAAUGUUAAAAUAAUUUAUGUACUAUAACAUUAUAUAAAUAGCUCACACUGUAAAAAUUUCAUGUGCGUACUACAAAACCAAAAUUACUUAGUGAUCAUAAUACUAUACUAUGGCACUAGCACAUAAUAUAUUAUAUAAACUUUAUAAGAUUAUUAAAAUAUUAAUAAUUGAAACGUAAAUUAAUUUUAACUUAAACAAACAAAAGAAAAUAAACUAAUACAAACUUAACAGAAAAUUAACAUAAUCGGAUUAUAUCAUUAUUAUCACCUACAAAGUGAUUUACUUGUUCUUCAGGAACUGCAAAGAAAUCUGACAUUUUCAAGUCCAUAGGCUCAACAUUAUCUUCUAGGAGGAAGUUUGUUUCAACAUCAUUUUCUGGCCUUUUCAGGGACGGCUGAUAUUGUUUUACCGGAUGCUUAGGCGUAUGACAGGCAUGCUCCCAGUGCCCCUUUCCUCCACAUCGAUAACAUCUACUUUCAGGGUUCGUCCUUGGUGCUACUUCAGGAGCUUUACCCCUCUUUUUGCACAGCUGGUGUUGAGGAUUGUUGUUUAUUGUAAGGCGAUUACCCUGAUUGAAAUACCUGUCACAACCACGACCAUGAUCAUGACCUCGACCUUAACCUCGACCACGACUAGGGUCAGGAUUUCUUUCACUCCAAGUUGGAUGAAAAUUUACAGCAUUCACUUCUGGAAAUGGAGCAGUACCAGGAGACCGAGUUUCAUUAUUUUUUAUUAAAAGGUCAUUAUAUUGUUCAGAAAAAGAAGAUGACCAAUUAAUUCAGAAUAUUUUUUUAAACCCAUUUCUCGAUACUGCUGCUGCAGGAUCAUACUCGAGGAGUGAAAAGUAGAAAGUGUUUUUUCUAUCAUGUCGUGAUCUGUGAUCUUUUCGCCGCAUAAGUCAUACUGCGAUUUAAUUCUAAACAUCGCAGAAUUAUAUUCAGUUACAUUACGAGCUUGUGGGAGUAUGACCAUCUUCAGGUGGUCAUAUCUUUCCUUUAAAUUGUUCUACAAUGUAAGGGGAUCUUUGAUCUUGAGUUACUCCAUUUUUAACCCUUCGUCAAGAUGCUGACGAAGAAAUAUCAUGGCCUUGGCCUUAUCUUGUUCUGACGCCUUAUUAUUAUUUUAAUGGUGUCUGUCAGACCCAUUGCAUUUAAAUAUAUUUCUGCGUCUAGGGCCCAGGACAUAUAAGUUUUGUCAGAUAUGUCUAGGGCAUUAAAAUCCCGUCUGAAAAUAUUAAUCAUUAUUUAAGAAAAUAAAAUACUAACCUUUAAAUACCCUCGGAAUGAUUUUAUAGAGGCUUGUGUUGAUAACGUGAUAUAAAAUUAUAAAAGGGAAGGAAUGAAACUAGAGAAAACUUGUAUUAAUCUUUUCUUCUUUUUUGUACCAAACUUUCAGCAAAUGUAAGGCUAUUUAUAGCCAUAAUAAUCAAUUAAAUAAGAUUAUCUAUUCCUUAGUGGUAGAGUAUGAAUUGGCACAAAUUGCUCACAAAUCAAUUAUUCACUUAAAUAAAAUUGUCCACUUAAAUAAAAGAUAGAUAAAAUGGCCUACAUGUCAUCCAUUUACAACAAUCUGGAGAUUUUUUAUGAACUUAAUAUGGUAUCAGAGCUUAGAAAUUGAAAAUGUUUUGCCGCAAUCUUCACAUGUUGUGAAGGAUUUGAGUAUUUCUCGCAUACAUUUUGCAAUUUGCAAUGUUUUUUUUGUGUGUGUAUUUUGAUUUGCAAUUUGUAAUUAAAUGAAAGAUAGUGUACUUUUUUCUGACACUUUUAAUAAGAUACAAAUAAUGCAACAUAAAAGAUAAAUUCUUUGAAUAAAUAAUUUUGUAAAAUGAUUAAAAUACCCUCAAUCUUUAAUUCAGUUCCUACAAGUUAACAUGUUGAAAGUAGCUUUGCUAACGGUCGUGUUAGCAUGGGCACAAUAUUUAAAAAUAAAAUUAAUAAUAUAUUUUUAUCAAAAUAAUAAUUUAAAUAAAUAUAAAUAAAAUAUGCAUCAUCUAUUUUGAUUUAAAUAUAUACAUAGCCUAUUGAUGUUCUAAAUAAAUUUAAAAUUCUCAAUUAUCUAUAGAUAUAGUAAUCACCGAGGAAAGGUGUUAUUUAGUUUUAUAGUUGAUUUUAGGGAUAUUACGAACUGAUAUAAUCAUACCAGAUUAGUUUUUAAGACUCUUUAAUUUAAAUCAUAAGUACGUUAGGUUUUUAAUUUAGAAAAAUGAAUUAAAAAAAUUGAAUUGAUCGAAUAAAUUUAUAUGAAUGUAAUGUGUUUUAUAUAUUAAGUUUAGCGUAAUGAAUAUUAAAAAUUUUAUUUUGGAUUUGAGGUAGUGAAAAUGAGUAGAAGCUACUGAAUAAUUAACAUUCAAAAUUUCAAUUGAAAAAUAACUCAUAAAAGUAGUAUAUUUAAUCAAAUUAAGUACAUCUAAAUUUCUAUCACCAUAUAUACACUCAUUUAAUUUCUGAGACCAUUUGGAAUUAGCAGUAAGAUAUAGGUUUCCUUAAUUUGAUUUUAUUAUUCGGUAUCUAAAGUUUACUGACUCUAAUUUAGGUUCAAACUUUAACUCAUAGAUAAUUAGGACUUGUCUAUUUUAGCAGUGGCGGAGCCACAGCCAACGAAGGGUGGUCAGAUGAACACCCUUCGUCGGAUAUUUUUUCGAAUAUAUAGGUUAAAUAUAGACAUUUAUAGUUAUAUACAUGUUGUUGCACACCCUUGACAAGCUAGAGAAGCAUAGUCCAGUGGUCAAGAGUGUGCAUUUCAGCAUUAACAACUCGGGUAUGAACCUAGACAGGUGCAACGGUGUUUUAUUUUCUUUAUUUUUUAAACAGUUCUUUGCCCAAGGGAAAAUAUGAAUACUCUUAAUCAAAAGUCUGGCUCCGCCACUGUAUUUUAGAGAUACUUGGUGAACUUUUGUUUAAUUAUUUUUUCUCGUCACUACUUGAAGUUGUGGGUUUCCUUAGUACAUAGCAAGACAAAGGAAACAGUUAUAAACAAUUGUUUAACAUUGCUAACGGUUGCAUUAACACUUUGCGCUUUGCCAUUUAAAAAAAAAAAGAAAUCCACAAUGCAUUGAUGUCUUCUACAAUGUAUUGACGUCUUCAAUUACAAAGAAGAGUUGCUUAGAUGGCCUUAAAUACCCUCCAUCUACAACUUGUUGGGUUCGAAAUCGUGAGGGCGUCAUGCGAAAGCUUAAAAUUUGUAAACUAAUAUGGUGAUAAUUCAGAUGACACAAAGCUAAACUAAAAAGCAUUAUAUUGUUGAUGUGAUUUGGCCAAUGAGCCUACAUAUUAUAAAACCUAAUAAUUAAAAAACACAAAAACUAAUGACAGAGAAAAUCUCCCCUAACCAAAACUCUUAAACACAUUGUGGAUUCUACUGUAUUUUUGUAUGAGAAGGAGACUCUUCUAUUUAUAGAGUUCCAAAAUCUUUCCUCUUUAGAACGAGUUUUUCCAAAUAUGAAAAAGUUUUAUAUUUUUCUUUUAGAAAAAGUAAAAGUAAUUAUGAUAUUACUUUUAUUUUCCUUCUAAGAAAAUAAAACUUAAAUUUGGUAAGAAAAUCAAGGCAAAAACCCUAAUAAAUCUCUCCUUUUUGGCUUAGUUUUCUUGACUUGUUUCUCCUUCUUCAUGUCAUAUGCAUAAUUUUGAUCCUUCACAUAAUCUUUAUUUAUCUCUGUAGUUUGUCAUGCUUAAAAAAUUGAGCCUUUUGGGGUUAAAAUAUAUCAGCUCUUUUUGAGUUAAAAGUAUUGGAACUCUUUUGCAGGGUUAAAAGUGAGCUUUCUUUUUAAAUAUGUGACAGCGGGAUUAUUGAAAUAUGAUUGACAAUUGUCUCCACGUGUAGUUAGACAAAAUCGUCAUUAUCGCCAAAUUGGUUGCAUCUUCAUUUGAAACUGCUUUGAACUUAUUUAAUCUCGUUUCACCAAACUUUUGGACCUUUAAAUCGUAGUCUCUGAUAUCACUUGUUGGGUUCAAAAUCGAGAGGGAGUUAUGCGGAAGCUUAAAGUUUGCAUCCUAAUAUGGUGAUAAUUCAGAUGACACAAAGCUAAACUAAAAAGCAUAAUAUUAUUGGUAUGGUUUGGCCAAUGAGCCUACAUAUUAUAAAACCUAAUAUUUAAAAAACAUAAAAACUAAUGAGAGAGAAAAUCUCCUCCUAACCAAAAAUCUUAAACGAUUACAUUGUACAUGUUGUUGUGUUAUGGUAUGAGAAGGAGGGUCUUCUAUAUUUAUAGAGUUCCAAAAUCUUUUCUCUUAGAACAAAGUUUGCCAAAUAUGAAAAAAAAUUUAUAUUUUUCUUCCAAGAAAAUAAAGAAAAAAUAAUUAUGGUAUUACUUUUGUUUUUCUUUAAAAAAAAAUAAAACUUAAAUUUGGUAAGAAAAUUAGGGAAAAAACCCUGACACAACUCUAAGAUUGUGGGUUCUAAGUCACUAGGAUACCUAACAAUCAGGAAUAUUACUUACUAAUAUUUGGUAUUAUUACAUAAAAUGUAAUAAGGAUCCAUGAAGAGAAUUAGGAUUUUUUUUACCUCUUCCUAGAAGUUUCUAUCAUUUUCGCUUUUGUAAUGAUCUAAUUUGUGAAAUUUUACUUUUUAUGUAUUAACUGUUUUACCUUUCCCGUAGUUGUUACAUGCUUAUUUUGGGGUGUAGAAAUGAUUGACACGGUUAUCAAUGGCUCCGAGUUGGUUUAGGGAGAGUUUGAGACUUUUAGAGGCUUUUAAAGCUACUAGUUUGACUUUGAUCAAUAUUUGAUAUUUAGAGUCCCGAAUGAUGAUUUGGAUAGUUACAUUAGAUCUGAAACGUCAAUUUUGGGCUAUUAGUGGAGUUGGUUCAGGUUCGGGACCUUUAGUUUACAUUUUGACCCUCCAUUUGGAAACUAGUUUAAACAAGCUUUUAGGGGUUUCAAAUGAUCCUUUUUCAAAAUUUUGACGUUGCUACUAAGUUCGUUUGAUUUUACAGGAUUUCAGAUGAAUCCCAAGGGGUCAAUCGCCAACUUUGCAAAAUAGAAAAGUUGUUGAUGCAAUUGCUUUAGUGGUAGUCGCUAUAGCGGCAAUGCAUCCCUUUAGCGAUCACUUUGACCAGCAAUGCUAAAACGGUUACUUUACCACUUUAGUGGGUGCCGCUUUAGUGAUGGAGGACCACUUCAGCAGAGCCAGCCCCGGUGGCUAGGCCGCUUUAGCGGAUCCAGCCAUGGUUGUUAAGCCGCUUAAGUGGUGACUACUUUAGCAAUCAUCUAGUUGCUUAAGCUGUCAAUGUUGGAAAAGUAUAUAUAAUUUAUUUUUGCAAUUUUUCUCCAUUUUUGGACCUCCAAGUCUCAAAAAAAGUGAUUUUCUUGGGUUUCUUCAUCACUUUUCAUGUGGGUAAUCUCUAAAAUCAUUUUUUUCAUUAUUUACUAUUGAUUAUGUCUUUGAAAACACCUUUUAACCUUGAUUUUGAAAUGAAUUUUUGAAAUUUUAUCGGUAAAGCUUGUAUUAAUUUUUCUUUGAAUCGAACAUCAUUUUUAACUCAUUUUCGCGUGGGUUUUCAGUUGUAGAUUCCUAUAACCUUAGGGAAUAUGUUUCUAAAAGAAAAUUUCAGUUUUACCCAUUUUCUUUUCUAACCUAUUUCUGAACCCUAUUUUGAACCCGUCUUAAAAAUAAGCAUUAUGGAUAUCAUUAGUUUUCUUUUGACCCGUAGGUGUUACCUUUGUAUGUUUUAGUUGUUUUUGAGAUCGUUUGAAAGAGAAAGGCUCCAUGCUGAAGAACCCUAGGUGAAAUAUCGAUGCUUCGAGGUAGGUUAUGACUGUUGACACCUAAUGUUUGCCCUCCACAACUAAGUUUAGUCCCGAGUUUCUUUGAAAUUUAAAUAAAAUCACAACAUUUAUUUUAUCCAGAUAAAAGCUCUCCAAAGUAUUUAUCUAGGUAAUUUUGUCAUUUUAAAGGACGAUUAUAUAUUUUUCAUAUUCAAUUAUACAAAAUCAUAUAAUUUUGUUACUUAAAUAUAUAUUCUAUGGAACACAGGAUUUUAAUCAAGUCUAUCAUGAUAAUUAGUUCAAAUGAUUAAGACCUUAGUUUAAUUGUAAUUUGUGCUUGAAAAUAAUUUAUUUUAAAAAAAAUAUUUGGUUGAUUUUAUUAAACCAGGAACUCAAAAUUAAAUUGGUUUAUAAUUCAUAUAAAAUUUUGAUUCAAUUUAGCCGAUUCAUUGAAUUGAGUAAUAUCCCAUGUAAUUGACUAUUUUUGUAAAAAUAAAUUCAAAUCCUAACCGCCACUCAAUUAAUUAGCUACUAGCCCACUCCAGCAGGCCCAAUCAACACCCGUCCUAAGCCCACUCCAUUCUACUGACCCAACCCACUUCAGCCCAACACCCUAUUUCCCCUCUUCUCCUUCAAACGAACAGCAACAAUACGCACAACAGAGAAACAACAAACAGUAACUCCAAAAACCCGAUCCCCACCUUCAAACCGCCCUCCCCCCAACAACCCAAACGUCGUUGCGACGUAAAGGGGUGUGCGUGGAAAAAGCUGGAAGCCACUAGAACCUUCUAGAAAGGUACUAGGUGGCAGCCAGGUCAUUGGUCAAAGAAUAUUCCGUAAAAAAUUCCCGCCAUGGAGUACAUAUAUUGCUCUAUUUCAAUUAGGGCUGGAUAUAUUUUGAUUUCGUUUUUUUGUUUUUUCGAAUCGAUUUCGAUUUCAAAUUUUAGAAAUGUAGUUAAAAGUUUCAACUUUUGUUUUUUUCAAUUUUUUUUUGAUUUAACUGAUAAAUUGAAAUUAUAUAAAUAAUAUAUAUAUUUAUUAUAUAUAUAAAUUAUAUGUAUAUUUUUUAUUUUAUAUAUUCAGUAUAAAUAUUAUUUUUUGGCUAUUUCAUGUUAUUUCAUCCUUGUUGAGUUGUUUAUAUUUGGAAAUGAAAAAAAGAUUUGAAAAAAAUAUUUUUUUUUAAAAAAAAAAUCACUAAAUUUUAAUUCCUAGUCAUGACAGAAAAAACUCACUACUUUAAUCUUCAAAACUGAAAUAAAAUUUUGAAAUAACCGAACCAAAUGUAUAGAAGCCGAACCAAACUAAAUUUAUUUUGGUUUGGUUACGGUUGUCAUUUUCGACAAUCAAAAAUAAAAAAACUAAAUCAAUACUAAAUAAUUAAAUCGAAUAAGCUGAAUGUCCAAUAUUCCUGAUUUCAAAUUUUCUUCCAGAAAUUCAAAAUUGAGUACAAGAAUGACGUUGCAAUUUGUCCAUAUCUAAAAAUUCAAAAUUUCCCUUUAAAUAAUUCUCAAAAUACUCCCGAUUUCCUUUUUGUCCACAUCGGUUGAGCUAAAAAAAUCGAUCCUAUUUUUUUAUUUUUUUGUUAUAAAUAGCUCACUUUAGAGCGAAAUUGGCAAGUCUGAAGAGAGUACGGAAAAGCUUUUUUUGAGAAAACAAGUAGUAAAUUUUUGAGUAAAGGCCCAAAAUCAUACAUUAUUUUUAUUUUAAACACAAAAUAAUACAUAUUCUUUCAACUGGUGCACUAAUAGUCCUUUUGUUUUAAAAGUGGUGCAUUUUUAGUCAUCACUCGAACACUGUUAAUUUUUUUUUAACAUCAACCAAUUACCUUUCUAUCACACUAUUUUUUUUCCUCCAAAGAAAAACUCACCUGCAAAAUGUUGCUGACAAGGGCUUGAAUCAAUUUGAGUCUUGAAGUGUCACUAGUCACUAUGAUUUUUAUUUAGUCAUAAGGGCAUAAGUUCUUGGGGUUCUCAUGAGUUCAUGGACUGAAUGCACAGUCAAUGAGGGAGGAAAAAAUAUAUUCCCAUAAACACAAGAACUUCGAGAUCAGCCUCUUCACCAACAGCUGGCCGACGAGGACGAACCAAGUAUAUUUGGGUUGCACACCAUAAGCAGUAUAAGAAAGCAAUUACCAACAUCAGCUUGACAGAGUUGAAACUCGUAACUUGAGCAGUUUCAGUGGCUUCACAUUGCAAGAUAGUUGCGACCCAAAAAUAACACGUUAACGACAGAGCAAGCAAUUGAAACGAAAGUAAAAUAUCAUUGACUAAUCCAUCAGUAAAACCUACUUUUUAUGAUGAUGUUCCUAUCUCAAAUUCUCUUCAAGUGGAACAUUUCACAAAUAUGACAUUUAAUCACCUCAAAGAAGUUAAAUUGGAAGGUUUUGUAGUCUAAGAGCCUGAUUUGCAGCGUAUAAAACUUCUCUUAGCCAAAAUCUUCGAUGCUGAUGAAAAUUCUAACUAACCUCUACUAACCUGCUGAAGAAUCUGGCAUCGCCUAACAUAAAAGUUGACGUCAUCUUUUAUCUUCAUGAGUCUUAUCAGACCAUGAAAUUAAUAGAUUGAAACAAUUGUUGAUGUAGUGAUACAGAGAAGUCUGAAUUGUUAAUGCAGUGUCGAUACCUCAAGGCUUAUUUGAUGUGUUUUUGCAUUGAUUUUCCUUGCCUAAUGGUGCUCGUGUUUACUUAAUAUGAACGUGAGGAGGCUGCUGUUAAAAAAAUUUACAGUGUUAGGGUGAUGACUAAAAAUGCACUCAGUUUUUAAACAAAAAAGAUUAAUAGUGCACUAAUUAAAAUAAUAUAUAUUAUUUUAUGUCUAAAGUAAACAUAAUGAAUGAUUUUGGGCCUUUACUCUAAAUUUUCUUUUAGUAAUUUAUUUAAAAAAAAAAAACAUCAGCUAAUCGAGAUUCUCAAAGUUUCAAAGCUUUCCAAUGGUGGCGGAUUCCAAUGAGGCUUGAAGUUCGGUUUUUCUGCCCUAAAAAAGAUAAACACACUUUUUUCCUUUUAAUUUUGUUAUCAUUUUCUUCUUCAUCUCUUUCUCUGUAGCAAUAGUUGUGUAGUCAUAAUCGUGAUAAUGCUGGGAUUGCUUGUUGUAGAUGGCUACAAUUGCCGUAGGAUUUGAUUGUAUUGGUUGUUAUUAUGUUGUUUGCUGAAUCAAUAUUUAUUUUGUUGCUUACGUUUCGGUUACUUUGAACGCACUGUUUCAUGUUAAUGGUGUUGAUUAGUUGCAGAUUUUUAAAGUAAUGAAUGAAUUCAAUGUCUCAUGUUACUGGUGAUAAUUAUUUGUAAGUUUAUAGUAUGAAGCUGCAUAUAUCAUGGAAUUUUUGUCUUUCCUUGUCUUGUUCACUAUCUUUGAUUUAAUAACUUUCGUUGCGAGAUAUUAUGUCACUGUCUAGCCUUAACGUUGUUUGAUGAAAGUUGAAUGUAUAGUUUCUUUUGAUUUAUUUUGAAUUGGAGUUGGAUAUAUUAAUUUCAUAAUUUUUGUUUUGCUUUCGAAACCACUAUUACACUAAGUUUUGUUGAUCCCCAGCAUGCUAUUUUUAUACUUAAAUAUUAUGAUCUGAUUUGCUAUCUGUUUAGGCUGAAUAUCCUUGUUUUAGUCUAGAUACAUCUUCCUAAGUUUAGUGUAAUUUUGGUUUGCUUUGAUUCCUCCCUUAAUUUUGUUCCUAUUUCAAGGUCACUGAUGGUGGUUUAAUUUACUGUGUUAACCAGAUACAAACUGCCUCCUAAUUCUUUUCUCCUUUAAAGCCAAUAGAGAUAGUGGUUGUAUGUCUGUAGUAAGGUCACGAUCUUAUGAACCCUCAAGGAUCUUUUCUUUGACCCUAGAAAGUUCAUUUCUAGUUCGUCAAAGAGAAUAUGAGGAUGAUUUUGUAGUGUACUCCUCUUGGGAUUAUAAGUUGUAUUUCUCUCUGUGUUAACUAUGUAAAAAAUGUCAUUGUAAAUAAGAUUACUUAUAUGUUCUGCACCUGCAUAACUAUAUUUUAUUUUAGAAAUUGUCUAGCUUCUCUUGCCUUUAUUUUCCUUCCCAAUUUGAUUACCGCACAUAUUCUUGAUCUGCCUGAAAGCGUGAUUUCCUCUUCUCUUGUUGAUUGCAUACUUGUUCCUUCAUUUGUCUUACUGGCCAUGUCGAACUUUGCCCCUUAAAUGUGAACUUUGAUUUUGUCUCGUUGACAAUAUGGUGGACUCAUGUCGUCUAAGUUUGAUGUUAGGCCCUUAUAUUGUCUAUUUGUAACUUGGUACAAAAGUAAGAUUUUCAAGUUCGUUUAUUUUGUGAUGAUUAUAGUGAUUGUUCAUUAGUAUUUUUAUCUUGAUUGGAUUUUGGCUCAUGGGCCUAAAGUUUUAAGGUUUCGUAAGGCUAUUUAUGUAAGAAAUGAUGUUCUAUCUUGUUUAAUGAGGUGGUAAAAUCAGUCAAUUUGAAUAUUAUUUUUUUAACCUAUGUUUCCUACCGAUUUGAAGUUUAUCUGCCUCUCCGUAAUGUUUUGCUAGUGUGUUGUAUUGAUAGUUGUUGAUUCCUUUAUCUGUGUUUGCUUUCGAUUAUCUAUUACUUGGCUUCAAGAAUCGUGUGAUAUAGCCGAUCACUUUCUAAUCCUUGAUGUCAUUUCUCAUUUUCAGAAGCAAAUACUGUAUUUUUCGCAUUUUCUGAGUUGCAUUUAGAUGCUCUACACUUAUGACACUAGAUGUUUGAGGCUUUAUGGUGUAUCAUUCAGACUUCCGUUUUACGUAUAUAAAUUGACUUGACUUCAUUCUAGAAGUCUCGUUUGUCUUAUUCUAAUUGCAAUUCUUGAUUUUCUUUCGAUUUUAGGAAAUCCGCUUACUCAUCAGGGCUGGGUCUCGGUGAGUAUCAUCAGGACCUCAACUUUUGAAUCUUGACAUCUUCACCGAUGAUUUUAAGUCAUUCUCAAAACUGAAGGUGGAGGGUACUUAUCAUCCGAGCAAUCCCCCUAUUAUCUUGAUGGGAUAUGAUUUAAAAACUAAGUUGUCCCGUCAAACUCACUACCUCAAAAUUGAAAGUCAGCGAUGCUUACCAUCCGAGCAACUCUCUCUUGGAAUGUUUUUCCUAUUCCCUUGGAUAUAAUCAUCUUUUUUGACCUGAGAAUUAGUGUCUGGAAGAGAGAAACCAAAGACGCCUGGCAAAUAUAUUUGAUUUUAGAUAUGGUUCAAUCUUUUAAUAGGUACAUUAUAUCCAUGACACUCAAGAGUGUCGGACUAAUUAUUGACCAAACAUAUUCUUUCUUCUUGAUACACAAUCAUUAAACUAAUUUUUAUAUAUUUUUCUUUUAACAACUAAAUGAAAUCUAACAGUUAAAUAUCAGUAUACACUGUACAUAUAUAUAACAACAUUCCACUAUAAUAAUCAUGAAAUUUUCAGACUAACCUCUAUUACUAUAUUUCUUGGUUUCAUGGUAUACUUUCAAUGUUUCUAUUGACUCGAUUAAUAGAUUUUAGUUUGAUCCAGAAUUUUAUAAUGUGAGUUUUCUCUACCCACAUGGAAUAUUGAGAGAUAUAUGUUAAAGUUGAUCUGACCUUCAUGAGGAAGUGAACUCCUGGGAAGCUAAGAUGCUUAUUUUAGAUGACUUGGAUCUUCAAAACAACAAUGAACAACAGAGAGAAGAGCUGAACAAAGGAUAUGCAGAAUAUGUAAGAUGGUUGGGUCUACAAGACAACUUGUUCAGACAAAAGACACAAAUAAAUUAGUUCAAAGAAGGUGACUAUAACUCAAAAUACUUUCAUAGUAUUCUGAGAAAUAGAAGAAGGAAUGUCCAUAUGUAUUCUAUUAAAAACCAUAGGAACAUUUGGAUCCAAGGAGAUGAUAAGAUAGCAAAGGCUGCUAUCAAUCACUACAAAGAUUUCUCUAACCUGAGGCAACAUACCUAUAACAGUUCCAUUCUGAAUUGUAUUCCUAAUAUUAUCAACAGAGAAGACAAUGAGUAUCUUUCAAAAAUGCCAGAUGAAGAGGAGAUUAAGGAUACUGUCUUCAGUAUGGGUACAGAAAGCAGUGCAGGGCCUGAUGGUUUUAAUGGCAUGCUCUUUUAGUAUUGUUGGGAUAUUAUAAAGCAUGACAUUGUUGCUUUUGUCACUGAUUUCUUCAAGGGUAAAGGACUUACCAAAUUCUAUACUCACACUUGCUUAACAUUAAUCCCUAAAGUGGAUUCUCCUUCUACUUUUAAUGAGUUUAGGCCUAUUAGUCUUAGCAAUUACACCAACAAGAUUAUCUCCAAAUUGGUAGCUAGAAGAUUGAACCCUCUUCUUAACAAAUUGGUCUCUGAUAAUCAAAGUGAUUUCGUGUCCGGGAGAUUAAUUACAGAAAAUGUUAUGCUUGCCCAAGAGAUCAUUCAUGAUAUUGCUAAACCUAAUCAGGGAGGAAAUAUGGUGAUCAAACUUGACAUGGCAAAGGCAUACGAUAGGUUAUCCUGGUCCUUUCUUUUUAAUAUCCUGCAUAAAUAUGGUUUCAGUAGUGACUGGAUAGACCUUAUCAAAAGGCUCAUUUCUAAUGCCUGGUACUCAAUCCUAAGAAGUGGUACCAGACAUGGAUUUUUCCGUUUCUCUCAAGGGCUCAAACAGGGGAUCCCAUAUCCCCUUCCUUAUUUAUCUUAGCAGCCGAGGUUCUUUCAAGAUCUCUGAACAACUUCAACAAUGAUAACAAGUUUAUCCCUUUCUCCAUGAACAAAAGAGGGCCUCAAAUUAAUCAUUUAGCUUACGUAGAUGACAUUGUCAUAUUCUCCAGUGGUAAUACAAAUUCAGUUAAGAUGAUUAUGAAGCAAAUUAAGAGAUACGAAAAGGUUUCUGGUUAAAAGGUCAACAAUGACAAGAGUUUCUUUUUAACAUACCCCAAGACUAGUCCAUAUAGAAUCAAUAGAUUGAGACAAUGCACUGGCUAUAUGGACAAGUCAUUUCCUUUUUUAUUUGGGUUGCCCUCUGAAUUAUAGUAGAAAAAAAGUAAAAUAUUUUGAUGGUAUGGUUUCGAAGGUAGUUAAGAGGAUGAACGGUUGGCAAGGUAAGAUGCUCACGUACGGGGGAAGAUCCGUACUUAUUAAGAGUGUCCUUCAAUCUCUUCCGACUUAUACUCUCUCUGCACUUAACCCUCCUAAAGCCACUCUAAAUAUGAUUGAGAAACACAUGGCCAGGUUUUACUGGGGUUCUACAACUGAGAGGAGAAAGUUUCACUGGAGCUCUUGGACUAAUUUAUGUCAUCCAAAAGAUGAAGGAGGUAUAGGUAUUAAAAGGCUGGUUGAUAUCUCCAAUACCCUGGCUAUCAAAAGGUGGUGGAGAUUGAGAACGAAAAACUCUAUUUGGGCUGAUUUUUUGAAAAACAAGUAUUGCGCUAAUAAACAUUUGGUUCAAAAGAAAUGGAUGUCGGGUAACUCUUAAGGAUGGAAAAGUCUUGUAUGGGCCAGGAAUAUUGCAGAAAACCAUGUCAAAUGGAACAUCAAUAGUGGAAAUUGCAAUUUUUGGUGGGAUAGAUGGACAAAUUUCGGCACUUUGGCUCUUAUUCCUUCUAUCUACUGUGAUGGGCUUUUUGCCAAAUUGUGUUAAAGAUUUCAUGUUGGAUAGAAAAUGGGGUGAAAGAAUUUUGUCUUGUGUUCUUCCUACAAACAUUGUUCAAAGUAUUAUGCACAUCAACAUUGGGCCAAAUGACCAGGAUGAUGAUCCUAUUUGGAUGUGUACUGCAGAUGGUCAUUACUCUAAUAAAACCGCUUGGAAUUUGGUGAGAAAUGUGAAGUCAAAAAAUGAUUUUAUGCAAAAUCUGUGGCAUAAGUCUAUACCAUUUAAGAUAUCUUUUCUUGCUUGGAGAUUAUGCCAAGGGAAACUUCCUUUUGGUGAGGUUGUAUCUAGAUCUGGACAACAUUCUAAUGUUGAAUGCUACUGCUGCACAAAUCCUGUAACUGAUUCCAUCCAACACACCUUUACUCAAGGGAAUGCUGCUAUGCAUAUUUGGAAAUAUAUUGGUGCUCCUCUGGGAAUAAUCCAUCGGCCAGGACCUAUAAGAAGAAUUUUCAAUAAUUGGUGGAGUGUUACGAACAAAAAUAGUGUACACAGCAUGAUCAUUCAUAUUGCCCCUAUAUUUAUAUGUUGGGAAAUCUAGAAACAAUAGACAAAUUGUAAAUUUGGGGAUCAAAACAAGAUGUACCACAAGAAGAUGGAGUAUCGAAUAAUAUGGAAUAUUACUGCUGCCCUCAACAUCACUUUCCCAUCAGUAACCGUAACAGGAAAUUGGCCCAACAUGUGUGACACUUUUGAAAGAUUGCAACCUAAGGUCAAUGUCAAACAAGUUAUUUGGCAAAAACCAGAAGUAGGGGACUACAAAAUUAAUGUCGAUGGUAGCUACAACAAGGACACAGGACAAGCAGGUAUCAGAGGCAUAGUUAGAGACAGCAAUGGAGACUUUGUGAUGGCUUUUUCAAAGGUAGUGCAUUGUACCAGUAAUAACCAAACGGAAGCUACAGCUGCUAGAUUUGGGACUCAAUGGUGUGUGCAGAAGGGUCUUAAUAGUUCCGUUAUAGAAAUGGAUUCGAUGGUGAUCAUCAACAUGCUGAAAAACAAAGGUAUCGCUAAUCUCAAUCUGAAGAAGAUCAUUUAUGAUACUAACAAUAGUGUUAAAAAUGCCAAUGUCGAUUUCAACCAUUGCUACCGAGAAGCUAAUGUGGUAGCAGAUUACUUUGCUAAAAUGGCCUCUACUAUUGGAAAUGAAACCUUUUUUUACUCUUGGCAAUCCCUUCACCAAGAGAUCAAAGGUUAAUUCAACUAGACAAGCGACAAUUACCUUAUAUGAGGAGAAAAUAUGAAAAAUGUAAUUUCUUUGUAAGUUGAUGUUUAUAUGCUUUGGUAGAGAAGGAGAUUGUAUAGGCUACUCCUUCCUCACUCUUUUUAGUGGAUCUUUUAAAGAUGGAAUCUGUUGGUUAGGGGUAAGGUCCAUGUCCCCCUUAACAAGCUUCUCGUUGAUUAAUAGACAUGGUAGGGGUCAAGCCUAACCCCCUCACCAAAGGCACCACAACCUGAGGUGAUGGCUUAUUUUAAAAAAAAAAAAAAUUACUUCUCCACUUCAUUGUUUUUACAUUAAAAAACAUGGAGGAAGACUGACCCCCCCGGGGGGGGGGGGGGGGAGGGGGUUGAACAACAAGCUCACCAUGCAUUUUGACUUGCUUUCUUGUGGGAAAAUAAAUACUCACAUAAAUUUGGUGGAGGAUUCAGAAUUCUCAUUAAGAAUGUUAGAAAAACAAAAAAAUAUACUUGACAUUUUAACUGGGAACCUCAAAUUGAAUUUCUAAUUCCCUAAAUCACUAAACCAACGUGUAGUCUUGUAUUGAGGGGAUUCGAUAUGUAUAUUUAUACACAAAAAAAAUUACCUUACAUACAAAAUGUUAUUUUUUGUCGAGGGGUCCAGGAUAACACCCCGAACCCCCUAGAUCCAACCCCUGUACACAGAAAGAUGUGUGUCUUCACUCCACUCCACCCCAUACUUCCAUCUAAUAAAAGUGGCUACUUUUCCUUUAUUCAUCUACUUGCUUCCUCACAGCAAUAGGAAUUCUAACAAAAUGUUUGCCAUCACUCCAUGCCAAACUUCCAAAGGUAAAUUUACCACUUCUUUGGUGAGUAGAUGUGAUCUUUACCUUAAAGGAGAUCUUCUUUGUCUUGGCAUUAAACUUCAAGACAUCUGGAGUUACUUUAAUAGCAACGUUUCUCGGAGGUUUAACCACUAAUUUGUAUAUAGAGUUAACAUUUCCAACAUUAGUAACAGUUCUCUUGAUAGUAACUGAAUCCUUGAGAUUUGGAAUUGAUAUUGAAGGGAGAUUCAUAUCCAACCUUGACGGUACUACUUUGGGACACACAAUGCCUGCUGAAGAAGUAGAAUUUUUCUUGUCUGAAUAAUACGUAGUUACAUUGUAAACCCUAUCAUAACUAUAGCCCAAACUGCAAAGAUAAUUCGAAUAAUCAUUUUUCUCCAUAUCAUAAAUUAAACCAGGAUCUGCUGCUCCAUUUGGAUUGCAUAUGCCACCUCCAAAGUCAAAUGGAUCAGCAAAAUCUCCUCCAGUUCCUUCUGAAAAAAUUUCAGCUUUAUAUGUAUCCUCGUUCCAUGCUACACAGUUCACAGAAAAUUUCAAUCAGUAAAUACAUAAACAAAAAUGUUGAAAAGAAGGAAAGACUAUAUAUUUUGCUCAAGAAUUUAGUUGAUGUACGAUAGCAUUGUAAAACCUUUUGAGCAUGAUGGGAUUAAUUAAUUAAAGUGAUGUAUAACAACAUGAAAUACUAAUUUAAGUUUAAUUUGGUAGUAAGCAACCUUGUUAUAACUUAUAAUAUGUUAAAAUAUAUUAGUAGUGUAUAAAUAAUAAAUGUAAGGUAAAUCAUUUUGUCAAUGUGUUGACAGUAUUUGUGUUCUUUUAUGUUAAAUUAAUGUAUAGCAAUGAGAACUUUUCAUAUAGAAUUCGCUAAGGUAAUUUAGUAUACUAUAAUAAGUCGAAUUGUGCUAUUAAUGUAUAGAAUUUAAAUUUAUAAGAUAUUACCUGUUGUCAUGAGUGCAGACUUAAUAGCUGUUGGAGAUCAAUUAGGAUGUGCAGCUUUGAGGAGUGCAACAAUUCCUGCGACAUGAGGGGCUGACAUGGAUGUUCCUGACGCGAGUUUGAAUCCAUUGUAUCCUCCAGCAGCAGGUGGAAAUGCUGCGAAUAUAUUAACACUAGGAGCUGCAAUAUCAGGUAAUAAUAUUUAAGUAAAAUUUAUAAAUCACUUAAAAAAAUAUAAUAAAAUAAUUCAAUGAGAGAAUAAAAAUUGUUAAAUCAUUUUAUAUUUACCUUUAGAAUUUCUGGAGCAAAGGAAUUAGGGCCUCUUGAGGAGAAUCUAGGCACUGUUAUGUAUGUCUUCUUGCCCUUAAGAAUUUUAGUUUGUCCAUAUUUAAUUAUUGGAUCUUGAUUGAUGUUAAAAAUGAUGAAUCAAUUUAGUGAUCUAUAAUAACGCAAGUAAAAAAUUAAAAGUAUUUUGACGUGAUAAAAGUUUUUUUUAAAAUAAAAAAUUCCUUGUUUCUCAGAAAAUAAAUAUUUUUCUCAAUUUAAAAAUUUCCUCUCGCGUUAGUCGGAGAGUGAAUAAUAUUUUUAAGAAAAAUGUUUAUAAAGAUUGAUAAUAAUAUUAGCACCGACUAAUGCUUAGUAAAAAUUAUAAUUACUACUGACUAUUACUAAUAAUAUUUAAGUGUUGGUUUAAAAUAGUGACAUGAAUAUAAGAGUUGAGACAAUUGCUCGUGAUUUCCAUCCAAGAGCAAGGAAAGUUGUUUUUCUUUUUUUCGUAAAAUAUCUUUUCCAUUUUUAAUGACUUGACUUCUAAAAAUAUUUUACCUCAUAUAAGAUAUGGCUUAAAAUAUUCAAAAAUAGAAAAAAAAAAAAAAAAAAAAAAAAAAAAAAAAAAAAAGUAAAAACAAGAAGUAUCAAAAUAGGAGAAAUAUAUGCUUACUUCGAUAUACAAUGUUGAAUAUAGUCAAAAAUUUGAUUUCCUUGCUCAAAAUCAACCAUAAAAAAUGACAUAUUAUUUUGAGAAAUUUGAUUAAAGCCAUUAAGUUGAUCAGCAGGGAGUGUAGCACAAAUAUAAGCCAAAAGUCCUGUUUACUUUAGAUGCAUUACAGACAUUUCUGCGUCGUCUUCCUUUUGAAAGAAAAGUAGUAGAACUUUUCCUUUUAAUCCACUGGCAAUAGACUUAAUGUCUUCAACUCUGCAAUUGGAAAAAAGCAAGCAUUAAUAUAUAUUUGAAAAAUGCCUUUGCUGAGAAGCUAAAAUCGCUUUACCUCUAAAGUGAAGAAUAGGUCUAUGACAUCCUAUCCUCCUCUGACCUCAUUUUUUGGAUUAUAUAGAGUAUGAUGUUGUUGUGCUUUAAGUAAGAAAUAAUUUAUUUUUAAUUAAUAAACUUUAAAAAGCAUUUUUAAGAAACAAUCGAUGUUUGACCAAUUUUUUCUAAGAGUACCUCUCAGUUGUUUUUGUCCAAAGUGUUUUUCAAAAAUAUAUUUUUGGAGAAAAGUAAUUUUUUUUUUUUAGCCUCUAAAAACAAUUUCUACUUAUCAAUCACCAUAAUAUUUAUUUUCUCCUAAAAAAAAUAACGAAACUCCUCUAUAUUUUUUGAAACAAAGAAUAAACUGUUGUAAAGUGCAUUAACUAGACGAUGCAAUAUACAUUUCACUUACUUCGUUACAUUCGCUAAAGUGACCAAAGGAGCAAAGCCGUGCCCCUUCCCUUUAAUAAGUCCCGAAGCCUACAAUCACUCCAAAGGUGUUAAAAUAUGUACUAGUAUAAAUGAUUAUUUGAAUAACAGUUGAUGCAUUUUGUUAUUAUUUAAUAAUUUUAAAAAUUAACUUUAUACAUAAAAUCGAUUUUUUUUAAAGAAGUAAAAUAAAAUUAAAAUCCCAACCUUUGGAGGUUUGUAUUUUUCAAAAUUAGUUUUCUUAAUUGACUGAAGUUUAUUGACCUUUGAUAUGUGAUCGAUUGGGUCUAUUGGGCAAAAAGAUACUCUGUCAAACCAUAUUUAACAUUUUACCACAAGUUUUAAAACUUUUAAUAAAUAUCAAUUAUUUAGGACACCAUCAAUCUCACUUCCAAAGUAACAACUUCUAGCCUCAAAUUUUUAAUACUGAUAUUUGAUAUGAGGCCAGUUUGUUGUUGAUUAUAUUUAAAAAUGUAACUGCAUUAAGUGAAUUAGCUAGAUAAAUUAUUGACAUAUUUUUCUUCAAAAUGAAGUUUUAAGAAAACAAAAGAAUUUACUCGUAUCGUCUUGUUGUUGCCAAGUGUUAAAGGAGUAACAAUUUCUCUAUUGAAACUGCUACUAGCAACACUUAUCACCCACGGAGAAGUAGCACCAACUGUGUAAGAGGUCGGUCCACUAUUUCCUCCACUAGCAAUAAAAGAUCUACCAUACGAUACUGCAUGAAAAGAUCCUAUCCCAAAUAAUGUAUCCUCAUUAAUGUCAGCAUAAUUGACUGCACCACCACCACCACCAAUAGAUAUUGAUAUUACGUCAACUCCAUCUUUUAUAGCAUCAUCAAUGGCGGCAAGAACAUCGAUAUUACUAAUCAUUUCACCAUUUAUACCGUUCCAGACUACCUGUUUAAAAUAUUAUAAAUAAGUAAAAGAAUUAUAUAGAUUCUCUAACAUCUAAAACUUUUAGAUAAGAGCAUCGGAGCUCAACAAAGAAGGUUUUUGGUUUAACUUUCACUAAUUAUCCAUUAUUUAGAUAUGGGGAUUAUUGAACAUUAUGGGUGUUAGGGUUCUACGGCAGUAAAUUUGAUCAUUGAAUUCAUAAUCGACUAUUUACAUUUAUCAUCGGAAGUUUUUAAACUCAAAUUCAAUAUUCAAGUUAAAAUUAUUGAAUUUAGAUGAAUCCAUAAAAUAUACGCUACAUCCAUCAAUAUAUUAUUUAAAAGCUAAGAAUAUUGAUUUGUUUGGUUAAUAAAAAUGGAUAAAAUCUAGAUGAGUUGAAACUAUGAUUAAAUACAUUUAUAAAAUUACUUUAAACUUUUAAUUGAGAAAGAUAACUACACAACCAAUUCAAAAAUGAUACCUUAUAAAUAGCUAACCGUGCAAGUGGUGCUCCUCCUCGUGUUGUUCCCAUAUUAACACCAUGGUAUUCCACAUUGUUAAUAUAAGAACCAGCAGUUGUAUAUGCAACAUGAGUACCAUGUCCGUCAUCAUCUAUUGGUGAUAAGUCAUUAAAUUUUUUAACAAUUGUUUGAUUUAUUUCGAGAUUUUCCAUUGAUCCUUUUACGUACCAACGAACUCCAAUGACUUUUCGAUUACAAUAUUUUGUUGCAGUAAAAUUGCCUUCAGAUUUGCAGCUACCUUUCCAUCGAGAUGGAAUUGGACCUAGGCCUUCAUCAUUAAAAGCUUUCGAAUCAUCUCCCCAUGCAAUCAAUACCUACAAAAUGUUGCUGUUUUUUUUUUUUUUAAUAUUUAACUUCUAUGCACAAAUCAUGUAAAACAUCAUGAUACUUGAAGAUAAUUUUCUAUAUGAUUGUAAGGAGGAAGAAAUAUUAAUAAUUAACUUAUUAUAACUAGAUAAAGUACAUCAAUAAUGUAAAAAUAUAUUUUUACAAUAUUAUUUGUGCAUAAUAUUUAAAUUCCCUUUUGAUAAGAUCAUUAGUUGUAAGACAUAUUUUAUUUAUUUAAGAAAAAAGAACCAAAAAAUGAAAAAAAGAAAAGAAAAGAAAGGGAGACACUAAACCUGAAUCUAUUAUGCCAAUAAUUAUUCCAUCACCUUGAUUUGUUUUGUUCACAAGACUAUUGGGGUCAUGCUUAGAAAGACCCAAAAAGUCCCAACUCCUUGAGGUAUGAGUCUUGUAAAAUUGAUUUGGUAUAACUUGAACCACAUCAGGUAAUUCUGAAGUAUAAUUACAAUACAUAUAUCAACGAAGAGUCAUAUAAUGAAUAAAAUCUUUAAUUUUUCAUAAAAUUAUUUUAUUUCCUUUUUUUAAUAAUUUUUCUGACUAUUAGUUAAGAUAAUUCAAAUACCUCCAAUUUGUUUGGCUUGAGAAUCAGUAAGCUUAGCAGCGAAGCCAGAGAAACCAUGUCUAUAACUAUACAUCAUCAGUUUUUUAGCUUCUUCCUUGCUGCAUGACAAGAAAAUACGAUUUUAAGUUUUAAAUAAUGAAAUAUAUGAAAUAAUAUUUUCGCAAUUUGUAGGGUCAUUAGAGGUAAAUAUUUCUAUGAUAGGCUUUAAUAAUUUUUUUGGUUAAAAUAGAUUCUACUACAUUUCAUUGGUUAAAUUUAUAAAUUUCAUUGCAGCCACUUGACCUAAAAGUUCAUGAUGUGAAUUGGUAAUAAGUUCAUAAUUAUUGUGAGGUUUGUGUCCCAAGUAAACCACGUAAAACUAUAGAUCAAAAGAAUAUCGUCAAAAAACAAAUUAAUCAAUGAGAGAUUAAUAUUCAUUAUGGUCAAUAAACAAAUAUAAGGAGAUUCUAAGCUAACUUCUUAAAUCACGCAUUCCAAUGGUCCAAAAUACUACUCCCUCUAUUCCACUUUAGUUAUUGUAUUUAUCUAAUUUUAAAGUCUAUUAUGGACAAAUGUGGAUUUUGGUUAAUUAUUAUUUUGACACUUAAUUUCAUUGAGUCAUUUAUUUAUCUCCAUAUUACUAUUUACUUGGCUUCUGCAAUGUUAUUAUGAUGAUUAUUGUGCUUUUGAGGUUGGGUUAAGGGGAUGAUCUUCGAUCUUGGUGGAUUAAAAAUUAUUAUUUAAAUAUAUUUGUUAUUUUAGAAAAUAUUUAAGGAAAUAUUGAUUAUCUUUUGCAUUUAUUUUCUCUCACUUUAUUAAUAUUGAUAGCAUUAUCUGCAUUUUUGCAAGUAAUAUUUUCUCUCAAGAAUAUCUAAAAUGUACCUUAGCAUCGGCAUUAUCUGCUUUUGUUGUUAUUUCACAUAAACACGUAAAAAUUAACAGAAGACAUAAAAUAACAAGGGAAAAAGUUGGGUUAUUCAUCAUUUUUGCUUCCCUCCUUUCAACAGAAAAUAUGAAAGGGAGAAGAUAACCCAACUUCAAAAUCAAAUUUGGUUAAUGAAAUUAGAAAAAUAAUUGCAAUGUAUUAAUCAUUAAAUAGCUUAAACUCACCACACAGAGUAGAAAAAUUAAUUUGUGGCUAGUAUAUUAAGCGUAAAUAGUAGCCACUCACUCGAAUACAAGUAGAUAAAUUAUUCUAUUUUUACUCCUUUAAAAAUGGUAUAUAUAUAUAUAUAUUUUGAAUUUUUUAGAACGUAUACUUUCUAUUUUCAUAUGAGUGAUUAAGAGCAUAAGAAAGGAUUUUGGAGUUCUAAUCACCAUUGUUUUUCCUCAUAAUGGCACUUAGGAUUUAUUUAUAUAUGAAGUUAAAUUUAUGGUCAAGUUGAGCCACGUUUGAGAAAUAGAAAAAGAAAUCUUUUAUAUGUUAUGCUAAGAAAUAUUCUACUUAAAAUUCAACUUAGUUUUUUUUUUUCGGCCAAAAAUAUGAGUUAUUAUUCUUUUUUAUACUAACAAACUAUUUCAAUAACUUUUAUAAAAUAGUAUAUAACUAGUUAUAUUGGAAAGGGUCAAAAUCAUUUACACCCUCGAACUUUGUUGUAAAAAUCAAACACCCCCUCAACUUUGAACAAUAAUCAUUCUCCCUCCUUUUUCUUAUUUGAUUUUUCAAAAUACCUACUUUACCCUUUUAUUUAUAUCAACAUUUGAAUAUUUAAAAACAAUUUUAUUUUUAUAAACACAAUUUUUAUUUUUAAUCUAUAUAACAUAUUUUCUAUAAAAAGCUAAAGGUUAUUUUUUAGAUGAAAAAAUAAAAGUGAGAAAUAUUAAUUGAGUAUAUAAGUUAAUGACAUUCUAUAAUGAAAUAAAUGAGCAAAAUAAUAAAAAUUAAUUUUAUUAAAAGUAAAAAUUCUAAUAUCUAUUUAUACGUGAAAAUAAUAGGUAAUUAUAUUUUUAUAAAUAUAUUUCAAUGCAGGUAAUACAAAUUAAUUAAUAGUCGAGGGUCCUUCGAAAACAACUUAUCUACCUCCCCACGGUAGUGGUAAGGUUUGNNNNNNNNNNNNNNNNNNNNNNNNNNNNNNNNNNNNNNNNNNNNNNNNNNNNNNNNNNNNNNNNNNNNNNNNNNNNNNNNNAAUCAAAAUAUGUAUCUAUAUACAUAAUUAUAUAUACACACAUACACACUUAAUACCUAUAAUAUAAAAAUAUUGAAUGUAAAAAAUACCAUUAGAUUUUGUAAUUAAUUUAUAAAAGAAUUUACUAAUAAUGUAAACAAAUUUAAAUAAAAAUAAUAAAUACAUCGGUUAUGAAAGAUAAAUAUAUAUAAUAUAAAAAAAUAUUAUAUAAACAUAAGUUUAAAAAUAUUAAGGGUAAAAUAGUAUUACAUAGUGAAAAGGGGGGAGAAUGAUUGUUACUCAAUACUAAGGGAGGUGUUUGAUUGAUUUUCACCUCAGUGAAAUCUCCUAAGUGAGGUAUGAGGAGGGUAGAGGUACGCAAACCUUACCACUACCUCAGAGAGGUCGAGAAGUUGUUUUCGAAGGAUCCUCUACUAUUAAUUAAUUUGUAUUACCUGCAUUGAAAUAUAUUUAUAAAAAUAUAAUUACCUAUUAUUUCGUUAUAGAAUGUCAUUAAUUUAUAUACUCAAUUAAUAUUUAUCACUUUUAUUUUUUCAUCUAAAAAAACCUUUUAGCUUUUUAUACAAAAUAUAUUAUAUAGAUUAAAAAAUAAAAAUUGUGUCUAUAAAAAAGUUUUUUUUUAAAAAAAAAUUCAAAAGUUGAUAUAAAUACAAGGGUAAAGUAGGUAUUUUAAAAAAUCAAAUAGAAAAAAGAAGUGAGAAUGAUUAUUAUUAAAAAUUAAGGGGGUGUUUGAUUUUUACAACAAGAUUGGGGGUGUAGAUGAUUUUAACCCUAUUUGGAAAUAUGGGAUCUCAUAAUUAUGAGUUCCUGCACAAUUGCUUAAGUGACCAAAUGGAUCACAACAACAAGAAGAUACCAAUAUAUUCACUUAAAAUGGGAUAUGGGGAGGGUAAUUUAAAAGUGAGAUAAAGAGAUUGUUUUCUAUAAACUUUCAAGUCAAGAAAAAAAAAACAGUACCAAUUUCUUAUAGUUUGGAUGAAGAUAAUAUUAUAUUAUUGAACUCAAAUCAAUACUUUGAAACCAGUACCUACAUGUAUAAUAUAUAUUCAACCUCCUUAAAUUUUAUCUUUUAAUCAUUUGUUAGUUAGUAACCAAAAUAAAAAAAAAUCGUUUCUCAGUUCUUAAUCAAUCUAUAAAACUUGGUGAAAAUUUCAGGAAUUGCCUUUCAAAAUGCAUAAUUCUUCAGCCAAUCACAAGACUUUUUACUUUACAUGCACGACGUUAUUCAUAGUGAGUAUAGCACUUCACAAGGCAAAUUCCAAAAUUAGUCACACAAUAUGUACUUUUUGCCCAACAUGUGUUUGAUUUUCCAAAAGUACAUGGAGGUUUGCGUGAAGAAUAUUUAAGGAAAAAUUUCAAAAAUAACAACUCUGUAGCUUUAAUUAUAACUUUUAUAAUAACAGUUUUAUAAUUACGAAAAAUAGUAAAUUGUAUUUAUAUUUAAGUAAAAUGUUGCUAUAUAAAUACAUAUACAAAUAUGUAUAUGUAUUACUCAUAAAUACAUAUGCAUGACUGAAAAAUACAUAUUCUUCUAUUACUAUGAAGUGGGUAAAAUAUUGCUACUUUUGCUAUAAGUUACAAUUUUGAAGAAGUGUUGCUAUUUAUUGUAAUUAUAGUCUUAAGGAUGCUAGUUUGUGUAAUUUUUUCAAUAUUUAAAGUGGAUUUUUUGAAUAACAUAGUAUUUCUUGUAAAAUUUCUAGCAUAUCUUAUGUAAAUUCUAGGAUAAUCAUCUUGAAGAAAUAUCUAGAUAUUCUAGGUAAUUAUUCUAGAGAGAGGAAUCUUGAAAAUAUAGUCUACUUGAUAUUUGUAUUUAGGAAAGAUCCAGAUCUUCUAGAGUGUUACAUAUUCAUGGAAGAUGAUAGAAUACUCUAGAUUUGUAGUAUCUAGAAUCAUUCCCACACAAGAAUAAAUAGAGGAUGACAUUAGACAUAUGUAACCAACCAAAAAAUAAAAUCAAUUCAAGUGUAGUCUUUUUCAUAUUAAAGUUCUUCCUUCUUUUUUAAAGCUUCCUCUUCUUAGUUGAAUCUUCCGGUCUUAGUUAACGAUCUUGGGCUAGCAAAAGGUCUUUAUAGCUACACCUUUCUUCUGCUAUUCUCUACAUGGUAUCAGAGCCAAACUCACAAAUUGACUUGUGUCUAUUUCAAAAUCGGGUUUGUGGUUGAUUCAACUGAUUUGUGCAAAUGGAUUUUAGCGGUCGCGUUAGUAGGCUGGGAAUGGAGUUGUUGAAUCAGUCCAAUUACAAGGUAUGCAAGACCUUUAUGGAAUCAUACCUUGUGGGCGAGGAUUUGUGGAAUGUUGUUAACGGGAUUAACACAAGUCUUCCGAAUGACAGACCGGAGAAUAGUAGUGCAUACAAGAAAUGGAAGCAGAUUAAUGCAAAGGCGGAGUUCAUUCUAAAGAGCUCCAUCUCCUCUAAUUUAUUCGACCAUAUUAUAAGGUGUACAUUAGCUCAUGAUAUUUGGAGGACCCUCGACUAGUUGUUCAACAAGAAGAAUUAAGCUCGGCUACAGAUAUUGGAAAAUGAAUUGGCUAACACCACUCAAGGUAAUUUUUCUCGUGCCGAGUACUUUUUAAAAAUUAAGAACUUAUGUUCUGAGAUUUCUUUAUUGAAUACAGACGGGACUAUCUUUGAAGCACGAAUGAGAAGAAUUAUCAUUAGUAGUUUGAAACCAGAAUAUAUUCCCUUUGUGACAUCAAUUCAGGGAUGGGCUCAACAACCAUCCCUGGAGGAAUUUGAGAAUUUGUUGUCAUCAAAGGAGUUACUAGCCAAACAAUUGACUUGUGAAUUUGUCAAAGCAAGGGAAGAAAAUAUUCUUGUAUCCGACAAGAAGAACGUUAAAGGAAAAGUAAGAGAUAUGCCUCACACUCAAUUUUCAAAUGGUUUAAGCUCGACUAGAAAGAAGGAAGAGACUUUUAACAAUUAUACUAAGAAGUCUCUCAGAUGUAUCGGUGUGGCAAAGCAGGACAUAUAAGAAGAUGUUGCCGAGUCAUGAAAAGCAACAUGGUUCAUACUGAAAAAAUUGUUGAAGAAUAAGAAGGUUGGGAAAGAUGCUUAGAAGCUGAGAGUCGAGCAAUAAAUGCAUUAUUUUCAUAAUUUUGGAAUGAGAUUGGAUCGGAUAUAAUACAAUGCAUUAUGUGGAGCAGGAAGGCACCUAUAAGAAGUAAGAUGAUAUUAAAUACGUUCAUACUGGAGAUGUGGUAGCUGCUAUCAAUGAAAUCAAAGAAGCAGAUCCUAAAAAUGACAAUAAAAGUCUAAACAUGGAGGAUAUUGAAGUAGACUCUGAGCAGACAAUUUUUGAAACUCUAUAUGCUAGUGAUGACUUUAUCGGAGUAAGCAUUAAGAGAGAUAUAGUUGAAGUCUCUGAUCAAUCAUCUAUGGUAUCAAGAUCAAUUAAUAACUCAAAACAAAUAUUGAAAGUUGAUGAGUAAACUAAAGGUCAAGAAAAAGAAGAAGUUGACCGUGUAGACUCAGAUGGAGAAAUGGAUGAUGAAGAGGUUGAUACUGAUGAAAUUUCUUUGUUCUUUGUAGUUGUAUCUGAAGAAGAGGGUUCUAAAAUAUUGAACCCAAGAUUUUCAGAUUUGUCCAUGAGAAAUGAUUCUUCAAAGAAUAUAGUUGUUAAGGAGUUCAGAGAAAGAGGGAACUCGAAAACUCAACAACAUGAAACUCGACAACGACUAUUUUUUGAGAAACAAUUAACUUUUUAAUAAAAAAAAGACUUCUAUCCCGUCAAGGUACUUUUAAUUUUUUACUUGCUUUAUUAUAGAUCACUGAAUUGAUUCAUCAUUUGUAACAACAAUCAAGAUCCAAUAAUUAAAUAUGGACAAACUGAAAUUCUUGAGGGCAAGGAGACAUACAUAAAAGUGCCUAGAUUCUCCUCAAGAGGCCCUAAUUCCUUUGCUCCAGAAAUUCUAAAGGUAAAUAUAAAAUAAUUAAAAAUUUAUAUCUUCUUUUAAUUUAAUAAUUUCUCUCAUUGAAUCAUUUAUUAUAUUUUUUUAAAGUGUUUUAUAAAUUUUACUUAAAUAUUAUUUCAGCUCGAUAUUGCAGCUUCUGGUGUUAAUAUACUCGCAACAUUUUCUCUUGCUGCUACUGAUGGAGGAUACAAUGAAUUCAAACUCAUGUCAGGAACAUCCAUGUCAGCUCCUCAUGUUGCAGGGAUUGUUGCACUCAUCAAAGCUGCGCAUCCUAGUUGGCUUCUGCUGCUAUUAAGUCUGCACUUAUGACUACAAGUAAUAUCUUAUGAAUUUAAAUUGUAUAUAUUGAUAACAGAAUAUAACUUAUUAUAGUAUAUUAAAUUACCAUAUCAAAUUUGAUAUGAAAAAUUUUCGUUGCUAUUCAUUAAUUUAACAUAAAAGAACACAAAUACUGUCAUUGCAUUGAGAAAAUGAUUUACCUUACAUUUAUUAUUUAUAACUACUUAAAUAUUAUAACAUAUUAGUAUAAGUUAUAACAUGUUGCUUACUACCAAAUUAGACUUAAAUUAGUAUUUCAUGUUGUUAUACAUCAGUUUAAUUAAUCCCAUCAUGCACAAAAGGUUUACACUGUUAUCAUACAUCAAUUAAACUCGUGAGCAAAAUAUAUAGUCUUUCCUUCUUUUCAGCAUUUUUGUUUAUGUAUUUACUGAUUGAAAUUUUCUGUGAACUGUGUAGCAUGGAACGAGGAUACAUAUAGAGCUGAUAUUUUUUCAGAAGGAACUGGAAUAAAACUUGCUGAUCCAUUUGACUUUGGCGGUGGCAUAUGUAAUCCAAAUGGAGCAGCAGAUCCUGACUUAGUCUAUGAUAUGGAUAGAAAUGAUUAUUCGAAUUAUCUUUGCAGUUUGGGCUAUAGUAAUGAUAGGAUUUACAAUGUAACUAUGUAUCAUUCGGACAAGAAAAAUUCUACUUCUUCAGCAGGCAUUGUGUGUCCCAAAGAAGUACCUUCAAGGUUGGAUAUGAAUCUCCGAGAAAUGUUGCUAUUAAAGUAACUCCAAAUGUAUUGAAGUUUAAUGCCAAAACCAAGAGGAUCUCCUUUGAGGUAAAGAUCACAUCUACUUACCAAAGAAGUGGUAAAUUUACCUUUGGAAGUUUGGCAUGGAGUGAUGGCAAACAUUUUGUUAGAAUUCCUAUUGUUGUGAGGAAGCAAGUGGAUAAAUAAAGAAAAUGUACCAACUUAACUUUGGAGGUAUGAGGUGGAGUGAUGACACAUAUCUUGCUGUGUACGGGGGUGGAUCUAGGGGGCUCGGGGUGUUAUCCUGAACCCCUCGACAAAAAAUUACAUUUUGUAUGUAGGGUAACUUUUUAUGUGUAAAUAGAAAUAUCAAAUUCUCUCAACACAAGACUACAUGUUGGUUUAGUGAUUUACGGAAUUAGAAAUUCAAUUUGAGGUUCCCAUUUCAAAUAUCUAAUUAUGCAUUUUUGUUUUCCGAACGUUCUUAAUGAAAAUUCUGAAUCCCGCACCAAAUUUAUGUGUGAGUACUUUUUUAUUUCCACAAGAAAGCAAGUGGAUGUUCAAACAACUUGAAAAAAAUGCAUGAUGAGCCUGCUGUUCAACCCCCCUCCCCCCUUCCCCUACUUCAGUUCGACUUUAACAUAUAUGACUUUCAAUAUUCCAUGUGGGUAGAGAAACCUCACAGUUCCAUGUGUCUACAAGCUCACAUAUAUAAUGAUAAUUCUGGCUCAAACUAUCUGUUAAUCGAGUCAAUAGAAAUAUUAGAUGUAUAUCAUGAAACCUCGUAAUAUAGUAGCAGAGGUAGUCUGAAAAUUUCAUAAUUGCUAUAAUGGAGUGCUGUUAUAUAUACACGUUAUUGUAUAUUGACAUUUAAUGGUUAAAUUUCAUUUAAUUAUUAUAAAGAAAAUUAUGCAAAAAUUAGUUUAAUGAUUGGGUAUCAAGACGAACGAAUAUAUUUGGUCAAUAAUUAAUCUGUGUCAUGGAUAUAAAACACCUAUUAAAAUAUUGAACCAUAUAUAGAAUCAAAUGUAUUUGCCAGGCGGCUUUGAUUUCUCACUUCCAGACACUAAUGUUCAAGUCAAAAAAAAUGAUUAUGUCCAAGGGAAUAGGGAAAACAUUCGAAGAGAUUUGUUCGGAUGGUAAACAUGCUCACUUUUAAUUUUGAGGUAAUGAUCAGUUUGAAGGGACAACAUAAUUUUUAAAUCGUAUCCCAUCAAGAUAAUAGGAAGAUUGCUCAGAUGAUAAGUACCCUCCAUCUUUAAUUUUGAGGUUGACUUAAAAUCACCAAUGAAGCUGUCAAGAUCCUAAAGUUGAGGUCAUGAAUCAUGAAGAUACUCACCGAGACCCAACGCUGAUGAGUAAGUCGAUUCACUAAAGAAAAAAUCAAGAACUGAAAUUAAAGCAAGACAAAUGAGAAUUCUAGAAUGAAAUCAAGGAUAAAUUACACAAAUCCCAUACUUAAGAGAGACUAUAUUACCUAAUAUCUCUUACUUUUUAAAAUAUUUUUAAAAAUUUACAUAAAAUCCCCUUUUUCAACUUUACUUUGAUAUAUAUAUAAAAAAAAGAGUAAAUACAUAAUUACACCACUGAUCUUGUCCGAGAUUUUCGAAAAGACACCUAAACUUUGACAUCAACCUAUUACCCCACGAUUUUUCUUUAUUUCAUUGCAAACGCACCAUUUUUCGCUGAAUCUCAGUCACAACAAAGUGAGUGAAGACACACGCCAAUCAGGUGCUUCCACGUGUCAACUACGUUUAAUUUCAUAUUUUUUUAAUAAAAUUUUUCUUUUUAUUUAAUUUAACACCCCACCCACCCCCUUUUCCCCCCAAUCCAGCACCUCUCCUCUCUCCCCCUGCAUCAACAGCUCCCCUCAACCCCCACCCCAAUUNNNNNNNNNNNNNNNNNNNNNNNNNNNNNNNNNNNNNNNNNNNNNNNNNNNNNNNNNNNNNNNNNNNNNNNNNNNNNNNNNNNNNNNNGUUUUUUUUUUUUAAAAAAAAAAGCUUCAAUGGAGGAGCUUUAAUGGUGACAUUGUGUUGAAGAGCUUUAAUGGUGUUGAAGAAGACAUUGUGUUGAGAAAGAAAUGGUGGGUAGUUAAAUGAUAUGAUUUAAUUGUAAAAUAGAGCUUUAAUGAAUGAUUUCAAAAAAAAAAAAAAAACUUCAAUGGAAGCUUUAAUGGUGAAUUGAGUUGGAGAAGAAAGAGUGGGUGGGUUGGGGGGAGAGGGGUAGGGAUAAUUUUAUAAAAUAAAUAGAUAUUAUUUAAAAAAAAAUAUAAAUUAUAUAUCAAUUAUUUUACACGUGGCAGAUUUUGAUUGGUCCAAAAAGUCAAAUUCGAUCCCUUUCAAGCGCCUGUGGCGCGUGUAUAUACGCAGAGGAUCAAAAUGAUGUGUUUGCAACGGAUUAAGUAAGAAUCGUGGGGUAAUAAGUCGAAUUCAAAGUUUAGGUGUCUUUUUUGAAAAUCUCGGCCAACAUUAGUGGGUAAUUAUGUAUUUACUCUAUAAAAAAUCCCAUAUCCUAUUUAUACUCCACCAUUAACUUAUUCAAGAUUUCCUCCCCUAAAAUAUCUCCCUAAUUAUCAACAAUUAAAUCAUCUUCCUUCAUGAUUUUUUCUCUUCCAUUGAUGCUUAAAUAAUCUUCCUUCCUGAUUUUUUCUCCUCCAUUAAUGUGUGCAACUUUUUUUUUCUCUCCUAAAAUCUCUCCCAUCUUUUUUAAAAAAAAUCUAUUGAUACAUAUAUAAAUCUAUUUAGUUAUUCAUACAUGUUUAUUUUUUUAAUGGUGAUUCAUAUGAAUGAUAAAUAUGAUAUCAUUAUAUAGGUAUUAUGGUGAAUCAUACGAUAGAUACAUUUUGUAUGAUUUUAAUGGGUGAUACAUAUUGUAUUAUGGUGAUUCAUAUGGUAGAUACAAUUAUUUAUUUUAAUUAUUGGGUGAUUCAUAUGGUAUUAAUGGGUGAUAUAUAUGGUAUUAUGGUGAUUCCUAUGGGUGAUACAUAUUGUAUUAUGGUGAUUCAUAUGAUAGAUACAAUUAUUUAUUUCAAUUAUUGGGUAAUUCAUAUAUAUGAUAUUAUGGUGAUUCAUAUGGUAGAUAAAAUUAUUUAUUUUAAUUAUUAGGUGAUUCAUAUGAUAUUAAUGGGUGAUAUAUAUGGUGUUAUGGGUGAUUCAUAUGUUAUUAAUGAAAGGUAAUGGUGUAGUCAGUGUAGGAAACAAAAGUAACAAUAUUUUUUUAAAAAAAGACUAAAAGCAGAAUUGAAACAUAAUUAAAAUUAUAUCUAAAAAAGUAGACUAAAAUUAAAGACGAAAAAAAAGAGAAAAAAGACCCCAAAAAUAUAUCUUUCAUAAUUAAAGACGAAAAAAGAGAAACAUAAUUAAAACACCCAAAUUAAAUUUAAAAAAACAACAGAAAAAUUAGAUAACUUUUCUUAAAUAAAAGAAUACAAUGAAUAAAAGAGAAUCUAUUAUUUUCUUAAAUAAAUAUCUUGUUAAUUUAAAAUGUAUCACUUUUUUAUAUGUAUCCCCAUAUAACACAUGUAUCACAUUUCAAAAAAUCGAGAUAAAAUGUGAUUAACAAAAUAGUCAGGAUUUUAUGUAAUAGCACUUAAAGAUUCAGGAAUUUAUGUAAGUUACCCAUCAAGUAAACCCAUAUACCUAAAACUGAAGUCUGAAUGAUAUACAUAAAUCCUCCAACAUCUAGUGUCAUAAGUGUAGAGCAUCUAAAUACAAUUCAGGAAAUAUAGAAAAUAUUAUAUCUGCUUCUGAAAAUGAGAAAAGAUAUCUAGAUAGAUAAGAAGAGGUUAGGAGUCAACUCUGAAAUCCUAGAGCAUGCCAGUACCUCUACCACUAACUCUAAUAAGCACGAACUCGGCUACUGCACCUCAUACUUGUUGAUACAAGUAUGAUCAUGAUCAUGACACUUUUGAGUAUUUUUGAAGACUAGUCACUAAAGGGCUCUUUUGUCAUUUCUCUGUUAUUUGUAAUGUUGUAUAAAUAGAACCUUGUAGGGUUUAUUUUCUUAGUUUAUGUUUGAGAUUGUAAGAACACUCCUUUUGUGAGAGAGAACUCCAAAACCGAAAUUAGGGCAUAGCAUAGGCCUCAGUUAAGUGCCGAGUUUGGCGUAGUAUUCAUUUACACUUCAGGUCCUCAUGUUUUAACCCUUUAGUGAACUCUCCUUAUGAAAUGAUGUAGUGAUAAACGAUUGCUUAGAUGGAAUAGAGUAAAUAUUUCAUGAUAAGGAAAGAUUUUUUUUGCAUGCUUAUUUUACACGAGGCUGUGGUUAUGAAAAUAGGCUUGAAUAUCAGGUUAGUGUGCUAAGUAAAUGGCAAGCAAGAAGUUGUAUUUAGUUGUUGAAGGGAGAGAAAUCAAAAUUUUUCUUGAGAUGAUAAGUUGAGAAAAUGCCGAGUGUGAGUGUCUAUUCUGAUCCUCAAUUUAUGUCAGUAUCUAUCACGCAGUUAUCAUAACCUAGUAUUCAGUUCCACUACAGUCUCAGUUACCUUCAUAGUUACAACCUCAGUCCCAGUCUUAGUUCAGUAAUCAGAUCAGUAACUCAGUUCAGUUUCAAGUUUGCUUGACCAUAGCGUACAGUUAUCAACUAUUCAGUUAUCAGUAUUUCUGUAACACCCCACAUUUUGGACUAGAAUGAAAAUCCAUCAUUCAUAUACGCAGAUGUUCCAAAAGCCUCGAAUCCUAUGUAAAUUUAGUGUGUUAAUCAAUUAUGUAGUGUGGGAAUCUAUUUGAGCAUGAAUUAAGAUCAUAGAGGUCCCCUAACUCAAGGACAAGUUGAAAGCUUUCCUAUCGUUCAAGUUUUAGUGAGCAUCAAAACUUGGAUCAACAUCAAUCGACUAUAAAUCCUUGUAUAUAUUAAAUUAGAGGACCUACUAUAUAUCAAAUAAAAGCUCUUUGAAUUAUCUUUCCAAUGAUACCAAUUUUUCCCAAAUCCGAUAUCGGCGCAAAGAGUUAUGCCCAUUUUACUCCAGCAUGUUAGGCUGGGAAAUGGAGUGAUGACAUUCGUGAUAAGUUAUCACAAGCGUGACGACUUAUCACCAAUGUCGUCAGCCUUAGGCAGAUUUCCACCCCCAGUGAAGAUAUUUUGUGAUAAUUUAUCACGAGUGUGAUGACUUAUCACCAAUGUCAUCAACCUUAAGCAGAAAAUCACAAAUUUCACCCUUUUGUGACGAUAUUUCGUGACGACUUAUCACCAGUCUGAUGACUUGUCAUGAAUGUCGUCAGCUAUUUUUUUCAUCAAUUAAGGGACAUUUUUGCAAGGGUAUUUUGGUCUUUUCCCAUCUUUUGGAGGCCUCUAUAAAUAUGAGAAUUCCCAUCCAAACCCUAAUUUCUUCAUUUUCUCUUCCAAUUCUCUUAAGAGAAUAUAUCUAGGAUUUUAUUCAAGAAUAUUAAUCUUUCAAAAAUCAUCCAUAAAUCUUCAAGAUUUCUUUAAGAACUCAAGAAUUCCUCCGUCAAGUUUCUCCAAAUCAAGAAACUAAGGUAUGCAAAUGUUCAUUUUGGGUCCCUUCCACCCAAGAAGUUCAAAAAUCUCUUUUUAAAGUUCCAAGAUUAUAUUUUUAUGAAUUCUCAUGAGUUAUGUGGUUUGAAGAUGAUUUUCAUGUUGAUAUUGGGUUUUCGUUCAUGUUUUGAUCAUAAAAAUGCAAGUAUUGACUUUAGUGUGUGUGGAUUAUGUGAUGUUCAUGACAAGGUCCCUUCAAGAAGCAUGUUGAAUUAUGUAGGCAUGUUAAUUAUGGGUAAUGAAUUGUUGUAUGACCAAAUUGUGCCUCACAUGUGUAUGCUAGAAUGCUUAUAUGAAGAAAAUAGUACCAUUGUAGUAUACUAAGUAUAAAAUCCCCAAUGUGGUGACAAAUAAAGCAUGCCAAGUGUUUGUUGUUUUGCCAAGAUGAGUGAAGUAUGAUAUGUUGCAUGUACUCCCUAUUCAUGUGUCCUUGUGGAAUAAUUUAUGAGACAAUAGCAUGCCUCUAUAUACAAUCUACAUGGUUGAAUGUUCCCAAGUGCUUGAAGUGAUACGUCCUUGAUCAUGUUCCAAAUUAUAGACUAUUGUUAUGACAUUGGUGGUGAUAGAUUAUUGUUAUGAUGUGAUGUUGGUCAUAUAUUCAAGAGUCAAGUCCUGUCAUUUUACUUCCAUAGAGUCCUGGGGGUACUUAUACCCAAAAUAUAGCUGUGUGCCUAGAGCCAAGUCAGUCUCACGAUAAUCUUUGUCGUGCUAUGAUCAGUAGAACUCAGUCAAUGACUGAACAGUAAGAAAACUCAGUAAUCUCAGUAUUCAAGUUAAUCAAGUUUAGUACACAGUCCAGACCCUAGUAGUGUUCAGUAUUCAGUACAGGUUCUAGUAAAGCUCAGUAAGUUACAAAACUCAGUUGUAUUCAGACAGAAAGUAGAAUUUAGAAGUAUUUCGUCAGAGCACGGAACCAAGCCAACUCAUUUAGAUCAGUCAAGUAAGAUAAUCAAUAACAAUAUUUAACUUAGUCUAAGUUCAGUUAAGAAUCAGUUCAGAGUUUUUCAGUUGGAAGUAGGAGCUAGCACCGAGCGAGUGCAGGAUGGUGGCUUCUCCGUUAGAGAGAUGGAGUCGUUAGCAGCAAUCCCUGUACUCCAGAACUACGUAGCCAGCGCAGGAUGAGGAUUCACCCAUUAGAUAAAGGCUUUACUACCUGCAGGAGUACUCAUAGCCUUAGGCUUGACUUCCUCUUGAGGGUCACCCAUUAGAGAGGCUUGACCAGAGAGGUCUUUACCCAUGGCACGGUAUUGAAAUCCUUCCAGUUGGGGUUACAGGUUGGACUCCACCAAAUUUGGGGCAUUUCAUUUAAGCGAGAACUCCCAUAGUUGUAGUUUCAGUAUUAGUCUUCAGAGUAGAACUCAGAAAUCAGGACUGUCAGAUACAGUCAUCUAUCUCAGUAAGGAACUUAGAUAAUUUCACUGAUUCAUGGACUACCCGUUAGAUAGGCCUGGUCUCACAUAAAGUUAUUUAGUGUCAGUACUUACAAAGAUCACCCGUUAGAUAGGCUUAUCUCAGUCUCAGAUUCAGUUGAGUAUUCUCAUUACCAGUCCCAGAGAUCACCCGUUAGAUAGGUCUAAUCUCAAGUUCAGUUAAUGUUAAUCAUUAUCAGAAGAUUCAGAGAUCACCCGCUAGGUAGGCUUGAUCUCAAAUUCAGAUUCUUAUCUUUCCUUAUCAUUAUUAGAAGACAUAGAGAUUAUCCACUAGAUAGGUUUGAUCUCAGAUUUAGCUAGUCAAUAUCAGCAAGCUCAGAACUCAGUUGUCGAUAUUAGUUGAUUCAGCUCUUCAGUAUUCUAGAGCUAGCAAACUUAAAUAUCAAUUAUCAGUAGACUCAUCCAUCUAGUUCUUAGUAUUAAUAAGUACAGAUAUCAGUUUCAGUAGCUUUAGAUACUCAAAAUCUCAGUAUGUUCAGAGAUUUCAGAAUUAACAGUAUAUUCAAUAUCAGUUAUCAUAUUUAGUCCUAGUAUGCUCAGUGUCAGUAUGUGCGGUAUGUUCAGUAGUUCCAGAUUCUCUAUGUAUGCUAAUCCAGCUCUUACAUAUCAUUUAAUUAAGUAAUUAUGCAUGCAUAAGCCCUUAUAUUUAGCCUUACCUCAUUUACAUACUCAGUACAAUCCAAUAUACUGACAUAUUUGCACUAUGGUGUUGCUAUUUUACCUUCACCAUAGGUUCAGGAGCACGAGAUCCAGAGUACCCUUAGCAGUUCCAGACUCAGUCAGCAGCAGUAGACGUAUUAGUGAGUCCUCAUCUUUUGAGGACGAUUAUCAUUUCAGUACUUUAUUUUAUUAGACGGGGUUAGUUGGGGACAUGUCCCAUCAACUCUGUAGUUUAGACAGUUAGAGGCUUUUCGGACAGAUGUAUAAGUUUUCAGUUUAAAGACUUUGAUCAUUUCAUAUGUUUUGAACUUUAUGGCAAGUUUUCGCCAGUUUUCCGCAUGUAUUUUAUAAUAUUAUACAGUGACCAGGUACAAAUAUCAAAAGAGGGUUAGCUUAUGGUCCUUUGGGAUCAUGAGCACCGUGUGGCGUUCCGGUUAUACCAAAAUUGGGGUGUUACAAUUUCAGUACUUCAGAUUACUAAUUAUUUUAGAAUCAAGUUAUACGUUUUGUCUUGCAUUCUUAGAUAAUACAGAGUUCAUGAAUUCAUGCUCAGUUAUCUCAUGUUACUCAGACAGUCCUUACCUCAUACGUAUAAUACUCUAUAGUUUCAGUCCAGUUAUUCAGACUAAGUACGGUUCAGUCUUACAUGCCCUGUAUUCAGCUAUCAGCCUUUCAGUUAAUCAGAUAAGUUAGUAUGCUUAUGCAUUUGUGCUCAACGCCCAUGUGAAUGUUUCAGUAGUCUCAGGUGAAGCGUCGUACUUGGGUCGAGAGUAUAGUAUAGUUGAGAGAGUAUUCGAGGAAUAUAUCUAAGCUUGAAAAUUAUUAGUUGCAGUGUAUGAGGCUUAGUAACUCCAUAUUAGAUGAUAUUCUGUAGGCCUUGCUCUAUAUUAUAGAAUUGUAGCCAUGUAGUGAUUUCUUAUUCAGAUGUUUUAUUCAGACUAUGCCAAGAUUUCCUUGCUCCCUAAAGUUAGUAGAAAUCUAUAGAAAGGGUGUCAAGAAUUGCUACAGUUUAGUAUAAGUUUUCAGUAUGAGUAGUCUGUGUCACACCCCUUUUUUAAAUCCCAAAAGAUUUUAUUUUUAAGGUUCGAAAGGGUUUUUAUUAUCAAAGUUACAAAAGAUGAAAAUUUAUUUAGAAAAGGACCUUUUAUAUUCAAAACUCAGAGUCGCCACUUGGAAUAAUUCGGUGUGCCAAGGUACCUUUGAAAAAUCCUUUUCAAAACGUUUUGACUCUUUAAAACUGGUUUGCGAACAGAAAUUUCGGUUAAGGAAUUCUAUUGACCGAGGGAAAGGUGUUAGGCACUCCUCGAUCCCGUGGUUCGACCACAGUCUCUUGGUGGAGCGUAUCGGCUAAUUUGACAUUACAAAUGUAUAAACCGCACAAAACACAUAAAACAAUCAACUAAACACACGAAACAAAACAAAUCCAAAAUAUAAUGUUCAGUCCAAUUAUACAGUCCAAAAAUAAGAAAAAUGGAAAAAUAAAUCCUAUUGUAACCUCACUAGUACUAAACUAUGCUCCGAUGAUUUACUCCAUCCGAUGUUUCGGGUCUUGACCGUGCGCCGUCUUCAAGUACAACUUUCUCAGGGCAUUCCCCGGAUAAAGCAAUACAGAUACCUCGGGGUAUUCCCUGGUCAAAUGAGUACAUUUUUUCAAUUGUGAUAAAAAAAAUCCAUUCAACACAUAUUUCAAACAUUUCACUAAUUUCGCAAUCCCUAAGUGUGCCUACCCCUAUCGUUUGCCUAACAAUUCAUGGUCUAAAGCAUGAUACUAUCAAACUUAACAAAGUCGACGUUUAUUCCGAAUCUAGCAAUCGUUACUAAACCAAAAUAAAUCAAUAUUCACUUUUAACAAUUUUUGAUCUUUUUUCCCAAAAUCCAACUUAACCCUAAAUCAACUACGUGAUAAACAUACUUCACACCAGGAUUAACAAUCAAAUAACUACGAGCAAAAUCACCUCAAUUAAAUUCAACCAAAAAUCACACCAUUCAAAAACAUACACAAAAGAGGAGAUAAGAGAUAUAGAAUUGGACCUCAAUCGCUCAUUUUAUUCCAAAAUCAGUGAUGGAUUAGAAUUCACGGGUAACAGAACCUCGACUCAACUGGAACCUCAACGUCGAACCCGCAACUUGAACAAAUACCAAAGAGCACAACCCAACUCAAGUUUUUUGACUAAAAAUCUGUAAACAUCGUCAAUCCAAAAUGGACUACUAGGAACCAAACGAGACAACAGUAUCUAAAACCUGAACCCAUUCCAACGCUGAACCUUUUUUUGAACCAAUUUUUGAAGAAGAAUCUGGAGUCAUUUUUUUUCAUCUAUUUUCGGCGGGUAACGUUAGUGAUCCUCAGUUUUUGGUUGGAAAAAGGGAAACGAUAGAGAGCUGGUGGAUUUUUCGAUGGGGGGAAAUAAAUUUCGGCAAUAAUCUCGCUAGAAAAUUCAAAAUAUUAGCCUUUUCCGGUGACUUCCCCACUCCAUUUCCCUUUUCUCGUCUCUCUGUCUCCGAUCUACCUAUCAAUCGCCCAAUCUCUACUCUAAUUCCUCAACCCUCGAUUUCUCUCUCUGCUUGUAAUCCUCACACUCUCGAUCUCACUAUUCCUCUUUUGAUUCACCUCGCGUCUCACUAUUUUUCACCAUUUAUGUGUGAUUUGGGUAUGGAUGUGUAUGUAUGUGGCUGUGCUUGAGAGGGGAAUUGCGAGUUGGUGCGUGGUUUUUGUGUAUUAUCGAUCUAAGAAGAGAAAAAGAAAAAUAGAUCCCCCCUGGUAUGCCUGAUCUCUGAGGUAUAUGGUGUAUGUAGUAUAUGUGAGAUGGUGUUCUGUGGGUUGGAAGAAGAAGAACUAUUGUGUGUAUAUCUCUUGUGAAAAAAAUCCCCAAAAUACAUGGGGCCCUUUCCUUUUUAUUGUUAGUGUAUUGAACAUAUUAGGAAUAUUCUCCCGUGGGGCCCACUUUUUUUUUGUUUUCUUUUCAAAAUGGUUUCAAAUUGGAUAAAAAAACGUAAGGGAUAGGGAAAUUGGGGUGUGACGUGUCCUAAUUUCAUAGGAUACGGUUGUUAGGAUAAGGUGUAAAGUUGGUUUGGAUAAGGUUGUUAAUUUGUUAGGGAGUUUGUUAUUUUUGUAUUUUUGUGGGGUAUGAUCACAUGGAUGAGGACACGUGGUAAGGUGAGCUAAAAAUGGAUAAAAUCAACGUCGAGAGGGACAAAAUUAGGUGUCUACAGCUUGCCCCCUUUGAAUGUAAACAUGAAGUGUUUUUAGACAAAGAAGUAGACAACGAGACAAAAUUUUGUCCCGACCAUUAUUCAAAAAGAAUGAAACAGAAGGAAGGAGGGAAACCAAUUCUUGACAUUGGACGUCAUAUUAAUCCCUAGUUAUGAGGGAAUUAAGUCACAUAUAUCCCUAAGGACUGAAAGAAGAGGGGCUAUACCGAGUUGGAGAGUCGAGCGAGGUUCUGGUCCGCAGCUCUGUUAUUACAUCAAAAAUAAAAAUUAUAAGUUAAAACAAAAUUAAAAUUAUAAAAAUCCUAUCUAUGCAGCUUCUUUUGGACUCUUGACUUGAGUUUCAUUACCCUAUUCUUCAGGCGGGCUCCUGACUUGCAAUUUCUUCAACUUGUUGUUUGGCUUUCAAUUUCUUCAACUUGUUGUUUGACUUUCAACUUCUUCGCCUUGUUGUUUGACUUUCAACUUCUUGACCUUGUUGCUUGACUUUUAAUCUCUUAACCUUGUUACUUGACUUUCAAUUUCAUUACCCUAUUCUUCAGGCGGGCUCCUGACUUUCAAUUUUAUCACCCUAUACUUCAGAUGGGAUCCUGAUACCAAAAUCAAAGCUAAAAUGAAAAUUAUCCCAAACAAAUAUUAUGAUAAAAAAAGGUUUCAUUUUUUGAAAGUAUGGUCCUAUUUUCCAGGAGGCUCCUGAACAGAAAGUAAAAUCUCAUUUUCUAGGAGGGUCCUGAACAUAAAGUGAAUCCCAUUUUUCAGGAGGGUCCUGAACAGAAAGUAAAAUCCUAUUUUUCAGGAGGGUCCUGAACAGAAAGUAAAAUCCCAUUUUGCAGGAGGGUCUUGAAUAGAAAGUAAAAUCUCAUUUUGCUGGAGGGUCCUGAACAGAAAGUAAAAUCCCAUUUUGCAAGAUGGUCCUGAACAGAAAGUAAAGUCCCAUUUUUCAGGUGGGUCCUGAACAGAAAGUAAAGUCCCAUUUUCCAGGUGGGUCCUGAACAGAAAGUAAGAUCCCAUUUUCUAGGAGUGUCCUGAAAAAAAAAUCCCAUUUUCCAAGAGAGUCCUAAGCAGAAAGUAAAUUCCUAUUUUCCAGAAAGGUCCUGAACAGAAAGUAAAAUCCUAUUUUCUAGGAGGGUCCUGAACAGAAAGUAAAAUUCCAUUUUUCAGGAGGGUCCUGAACAUAAAGUAAAUCCCAUUUCCAGGAGGGUCCUGAAUAUAAAUUAAAAUCUCAUUUCGCAGGAGGGUCCUGAACAUAAAGUAAAUCCCAUUUCCAGGAGGGUCCUGAACAUAAAGUAAAAUCCCACUAUCUAGGAGGGUCCUGAACAGAAAGUAAAAUCCCAUUUUUCAGGAUUGUCCUGAACAGAAAGUAAAAUCCUAUUGUCCAGGAGGGUUCUGAACAGAAAGUAAAAUCCCAUUUUCCAGGAGGGUCCUGAACAGAAAGUAAAAUCCCAUUUUUCAGGAGGAUUCUGAACAUAAAGUAAAAUCCCAUUUUCCACGAGGGUCCUGAAUAGAAAGUAAAGUUCCAUUUUUCAGGAGGGUCCUGAACAAUAAGUAAAAGCCCACGAAAGUGCUUUUCCAAUGGUCGCUAAAUUAAGUGAAUCGAAUUUGUCCCCAUUUCAACAAAGAAAAUUUAUCAGUUAAAAACUUAGUGAUGGUUUGCAACACUUGGAUUUCCUGACACCUGCUCCAAUGUCCAUUCCCUUCAUUUUGUUUCAUAUUGCUGGCACUUUCCCCUACUUUAUCGUGUCAUUCACCCAAACACAGAUUAAGGGAAAUGACUCUAAAAUAAACAUAGUAUCUUUGCUUUGCCAUGCUCCUCAGAUAAACCCUUUGAACCUCGGUAUUUUCAUGAGUUCCCAGACUUGUCUAUUGACAAAACUUUCUGCAUGCCUUGUUUUGACUUGCAAUCUUAUUUCUUUUUUGUGCUGGCCCUUGGUUUUGCUUUGUGUAAUUGAAGAAGCUGGUAGACAGUUUUAAAAUCUUUUCUCACUUGUUUUGACAUGGACUUGACUCAAAGACAAGAGAAAAAUGACAACAAAUUUUAUUUUAUUUGGAUAACUGAUUCAAGAAAGAUAAAACAAAAAUAAAGAGAAGAAAGAAAAGAUAAUGAAUGACCCUUUUUGAAACAAAAAAACAAAGAUUUAUCUAAAAAUGACAAUCAACUCUAAUGAUCAUUCCAUGCAUUUUGGAUCAAACUGCCUAAUCAUUCUAUCCAAACUUUCUGCCGAAUGUUGUUAAGUUAACGACCUCGAAAUUGAGUUGCCUCCUUAGGUCAAUUGUAUUUAAGACCUCAUUCGAUUAAUGACGCCUUAAAGGGUUUUUGCCAACAAGCCUCUCUCAUUUUUUUUUCCUAGCUCACCAUUUUCUUAUGGUGUCCGUGGGGUUUUCACCAAUAAGACUCUCUUAUUUUUAUCUCUCUCAGCUUACCAUGAGGGUUUUCACUGGUAAGACUCUCUCAUUUUAUUUCUCUCUUGAUUCCUUAUGUUGGGGAAGACAAGUAGUUCCCUAAAUGCAUCCUCAUAUCUAUUGCAUGCUUAGCCUUAAUAUCCUCAAAGAUUGAUCUGAAGGUCUUUCUUUGGUUGUAACUCGACUUUUGGAUAGGGUUAGAAAGAAAGGAUGGCAUGGGGCCCAAACGACACUUGAUGUGGGAUAGAACUUACAACUUUUGGAAUCGACUCAAACAAUGAGGAUUAACUCAUUCCCCAGUUUUUUUUGACUGGGCAAUUCUAAAUUGUUUAUUUGGUUGGACCGAGCCUAAGAUAGGGCAGCCUACGUAUCUCACCUUCGAGAGAGGAGAAUCAGGCCAUGGUAGUUCUGGCAACUUGUUUUGCUUGAUUCUAAUUUAUUUUUCUUCUAUGUUUCUUUUAUUGACUCUUUCUCUUUUGGAAUUUUCUGACUCUAUUUAUCUUGACACUCUUUUUUUUUCUUUUUGGACACAUUUUUUUUUCUCUUCUUCUUUUUGAAGACUUUUCUGACUCUAGUCUUUUACUCGACACUUUUCUUUUGAGCUUUGUUGAAUCUAUCUUGAUUCCAAAAGAGGGGUAUGAAAGAAAAUAAUACUAAAGCUCAAGUGGGGUAAACAAAGGAUGACAUAAUAUUUAGAUAGCAGAAUGAAAUGCCUUCAUCAUAUCAAUCCCUGAAAAUGCAAGUACAUAUCAUGCAAUAUGAAAUAAAAAAUGAAGAUCAUUUGUGAUACUUUAACAACACUAACUUUAACUGAGUAUGUGUGCCACUUCUUUUUCUAAACUUGUCAAACUUACAAACUCCACCUUUGUUGUAUAUCCAUCACCUUGAAUGAUUCAUGCCUUCGUGGAGUUGAUUUUCUUUCUGUUCCUUUUGAUAGGAUCACGCAGACACUGUUUGACCUAAUUAAGACAUGUCUUUCAAUUGAUGACCAAGUUAUCCUUGUGAUUCUCAAAAUAAAAGUCUAAAUUUUCAAAGAAGGCUUCAACUUGAUCACCAAAUUCCCUAACACUCUAUCUAUUUUCUCAGAUGCUCUAUUUUCCUAACUUUAACUCUCUGAUUCAAUGCUUCAUAAUUAAGCUGGAUUUUAAGAUCUGACUGAAAAUUCUACAAAUAUGUCAUAUCACUAGAAUCAACAUAAAAUGUACUAUAUAGAGAAAACAAACAAACAACACAUAUUUGAAACAUAAAAGGAAAGGGACACUUCAGUUAGUCGAAAUGAAAGAUAAAAAGGUUUGAACAUAAAUGAAAAAGGGACAAAAUAAGAUAGAUCCCGCACUACAACCCUGAAAUACUUCAGAAAAUAGAAAAGAAAAUAAAACAAACUACCAGAUCUUUUCCUAGUAGGGAGAGAGGUGACUUCUCAAUUGCUCAGCCUGACAAUUUAGCCACUGGUUUGCAUAUAAACAUGACUAGAGCUUCCCUCACUGUCAAUGUUCUGUACCAUAAUUGAUCCAUCUUGAAUCAUUUUUUCAAUUUCCCUUUUCAAAUCUUGACAAUCUUUAAUACUAUGACCCUGAGCACCAGAAUGAUACGCACAUCGUACAUUAGGGUCAAAAUUUCUUGAAUGUCGAUUAAGAGUGCACCCAAGGAGAGGAGUGAUCAUGUCCCAUUAUACCAAUCUCUAAAAUAAAUUGGCAUACGGCUCUCCAAUUAGUGUAAAGCUAUCUCUCAACUUCUGCCUCAUUUCAUCGUUUGGCUUGGAUCGAAAAUCAGGCUUAGAAGGGUUUUGGUAUAUUUGUGGAGUUAGAGGAUGACUCUGAGGAGUUGAUGUGUUCCACUAUGGGUAAGAUGGGGGUCGAACAUGUGGUUGUGCAUUAUACACUGGAUAUGGAUGUGGAGGAACAGAGUAUAAUGACUUUUGGGAGUGAUUAUGUAAAGCUUGGGAAUGAACUUGGGUUUGAGCCUGAGAGUGACGAUGACGAGGUCUUCUUGACCUUUUUUGCUGUCCAACUACAGUAGCAGAUGCAUCUUCCCCAUUCUUUUUCUCCCCAACACUUUUUGAACCCUUUUGAAUUGCUUGAGUAGUCGCUUUCAAUAUUGCAAAACUCACAAUACGACCAGUCUUAAUUCCCUCUUCUAUCAUCUUCCCCAUUUUAAGGACCUCAAUGAACGGCUUGCCUAAUGCAGGUAGCAAGUGUUGAUAAUAUGUUUUGUCCUGUGCCUGAAUAAAUACUUCCACUAUUUUGCUUUCUUUCAUUGGUGGUUUUACUCUAGCAGCUUGUUCGCACCAUCUGAUCGCAUACUCCCUGAAACUCUUAGUAUUCUUCUUUUUUAUACUAGUUAGGGAUUUUUCGUCAAGGAUCAGCUCCACAUUGUAUUGUAAUUUUUUCAUAAAUUCAUUAGCUAGGCCAUCCCAAAUAAUCCACUUGUCAAUGUCUUGGUCAACAAACCAUUCUGAAGCUAGGCCUAAAAGACUCUCAUCGAAAUAUGCCAUGAGUAAUUCUUCCUUCCCUCCAGCGCCCCUUAGCUGGUUGCAAUAGCAUCUCAAAUAUGCUACAGGAUCGCCAUGUCUAUCAUACGUCUCAAGCUUCAGUAUUUUAAAACCAAGAGGAAGAUAUACACCUGGAAACAUGCACAGAUCUUUAUAUGAGACACUUUUGUACCCCCCAAGUCCUUGCAAGUUAUUCAUAGUCAGUUCUAAACUUCUUAAUUUCUUGGCCAUUUCCUUUUGUUCUUCUGCAUAACAGGCUUCUUAGUGUAAGAAGAAAAUUCAUAAGGUUAAGUGCAGUCGUAAGGACCAGUCGACUUAAAUGUGGACUUGGGAGCAUAAUGCUGAUCACUAAAAUAUUCAAUACAGGGUCGCUUGUAGAGUGAGGAAUCACAACCUUUGGAUUGACAUUAAAAGUAGGAGCUUCAGACGAGAGUGGGACUGCAAAAGCAUGAAUAGCAGGCGGAGCCGAGCAUGUGGUAAUUUUGUAUUGAAGAGCGAGCAAAUGAAUAUUAGAAGUGUUUGGAUACUGUUUCCCCGGAGUAGGUCCUGAUGUAUGUUGUGGCGUGUCGACCAAAAUAGGGAAUUGUGCAUGUGACACUGGAGGCAAACUAGAAAGAUAUUCCAGAUUAUCAGUGGGAAAUGGAGAAGCCGGCUACCCAUUAGCCCAAGCUUGAUGCAUUUCUAUCAUUUGCUGCCUUAAUUUCCGAAUCUCUUCAUUAGCUCCUACAACCUUAAUUUCCGAAUCUCAUCAUUAGCUCCUACAUUCUCAUUCCACGAACUCCCUAUCUGAUUAGUGACAACUAACUCAGUAUCCUUGUUGGCCAUAACUUUCUCUGUGAGUUGGAGCAAUAUGGAGGACCAGCUAAAAUGCGACAAACCAACCACCUUAAACUAACUGGACAAGAGAUAGAAAAUGCGUUAGAGUUCAACAAUUUUUCAAAACCUCUUUUUUUUUUCUUGAAAAGAUCACCGAACCCUAAAAGGGCGCCUACGUAUCUCGCCCCAAAAAGGGGAGAAUCGGGUGUGCGUAGUUCGUGAAGUCUUGCUAAAAUGACUAAUUAAACUCUUUUUCUUUUUAUUUUUCUUGAAAUUUUAAGAAGAAAAGAAAAAUAACAAAUUGUCAAAAGAAUAGACGAAAAUCUUUUUGAAUUUUUUAGCUUCCUAUACCAAAUGAAACUUAUGAUUACCAAAGAAAAAUCUUUUUGGAUUUUCGACUUUGAAUUUCAUAUGAAAAUGAAACUUGAACCUAUUAAAGAAAAAUUUGUUUAGUGUUUUUCUUUUAAAGGUGUAUAUGAAACACCUACUCUAAGUGAAGAGUGAAGAAAAUCUUUUUGGAUUUUUAUGAAAUAAGAUCCCCAAACCAACAAUAGGUUGCCUACGUAUCUCACUCCCGAGAGAGGAGAAUCAGGGGUACGUAGUUCGUCCUGAUUGGAUAAUUAAGGAUUAAAUAACAAACUAAGACUUGACCUGAGAGACAGACAAUGAAAGACGUCAAUAAAAUCUUUUUGAGUUUUUUUAAUUUGACACUUCACAUAAAACUGACACCAACAAUUAUGAAAGAAAUUUUUUUUUGGGUAUUUUAGUUAGAUGAAAUGUACAAAACAUCUACCAUCUUUUUGCAUUUUUUCCUUUAUAAAAAGCUCCAAUUAAAAAAGCAUUUUCGAAUUUUUUGAAUUAUGAAUGCAUGGUAAAGGAACAAAAGGAAAAUCUUUUUGAUGUUUUUGAGAAAAUGAGUGAGAAAGGUAAAAAAAUCUUUUCGAAUUUUUGGAUUGUGAAAAACAAAAGCCAUAAAAAACUCUAAAAACUACAAAACUCUUUUUUCCUUUUUGACUUAAUUUUUCAAUUUUUCCUCUUUUUUUUCAAUUUUUUCUUGCCUACACACUUUACUUCUAACACAUGCUUUCCCCAAAUCAGUCCGUCAAAUGACCACGUUAUCCUCAGAGAUGCAACAUUUAGCACGUAGGGAUGCUUUAAAGGUGAGUCUCCUACAAAGGACCGUGUGAGUCCUGCUAGGUCUCAAUAUGAUGCACAUAAGAAUGACCUAAAGGCUGACUUACGUUGUGGUUUACUAACAAGGCCGUUCGGGGGAGCAUAUGGUCAAUAGUGGCUGCUUUGCUUUUCACCUACUCCAUAUAUCCAACAGCUCCCCCCCCCCUAAAAUAAGGGUGACUCAACUAGAGUUCGUGCAUACGACGUGCACUCCAAGACGUUGCAGAAAGAAUUGACUCGGGUUAUGCAAAUGAUGUCAGAUAUAUAAUGGUAACACAUAAAGAAAAAUUGUAAAUAAAGAGUACAGAAAUGCACAACAGUGAUAACAAUAACACAAACAAUAAUCACAAACAAUGUUUAUACACCCAUAAUGCCAAACAAAGCCGAUACGACUCCCCAAAAAAAAAAGCUCGAAUUCUUAAAGAUUCUCCAGCAGAGUCGCCAGAGCUGUCACACCCAUUUUUUAGCUCCCAAAAGAUUCUAUUUUUAAGGUUCGAAAGGAUUUUUAUUAUCAAAGUGACAAAAGAUGAAAAUUUAUUUCGAAAAGGACCUUUUAUAUUCAAAACUCAAAGUCGCCACUUGGCAUAAUUCAGUGUGCCAAGGUACCUUUGAAAAAUCCUUUCCAAAAUGCUUUGACUCUUUAAAACUGGUUUGCGAACAGAGAUUUUGGUUAAGAAAUUCUAUUGAUCGAGGGGAAGGGGUUAGGCACCCCUCGAUCCCGUGGUUUGACCACGGUCUCUUGGUGGAGAGUAUCGGCUAAUUUGACAUUACAAAUGUAUAAACCACACAAAACACAUAAAACAAUCAACUAAACACACGAAACAAAACAAAACAAAUCCAAAAUAUAGUGUUUAGUCCAAUUAUACAGUCCAAAAAUAAGAAAAAUGCAAAAAAUAAAUCAUAUUCUAACCUACAAUAGUACUAAACUAUGCUCCGAUGAUUUACUCCAUCCGAUGUUUUGGGCCUUGGCCAUGCGCCGCCUUCAAGUACAAAUUUCUAGGGGCAUUCCCCGGAUAAAGCAAUACAGAUACCUCAGGGUAUUCCCCGAUCAAAUGAGUAUAUUUUUCAAUUGCGAUAAAACAAAUUCAUUCAACACAUAUUUCAAAAAUUUUACCAAUUUUGCAAUCCCUAAGUGUGCCUACCCCUAUCGUUUGCCUAACAAUUCAUGGCCUAAAGCAUGAUACUAUCGAACUUAACAAAGUCGACGUUUAUUUCAAAUCAAGCAAUCGUUACUAAACUAAUAUAAAUCAAUAUUCACUUUUAACAAUUUUUUAUCUUUUCCCCCAAAAUCCAACUUAACCUCAAAUCAACUACGUGAUAAACAUACUUCACACCAGGAUUAACAAUCAAAUAACGACGAGUAAAAUCACCUCAACCAAAUUCAAUCAAAAAUUACGCCAUUCAAAAAUAUUCACAAAAAGAGAGAUAAAAGAUAUAGAAUUGGACCUCAAUCGCUCAUUUUAUUCCAAAAUUAGUGAUGGAUUGGAAUUCACGAGCAACAAAACCUCGACCCAACUGGAACCUCAAUGUCGAACCCGCAACUUAAAAAAAUACCAAAGAGCACAACCCAACUCGAGUUUUAUGAAUAAAAAUCUAUGAAAAUCAUCAAUCCAAAACGAACUACUAGGAACCAAACGAGACAAUAGUAUCCAAAACCCGAACCCAUUCCAACGCUAAACCUUUUUUUGAACCAAUUUUGGAAGAAGAAUCUGGAGUCGUUACUGUUCACCUAUUUUCGGUGGGUAACGUUAGUGAUCCUCAGUUUUUGGUCGAAAAAAGGGGAACGAUAGAGAGCUGGUGGAUUUUUUGAUAGGAGAAAAUGAAUUUUGGCGAUAAUCUCGCCAGAAAAUUCAGAAUAUUAGUUGUUUCCGGUGACUUCCCCACUCCAUUUUCCGUUUCUCGUCUUUCUGUCUCCGAUCUACCUCUCAAUCUCCCAAUCUCUACUCUAAUUCCUCAACCCUCGAUCUCUCUCUGCUUGUGAUCCUCACUCUCUCGAUCUCACUAUUCCCCCUUCGAUUCACCUCGCAUCUCACUAUUUUUUCACCAUUUAUAUGUAAUUUGGGUAUAGGUGUGCGUGUAUAUGGUUGUGCUUAAGAGUGGAAUUAUGAGUUGGUGCGUGGUUUUUGUGUAUUGUCGAUCCAAGAAGAGAAAAAGAAAAAUGGAUCCCCCCUGGUGUGCCUGAUCUUUGAGGUAUAUGGUGUAUGGAGUAUAUGUGAGAUGGUGUUCUGUGGGUUGGAAGAAGAAGAACUUUUGUGUAUAUAUCUCUUGUGAAAAAAAAUCCCCAAAAUUCGUGGGGCCCUCUCCUUUUUGUUGUUAGUGUAUUUAACAAUAUUAGGAAUAUUCUCCCAUGGGGCCCACUUCUUUUUUUGUUUUCUUUUCGAAAUAGUUUCAACUUGGAUAAAAAAAAGUGAGGGGUAGGAAAAUUGGGGUGUGACGUGUCCUAAUUUCAUAGGAUAUGGUUGUUAGGAUAAGGUGUAAAGUUGGUUAAGAUAAGGUUGUUAAUUUGUUAGGGAGUUUGUUAUUUUUGUAUUUUUGUGGGGUAUGAUCACAUGGAUGAGGACACGUGGUAAGGUGAGCUAAAAAUGGAUAAAAUCAAUGUUGGGACGAAUAAAAUUAGGUGUCUAUAGUCCGUAAAGCCAACAAUUCAAUUUAGCAGUCAGGCGGACAGGUUCAUAUGGUUUCCUAUCUUUUCAUCUAAUCGCACUACCUGAAGUCUCAUGAAUAUAACCAUUCCAAGCUGGGGCAACCAGGUAGUUGCGAGUUUAGCUCAGUUCAUGUAUUAUGCCUCAGUUUCAGAUCCUCGAUAUGCAGUCAAGAUUCAGUUAAUAGGUGCCCUGUGCAUCGUCUCAGUUUUUCCUCAGUAUCUCAGCCAAGUCAGCAUUCUUCAGGGGAUAUAAUGUCCCAAGGGGGAGAUGCGCUAUAAUCCCUCGAGCUUUUAUGACCUAAACCUUCCAUCUUCUCUUUAUGUAAUGAAUCCAAUUUGGAGUAGUGGGUGCUCAUAGGUGGACCCUCAAGUACCAAUAUCAGUCGUAAGCCAUGCAUCCAGGGGCUCAGUUUAGUUUAUGAUAUUCAGUUCACGUAUCACAUUUCAGGCUUAGUCAUGUUCUCAUGUUCCCGUUCAUGCAUGUUUAGUAAAUGAUCUCAGGUUCAUUAGUAUUCUCAGUUUAAGGCAACAGGUUUCCUUAGAUUGGCUUAGUUCCAUGUUCAGGUUCAGCUACCGUUGCACAUUCAGUCAUACAUUUAUGAAUCAGUUCAGUCAUGUACUCAUUCAUCAGAUAUGCAUGUACAGAUUGAAAACUCAACUUAUUAGUAGUUUCAGUCAGGUGUUUGUCACGACCCGAACAAGGCCCUGGCCGUGACGAGCAUCCUGAGCUGUAAAGGCCCGAGCUCCCCUUUAUUAAUAGGCAAUCAUACACACGUUCAUACAAUCAUAAAGAGAAUGCGGAAUGGAUUCAUACGGAAACAUGGUCAAUAACAUCAUACGACUGAAAAGUCAAAGAUUUCAAUAAGACCUUCAACAUCAUCUAACAUCUAUCUGCAAAAUCUCUAGUAUAUCAAAACCAGUCAUCACAACUAAAACUGGGAUAAGGUCCCCAGUGGACCUAAACCAAAAUAAAUAAUAUAUGACAGAAAGAAAUAGACCUUUCGGAAUAAAGAAGGCUCACCAAUUGCAACACACUUCACUUCUGCCCGAAAACUCUACGGCUUUUCAGGAUCUCUAGACUGAGCCUCAGAUACUGGAAUAUAGGGGGUCAAAUCAAUUGUAAUGUAGCAGAGUAAUCCAAAAAUAAAAUACAACUUUUAUAUAACAUAGGUGAGAGCUAUUAUAAAACACUUUAACGUAAAAUCGUUUGAAAACACAUUGGCAUAGUAUAAUGAUUUUUCAACAAAAAUGCAGCACUAUUUAGCUAGAUGGUACACCCUACAAUUUCACAUUUUCACCAACUUCCAAGUCUCGAUUGCCACCAAGAUUGGAGUAUUAGUGAGGAAAGGACACACAAGAUCAUACAGCAGGGUGCCACAAUCCCAAUCAAUUCAAUAUGUCGUGGUUGGGCUCAAGAUCAUAAAGCAGGGCUCCUAACCAUUGGUCCCAAUUUGGGAUGAUAUAGUACUAGGUACACAAGAUCACAUAGUAGGGUACCAAGUUCCCGUGUUGGCAAUUCACGGUUCCCAGCAUAGAGUCAUCUGACUCAUGCUUUCUUCAGGUAACCAUCUAACUCAUAUCAAUUUAAUAUUUAAGUUUGAUAUAAGACAAAACAUGCAUCAUACUCACAACAUUCUCUUCCUCUUUUUAUUCGAGGAAAUUCCUUCACACGUUUUAUGCAAGUCAUUAUAUGAACACCAACAAGACUCCCAUACACCAACAUAAGCAUAUCGAUUCCCCAACACGAAAUAGUCAAGAAACUUCAACAUUUACCAAGAAACCAUCAGGAUAGCCUAGUUGCUUUGGAGGGCGGUUACCCACCCGGGUGACCAGGGAUCGAUUCCCCCCUCAAUGCCUUCUGGGUUUGAGCCUGUCGCACAGGGCUUGCCUAGUGCGGUUUAUAUCCCCAUGUGGUUUGUAGGCUAUUGCAUCGGGGGGUUUACCCAGUGCGCAUACAGUGCUCACCCGAAGGGAAGAGGCUGUGGCAGAGGGUGUAGCGGCUGCGGGUUUUUCUGGAAAGUUUCCAAAAAAAAUACAUUAUCCAAACACACUUUUCCAUGAUAAAAAAGGGGUUUUAAAAACACAUGCUCUCAAUACUUUAACAAUAGCAUUAUGUGGGGUUCAUAAACAUCAUCAUGAGAAAUAAAGAAUUCACAACUCAUGUUCAUAACACUUUUUAAAAUUCAAAUCACAUGUCCACAAAUCCAAAAAUUGAGAUACAUAAGCAAACAACCCCAUAUUCUUUCAAUAUUCUUCUCAAAACCAUAUCACAAUGCAUGCUUUUUGUGUUAAAACGAAACCCCACUUAUAAUGGCAUACAUACAUACAUACAUAAUUAUUAAAAAAUCUUAUUUAAAUUCAUAUCAAAAUCAUGUCCAUGAGAUUUAGGAUAACCCCACAUACUUUAGAUUAAUUAGUUUAGAGAGAAGAACCUGAAUCUCCAUUCAUUCUUUGGAAAUCUUGAACUUAGAGGUUGGUUCUUGAUUCCUUGUUCUUGGGAGAAACCCUAAUUUUGAUGUUAUGAAUGAAUAAGGAGUUAUGUCCUUUGAUUUGAUGUAAUAAGGUGUUAAAAAAGUGAAAAAGACCCAAAAAUUUCUUUAAAAACGGCUUUAGAUCACUAAACGGAGGUUCGAGACGGUUUGGGCGACGAACCGUCACCCCAGGGAUGGACCGUCCCUCAAACCAUCACUUUUUGGCCAGAAAAUGGACUUACUACCUCAGUUGCGAUGGUUUGGCUGGCGGUCCAUCGCUGGCGCGAUGGUCCGUUGGCCUUCUCGUCGCACUUUGGCAGUUCGUAUAGCUCCAAAUAAGUUUUUCUAAUAGUAAAAAGCACCUUAAAACCACUCAUAAGUUGGAGAUGAGGAUGAUGAGUUGGGAUCCGGCCAUAACUUUUUACCCCGAUAUCGGAUUUAGGAAAAAUUGGUGGUGUUGGAAAGAGGACUCAAAGAACUUUCAUUUUAUAUAGAGUAGGCCCUCUAAUUCUAUAUAUACAAAAAGUUAUGGUCAAUUGAAAUUAACCUGAGUUUAAAUGCUCACCAAAACUAAAUCGAUAGGAAGGCUUUCAACUCAUCCUUGAGUUAAGGGAUCUCUAUGAUCUUAAUUCAUGCUCAACUAGAUUUCCACACUAUUAGUUGAUUAACACACUACAUUUACAUUAGAUUUAUGAUUUUUGGAUUAUUUACGCGUGGAAAUAACGGUUUAUAUUGUUUAAUUAUAUUGUUUUUAUAUCUCUAUUUUGAGAUUUUUUAUUGUGUUAAUGUUAAGUUUAAUUGUAUUUUUUGAUAUCUCUAUUAUAUAGUAUUAUUUUGUUGUAGUUUACAAGUGGUAGAUGGGUGUCAGAUGGCUUUGACAAAUUUUUUGUGUAAAGGUUAGAUUUAAUUAUACUGUUUUGACUAAAAAAAAUAACUACUCCCUCCGUUUAAAAAAGAAUGACCUACUUUCCUUUUUUGUUGGUUUCAAAAGAAUGACCCCUUUUCUUUUUUAGCAAUACUUUAAUUUCAACUUUCCAUAUGACAUGUUUAGAACCAUGAGAUUAAAGGACAUUUUGGUACAUUUAACCUAAUUUUAAUUUAAGGCCACAAGAUUCAAAAAUCUUCUUUAUUUUCUUAAACUUUGUGCCAAUUCAAAGUAGGUCAUUCUUUUUUAAUGGAGGGAGUAUCAUUCUUUUUUGAACUUGAAAUAUCAAGGUGAAUUUUUUAUGGAGAGGAUUCGGAUGAACACCUUCGCCCCUAAAUCCAACCUUGUACAUAAUGACCAAGUUUUUUUUUCCUUCUAGCAUGCAUCAUGUGUGUCAUCACUUCACCUGAUACUUCUAAAUCUAGCUUGGUACUCUUCUUUUAAUCAUCUACUUGCUUUCUUACAACAAUUGGAAUUCUAACAAAAUAUUUGCCAUCACUCCAUGACAAACUUCUGAAGGUAAAUUUACCACUUUUUGGGCAAGUGGAUGUGAUCUUUACCUCAAAGGAAAUCUUGGUUAUCUUGGAAGUAAACUUCAACACAUCUGGAGUUACUUUAAUAGCAGUAUUUCUCGGAGGUUUAACCACUAAUCUAUAUAUAGAGUUAGCAUUUCCAACAUUGAAAAUUUAUUCGGGUUGUGGAUCGAAGAUAAUAUUUAAGCUCUUCCCAAUAAUUUGAUGUGUAAGCUCUCUCAUCAACACUGUUCCAACAAGGUAAAUCAUAAAAGGAAUCAGGAAAACUAUUAUGUGUCGGCCUUUUAGAAGAUGAUAGCUCCUCGGGAGGAUGAGGAGCGAUAGUUGGAGUGAUAUUUGUAGGUACUACUAAAUCAACUAAAUCAGCAUAGUGAUUAUAUAAUUUUUCUAUAUAUUCAUUAGCAUCACCCAUAGUCGUCCACAAAUCAGAUUGUACUUGUUCAGAAUCGUUGUUAGUAUUUAUUUCUAAGUUAGCAUAAAUAAGAGUACUAAGUGGCACAUAGUAUUAUAUUUCAUGCACGAAUUUAGCAUAGCACCAACCAAGUAAAUAAGGGGAAUCAGAAAAAAAUAUUUUUUAAAUUUAGUAAACAUGGUACCAACAACUUCUUUAUAACCUUCUUUAUUUUUAUAUUCUUUGAGCAAACCAAAAAUAUUGACUAUAUAUACCAAAAUAUUACAAACAGUAGGAUAAUAAGCACCGAAAAAUUCAACCGUAGUUAUAUAAUUUUUUUCUAAAAACUUAACAAGAUCAUUAAUUACAACCUAAUCAGAAUCAUGUAGCAUGCAAUCAACAGAAUCAGCAAAUGAACCACAAUGUUGGUUAAAAGUUAGUGUAAUAGGAACUCUAUAUUUAUAACAAGUUUUAAAAAAUCAUACGUACAAUUCCAUCUAAUAUCCUCAGGCAUCAAUAUCGGUGCAAGUCCAUUUUCUUGACAUUUAACUUUAAAUUAUCUAAUUCUUUUUCUUCGAUUAUUGCCUUGAAUAAAACAAACAGCAAAACGAAUUUUUUCAAUAUAAAGCUCAAAAAACUCGAGAUCAUCUUUUAAUUUAAAUUAUAUAUAUGACAAGCACACUUAAUAUGAAAAAUUUCAGGUAACAGCGUAGAUAGGUCAGAUUUUAACUUUGUUAUAACAGUCUUGUUGUUAGAAGCAUUAUCAAAAGCAAUACAUAAGAUUUUAUUUUCGAUACCAUAAAAUUCUGCAACUUUAGCAAUCGAAUCAGUAAUAAAAUCUCCAGUAUGUUUACGAUCUUCAUCAUAUAAAAAAGCAAGAAUACGUUUUUGCAUCACAAAAUUACUAUCCAUCCAGUGACAAGUAACGGUUAAAUAAUCAUUUUUAUUUACAGUACGACCAAGAUCAGAAGUUAGGGACAAUCUACAUUGAAUAGUUUUUGACAAUGUUGAUAAAUAAAAAUAAUAUUGUGAAUGAAGUCUAAAAAUAUCAGACCGACAAGUACUUCUACGAAUACCAUUAAACAUAGGAUUAUAAAUUACUCGUAUAUAAUGAAUAAAGGCAUCAGAAGAAGGAAAACUAAAAGACAAACAAUCCAUAACUACCAUUUUAGUUAUUUUUUACCGGUCCCUCAAUUUAUUAUACUUCUUCAUUACCUGACCAGUUGCUGGGUUCAUUCUAGUUUGCGUUGGCCCACCAACAUCCCCACCACCUCGUGCAAUAUUUAACUCUCUUUCAUGAGCAUUACCUAUAUGUCUCAAUAAUGUACCCGUACCCCCUUGCUUGCCUCCGUUUUUAUACUUAUAUAUUUAUUGACAAAUAUUGCAUUGCACCUCAGUAUUUGAUAUACGUUCAAAAAAUUGUCAUGCAAUGCUAGUUGUUUUACGAGCUCUUGGGGCACGAGGAGGACGGGGAGGGAGAUUAAUUGAUUCAGAUCUAACUUUAGCAUUUCCUAUUGUGGGUGUCUCACCAAUAUUUUCAUCAUCUUCGUCCAAAUUAACCGUUUCUACUUUAUUUUCUUCUUCUAUACCGUAAAUUUUCUGAGCUUCUACAUAAUCCAUAUCGUGAGCACCUACACCUAUUUCUUCCUCAAAAGAUGUACCAAGCGGUACCGGAGGUGAAGGCACACGGGUAUAUCUACUACUUGAAGUACCUCUACCGCUAGUAAUUCACUUUUUACUACCACUACCGCUUCAGGGAUAAAAUUUUUUAACACUUUUAGUAGCGAGGUUUCUUAAUUUAUAUAUAAUAUAAAUUAAACAAAAAAAUUCAAAAUACACAAAUAUAAUAAAAUUAAAUAUUCAACAAUUAAUACACUAAAUAAAAAUUAAACGUAAGAGAUGGAACGACAAUACCAAAUUUUGAAAGUAUCCGAAGAUUGUGACUUUAGAAACUUUCACUCGUACUUUGUAAUCACAAAAUUAAAAAAUUAAAGUGAGCACUUUAGAAAAUUAAAUAUAUAGAAUAUUUGAGAAUUGAGAAUUGAGAUUUGAGAGAAUAAAAAAUUGUGUGAAAAAUGAUUUGAAGGUGUAGGGUAGUUAUAGAAUUUUUUUUGGAUUAAAAAAAUAAUUAAAAUGAAAAAAAAAUUAAUAAAAGGUCCCAAACUAGUUGUUUGGACCCAAAAACGGUUAUAUAGCCGUUGGGCCAACGGCUAAUUUGGCCCAAAUCUCCAAUUUUUUUUUUUUAAAAAAAGUUAACCGGGUCGGGCCGGUUAACCGGCGGACCUGAACCAGUUUUGGUCUGGGUUGGGUUAACCGGACCCAAUUUCAAAAUUAAACCGGUCCGGGACCUGGUACGCUACAGCUUGUGGGUUGAUCGGGCCGAUUUUUUUAAGUGGGCCGGGUUGACAGCCUUAACUUAUUGACAAAAUGGACCAGAAGCAAUUGCUAACCUCUUGAAUACAGGUUCGAUUCUCCUUGGGAAUUAAUAAACGUUCUUAAAGUAAUGUGAGAUUUUUGAGGUUUCAUAAAACUCAAAUCUUAAAUUUGUUUAUGAUGAGUAUAUGCUUUUAUACUCAAUUGCGGAGCUGGACACAUUGGGCGGACAGCACUCUGAUCAUGCAGCUUCUUCGUGCUAACCUCACUUUAUGGACCUCCGAUAUGCGGAAUGAUGGAACCGACGAGAUCAAAGAAGCAGCACCGAAACCAGAUAAUGAAUGAGAAGGCAGUAAAAACUGGUGAAAUUUCUUUUAAGAUUCAAACAUGCCAUGUUGUAACUUCGUUAUUUGUCUGGGCUCAGCUCUUUGUUAGUUCUAGAUCUUGUGAUUUGUAAUACCUAAAAAUCAACCCGUUGUUAUUUCUUGUUUUUCGUUUGUUUCUCUGUGGAUUUCUCUUGUAUUUGGAUUAUUUCCUUUUUCUCAAAGGAAUGACUUAUGGGAAGUUGGAUCUAUCUUUUAAUCCAAAAAUAAAAUAAAAUAUAUAUAUGUUGUAGUAUUGAGUGAUAUUAUAUCCCCUUUCUCAAACAUCGAUAUCCAUAGCUCUUUCUUUAUUUUUUUUAUUUUUGAAAACCAAGACUUCCUAGGACUCUAUUGAAUCUUAGACUAUGAUACUAAUUUUGUAAUAACCCAAUUUGCUAAACUAGAAUGCUACACAGUGCUUAUGACCCCGAAAUAUCACAAGCUAACCCAUGACUGAUAUCUGUACCUGUACACUGCAUAAUAUACAUGUAAAAUGUGGAAAACAUGAACAAUAGGCCAUAAGGUUCAACUAAAUAGAAUAUCUGAUAAAUAAUAACAUCCAUAUGGGGUAACAAAUAACCAAAACAACUGAAGCCUGGAUCAAAAAUUAAAAGCCUCUAAAUACUGUCUGAAAUAAGGAGUUGAGGGAAUAUGUCUCCAACUAACUCCGUCUAGCAAAACUGAACUAAAAUAAUGAAUAAAAUAAAAUAAAGUCAUCCUCAGAUGGAUGAGGACUCACUGCCACUCUGCAUACUGGAAUGCUACUGGUACUGCUGAUCUGUAACUCGUGACUCUGAACCUAUGGUGUAACAUAAAAGAAAGCACCAUAGCGAAAAUGCGUCAGUACAACUGAAAGUACUGAGUAUAUGAGUGGGGUAGGCUAAAUUCAAAAAGGUUUACAUGCAUGGCCAAUGCUUAUUGACUGACUAAUAUGAAUGUGAGAGUGUAAACAUGCAUACAUAGUAACUGAGAUCGUUAAUAUGUGAUAUCUGAAUCUGUACGCUAAUACAUAGUUUACUGUUAUCUAACAUGACUGAUACUGGAAUUUUGAUAACAUGGAUGACUGUGUCUGACAGUCUUAAAUCUAAUGGUACUACCUGAGUUCUGUACUGUAACUGAAUUGACUGUAACUGAUAGUCCUGGUAUACUAAAAUUUGAAGGAAUAUCUGAGUUCUUUUACUGAGAUUGGAACUAAAACUAUGGGAGGUAGUUGCUUAACCAAAAUGCCCCAAUAAUGCAUAUAGCUAAGUUGGGGUCCAAUCUCUGCCCCGACUGAAAGGUGUCAAUACCGCGCCACUGGUAAGGACAGCUGUGAGUGACCCUUAGCUGGCAGGUACUCGAAUAAGAAUGGUGGGAACCCUAAACUAACAGAUUAAGCCACCUCAUCAACCCUAAUCUGGUAGGUUAAGAUGUCUCAACCUACGCUGGCUACGUAGUUCUAGAACACAAGGAUUACUACUAAGAAUCACACCCUAAACUGGCAGGUGAUUUUCCAUCCUUGGGUUCACUCGGUGAUAACUUAUACUCCCAUCUAAAGAGACUGAACAUUAUUUAACUGGCUGUACAUGGACUGAGUAACUGACUUCCGUUGACUGACGAAAUAGAACUACUAUCUGAGAAUUCAUUGAGAUCAUGAGAUUUCUGAGAUUUCCUGAGUCACAUGACUGACUGAGUUCUAUAGAUCAUGCCUUGAUUGAGAUUAUUGUGAUAACGUGACAUGGUUCUGGGCACACAGCUAUAUUUUUUGAGUACAAGUAUCCCGAGGAAUCGAUGGAAGGAAACUGACACACAUAAUUGACUUGAUCAUAAAAAUAGAGUCCACAAUUCACCAUAUCAUAAGUAGGGGAUUUCACACUAAGCAUAGUUCUCAACACCUUGCGUAUGGAAGGGACACUUGCAUACCUUCAAUAUCAUACUCAAUCCAUAUCACAACAACGACGCAUAUCCAUCACGUGGAAUUCAUGUGUAAUCAUAAAGCAUAAAGCAUGGACUUGUCAUUUAAGCACUAUUAAAUUAUGGGACAUGAAUCUUAUCACCUUAAGCAUUUUAUCAAACACUUUGCAUGCAUUCUUUUAGCUUAGGUGUGUUUUCAUGAAUUUCCCCAUUUUAAACCACAUAAAGUUCAUGGAUUUCAACUAACGAACACAUAUACUUCUUGAAAACACCUUUAGAUAUCAUCUUGAAACUUAAACAACAAUCAUCAAUAUGUACAUGGUCAUAUCACAACAAGACAAUCACAAAAUAACAUUUAAAACAUGGUUCUUGAGCUCUAUGAACGAAAUGGAUCCAUAGAUGAACACUACGCAUACCUUAGAUGGAAGAUCCGUGAAAAUUAACGGUGAAAUCCUUUGAAUCUUAAAGCUUCUAUGAAAAACCUAAGGGAUUCUUCAGAGAAUUUUGAGUAAAGAGAGUAUAAUGUGGUUGUAUUGGGGCUAAAUUUCGUGUUUAUGGAAUAUAUAGGGGUGGAAAGAUGACCCAAAUACCCUUCUAGAUGCGUCAUUUAAUAUCUGUGAAAAUUACUCAAUUUGGGCCCCUGGUGCGAUGCAGAGAUAUCGUAUUGCAACCCGUUUGUCAUUUGGAAACUCACCGCGAUGUGGUGGAAUCGUGGAGAGACACUGUAAAUUGACGAACAUCAUUUUGGCUUAUGGUGCGAUGCGCCACUGACUGAAAUGACGCUGCUGAAACUUUAAAUAGCUAUAACUUCUUCACCGAGUGUUCGUUUUAGGCGAAUUUGGUAUCGAUGGAAAGCUUAUUCAAUUAUCUACGGGUAUAAAUCUACCAAAAUACCACCUAUUAAAAAGUUAUUCUUUUUAAAUAUGACCUAUGUUAAAUCACACACAAAAACUUGAUGGAUUUAAAAGUUCUUAGCUUGGCUUACUCUAAGUGACUCUUAUGAACAUGCUUAACACAUCAUAAGCUCUAUUAUCACUAGGAUACUCAUCCUAAUUCAUGUACUCAUAUAUGAAUCACAGGAUAGAAGGUUUCAUGUGUAGGAACAACGGUUCAUCUUCUAGCUUAGAAAUAUAUGGGGUAUUACAUAAUGACCUCAAAAUUGAGUUUCUUCCUUAGGUCAAUUGCAUUUAAGACCUUAUUCAGCUUGUGACGCCUUGAAGGGUUUUUGACAACAAGCCUCUCCCAUUUUCUUUUCCUCAGCUCACCAUUGCCUUAUGGUGUCCGUGAUGGUUUUUCACUAAUGAGACUCUCUUAUUUUCAUUUGUCUCAACUCACCGUCGUCUUACAGUGCCUGUGAGGGUUCUCACUGAUAAAACUCUCUUAUUUUAUCUCUCUCAGCUUACUAUCAUCUUAUGAUACCCGUGAGGAUUUUCACUGAUAAGACACUCUCAUUUUCAUUUCUCUCCUGAUUCCUUAUGCUGAGGAAGACAAGUAGUUCCCAAAAUGCGUCAUCACAUCCAUAUCAUGCUUAGCCUUAAAAUUCUCAAAUAUUGAUUUGAAGGUCUUUCUUUGGUUGUAACUUGGCUUUUGGAUAGAAUUAGAAAGAAAGGAUGGCAUGGGGCCCAAACGACACUUGUAGUGGGGGUGACUUACAACUUUUGGAAUCGAUUCAAAUAAUGAGGAUCAACUCAUGCCCCAGUUUAUUUUGACUGGGAAAUUCUAAAUUAUUUGUUUGGUUGAUCGAGCCCCGUAUAGGGAAGCCUACGUAUCUCACUCCCAAGGAAGGAGAAUCAGGUCACACGUAGUUCCGGCAACUUGUUCUUUAUCUUGAUUCUGACUUCUUCUUCUUUUUAUUGACUCUUGAGCUAUGAUUUUCAAUUGAUGACCAAGUUAUUCUUGGGAUUCUCAAAAUAAUUGCCUUAAUUUUCAAAGAAGGCUUCAACUUGUCACCAAAUGUCUCAACACUCUACCUAUUUUUUCAGAUAUUUUUCUGACUUUAGAACUAUGAUUCAAUGUGUCGUGAUUAAAUUGGAUUUUAAGAUCUGACUGAAAAUUUUGCAAGCAUUUGAUAUCACUAGAAUCAACAUAAAAUGAACUUUAUAAAGAAAAUAAAUUAACAAAUAACACCUAUUUAAAACAUAAAGGGAAAUGGACACUCCAUUUAGUUGAAAUGAAAGAUAGAAGGAUUUGAACAUAACGACAAAGGGACAAAACAAGAUAGAUCCAGAACUACAACCCUAAAAUAAUUUGAAUAACAAAAAAUAAAAUAAAACACACUACCAGACCUCUUCCUAGUAGGGAGGUAGGUGACUUCUCAAUUGCUCAUCCGUACAUCUUAGCCAUUGGUUUGCAUAUCAGCAUGACUAGAGCUUUUCCCACUGUCAAUGGUUUGCCCCAUAAUUGAUUUAUCUUGAAUCAUCUUUUCAAUUUCUCUUUUCAAAGCAUGACAAUCUUCAAUACUAUGAUCCUGAACAUCAGAAUAAUAGGCACAUCGUACAUUAGGAUUAAAGCUUUUUGAAUGCGGGUCAGAGUAUACCCAAAGAGAGAAGUGAUCAUGCCCCGUUGUACCAAUCUCUAGAAUAAACUGGCAUAUAACUCUCCUAUUGGUUUGAAGCUAUCUCUCAACUUUUGCCUCGUUUCAUUUUUUGUCUUGGACCAAAAAUCUGGCCAAGAAGGGAUUUGGUAUGUUUGUGGAGUUGGAGGAUGACUCUGAGGAGUUAGUGCAUGCCAUUGUGAAUAAGAAGGGAGUUGAACAUAUGGUUGUGCGCAGUAUACUAGAUAUGGAGGUAGGGAAAUGGAGUAUAAUGGAUUUUGGAAGGGAUUAUAAAGAGCUUACGUAUGAACUUGGGCUUAAGACUAAUGGCAACGACAACGACAUCUUCUUGGAUGUGACCGUUCUCCAACUACAAUAGCAGUUGUAUCUUUCUUAUCCUUUUUCUCUCCAGUUUCCCUUAAUUGAUUGCAAUAUUAUCCCAAAUGUUUCAUGGAUUUCUCCUGUCCAUCUUGCUCCUUAAAUUUCGAUGUCUCGAGGCUUGAAGGAGGGUUAACACUUGAAGAUAUGCCCCAGUUUUUGUAUGUAACAUCUUCUUUACCCGCAUGUCCUAGGAAACUUUUCCUAGCAUUUUCUGCACUCUUCAUUUUUUCAACCAUUUUCUCCGGCUCUCAUGGAAAGCUAGACUUCUUGUUAAGAAAUUUUUGUGGUCCAAUUAACAUUGAUGUGGGCUUGGGAGUAUAGCAAUGAUUAUCAAGAGUAUUGAACAUGGGUCCACUAGCAGAUUGGGGCAGCAUAACCGUUGAAUUGUUAUCCAAAGUGGAAGCCUCAACAGAAGGUUUAGCAAUAAAAGCAUAGGCAGUCAGUGGUGCGUUCAAUGUAGUAGGUUUAUACUGAGAAGCUAGAGGAAGAGAGGGGGAAGUAUUGGGAUGCUUUUGUCUUAGAAGAAAUUCUGAAUCAUGUUGCAAUGCAUCAACAAUAAUAGGAAACUUCCUUUGCAAUUUUGGUAGAAAACUCGAGGUAUUUGUAGAUCAGUAGCGGGAAAUAGAGGAAGAGGCAACCCACUGGCCCAAGCUUGGUGCAUUUUUGCCAUUUGUUUCCUUAGUAUCCUAAUCUCUUGCCUUAAACUCUCAUUUUCCUGAGUCUUGGUUUGAUCCGUAAUGUCAAUCCAUAUAUUCUAGUUGGAAACAACUAACCCUUUGGAAUUGGUGUGAUGUGAAGAAUCAACUACAAUGUCAAAAUGACACAAACCAACCACCUUAAACUAACUCAAAAGAAGAUAACAAACAUGUUAGAGUUCAACACUUUUCAAAAGCCUUUUUCAUUUUUUUCCUCCUUUUUUUUUUGAAAAAUAUCACCGAACCCAAGAAGGACGCCUACGUAUCUCACUCCUGAAAGAGGAGAAUCAGGUGUGCGUAGUUCAUGAAGUUUUGCCAAAAUGGCCGGUAAAACUCUCUUUCUUUUUUUUGUUGACACUUUAAGAAGAAAAGAAAAUAAUAAAUUGUCAAAAGAAUUGACGAGAAAUCUUUUUUUUGCGUUUUUCAAUUUUAACACCCCUAUACAAAAUGAAACCUACGAUUACCAAAGAAACUCUUUUAAGGUUUUCAAUUUUGAAUUUCAUACGAAAAUGAAACAUGAACCUAUUAAAGGAAAAUUUUUUUAUAUUUUUCGUUUAAAGAUGUAUAUGAAACACCUACUCUAAAUGAAGAGUUAAGAAAAUCUUUUAUGAAUUUUUUUUCUAUAUUCAUAUACAAAAUGAAACCUAUGAUUAUCAAAGAAAAUCGUUUGGAGUUUUCAAUUUUGAAUUUCAAAUGAAAAUGAAAAUUGGAACUAUAAAAAAAAAUCUUUUUGUAGUUUUCUUUUAAAGAAGUAUAUGACACUUACUCUAAUAAAGAGUGAAGAAAAUCUUUUUGGAUUUUUCAAAUAGGAUCCGAGAACCAACAAUAGGCUGCCUACGUAUAUCACUCCCAAGAGAGGAGAAUCAGAGGUGUGUAGUUCAUCCAGACAGGACAAUUAAGGAUUAAAUAACCGAUUGGACCCUGACUUGAGAGAUGCGACCACAAACAGAAGAUGAAAAAUAUCAAUAAAAUCUUUUUGAGUUUUGAAUUUGACACUUAACAUAAAACUGACACCAACAAACUAUGAAAGAAAAAUCUUUUUGGUAUUUUCGUUAUAUGAAAUGUACAAAACUUCUACCAUCUUUUUUUGCAUUUUUCCUUUAUAAAAAGCUCCAAUUAAAAAUAAUCUUUUUGAAAAUUUUGAAUUAUGAGUGCAUGGUAAAGGAGCAAAAGGAAUUUUUUUUUUAAUUUUUUUUGAGAAAAUGAGUGCAAAAAGUAAAAAAAAUCUUUUUGAAUUUUUAGAUUGUGAAAAAAAAAUCAAAAGUCAUAAAGAACUCUAAAAACUAUGAACUCUCUUUUUUCUUUUCGACUCACUUUUUGUUUCUUUUUUUUUUUCUUUUUUUUUAAUUUUUCAUUGCCUACACACUUUACUUCUAACAUAUGCUUUCCCCAAAUCAGUCUGUCAAAUGACCACGUUACCCUCAAAGAUGCAACAAUUAGCACGUAGGGAUGCUUUAGAGGUGAGUCUCCUACAAAGGGUCACGUGGGUCCCUCUAGGUCUCAAUAUGAUAAAGAUAAGCAUGACCUAAAGACUGACCUACAUUGGGGUCCACUAACAAGGUUGUUCAGGGGAGCGUAUGGUCGAUAAUGGCUUGCUUUAGCUGUCCACCUACUCUAUACAACCCAACGGCUCCCCCUCCUAAAAUAAGGGUGACUCAACUAUAGGUCGUGUACACACGUGUACUACGGACUUGUUGCAGGAAGAAAAACUCGGAUUAUGCAUGCGAUGUCAGCUAUAAAGCGGUAACAUAUAAAGUAAAAAUUGUAAAGAAAGAGCAUGUAGGCACUCAACAAUGAUAAACAAUAACUCAAAACACAAACAAAAUGUCUAUACACCUGUAGUGCCAAACAAAGCCAAUACAAAUCCAAAAUAAGCUCGAAUUCUGAAAAAUCCCCAGCAGAGUCGCCAGAGCUGUCACACCCCCCUUUUAACCAAAAAAUUAUUUUUAAAAUUUGAAACUGUUUUUAUUAUUAAGUGACAAAAGAAAAUGAUUUAUUCUGUAAUGGAUUAUUUAUAUUCAAAACUCAGAGUCGCCACUUGACAUAAUCCGGUGUGCCAAGUCACCUUUGGAAAAUUCUAUUCAAAAUGAUUUGACUCUUUAAAACUAGUUUGUGACAAGAGAUUCCGGCUAAGGAAUUCUGUUGACCGAGGGGAAGGUGUUAGGCACCCCUCGAUCCCGUGGUUCGACCACGGUCGCUUGGUGGAGCAUAUCGGCUUAUUUAAACACUAUGAAUGUAUAAACCACACAAAAGCACAUAAAACAGUCAAUCAAAACAAACCUAAAAUAUAAUGUCCAGUCUAAUUAUACAGUUUGAAAUAGAAAAGUGCGAAAAAUAUAAACCUGCUCUAUUCUAACCCUAUACUAUGCUUUACCCGACGCCUUGGGCCUUCAUCACGAACAUCCUCUGGGUACAGGAUACUUUGGGGCAUUGUCCGAUAAAUAAAUACAGAUGGACUCGGGGCAUUCCUUGGCUAAAUAAAUACAUUUUUAGUGCAAGAAAAUCAAACCACUCGACGAAAUUUCAAACAUUCAACAAAACCACAAGUCUUAAACUUUUUCUACCCAAAACCUAUGAUUUGCCUACCAAUCCUCGGUCUAAACAGGAUACUAUCGACAUUCAACAUCAACAAUGACUCAAAAAUACCAUAAUAUCCACUUUUUAUUAAUUUUCUAUUUCCACCCCCAAAUCCAUUCUCAAUAUGAUUAAACCAAUUCCAUACUCAAUCCACCAAUCAAGUUUUAAAUCCAACAUAAAACACCACACAACAAAGAUUUGAACACACAAAUCAUUCACGAUUAUGUAAAAAUUAAAGGGAGAGAAGAUAGAAUUGGACCUAAAGAGCUUUUGAUUGACGUAAGAAGAGAAAUAAGAGCCAUCUAUCCCGAGAACCUUAAAGAAUACCAACAAAAUCUUGACUCUCCAAAUCAGUCUAGAAACAGUCCCAAAAACAUGAUAACUCGAAUUUCGAUUUGAACGAAAAAUCUACUAAGCACGGAUGAAUACUAGAGACCAAAAUGAUGAGAAAACUAAUAGAAAUUGUGUGGUCAAAACUCCAGUGAACGCAAACUGUGGCACAAAUAGCCGGAAAGAGGAUCAAAUAUUUGGCAGAUUUGAAGGUUUUCUAGAUAGAAUCACUUGAAAACAACUAGAAACAGACAGUUUCGGUGAAGAGGUCGCCGGAAAACUAAAACCCACCAGAUUCUACUCGAUCUCCUCUCUUUCUCUCUCUCUCUCUUCAUUACUCUCUCUGUUACUCAUCUCUCCCUCGUGAUCUCCCUCUCAAUUUCUCCAUGAGUGUGAUUUUUGUAGGUGACGGUGUGUGCGAUGAAGCUCUGUUAUGUGGAGAAGACAGUGGUUCAUUUAUUUAGUGAGGAUUAGUGUAUAUUCAUAUCUGGAGAGAUUAUAUUCGUGAGUUGUCCUCUCAAAAAGAUGAUGGUUGUCCCUCCCUUUGUAUCUGUAUGGAGUAUAAAAAAAUGGAGAGCUUUUCUGUGGGUGUCCUUCUCAUGUGUGUGAGAAUAUGAUGAAUGUAAAAAUGGAAAUUAUAUCCCCCCCCCCCAAAUGGAAAAUUACUGUGGGUACCUUUAUGUGAAUUUUUAUUCUCUUUUUUGUCCAUUCUAUUAUGGAAAAAGGAUGAGGAAAAUGUCAGUAAGUAAGAAGUGAGCGUGGAGAACACAUGGCAGGGUAGGGGUAGGGGUAAGAUAGGUGAGGGUAAGGGUGUGGGUGAUAGGAGGAUUAAAAAAAGAUAAAAUUUAUUAGGAAUUUUGGUAAGGGUUAUUAUUUUUUGUAUUUUUGUGAGAUAUAAUCACAUAGGUGAGAGUGUAUGAUAACAAGAGGUAAUAAAAUGGAUAAAUUGAGUUUUGCGAGGGACAAAACUAUGUGUCUACUGGUAGUACAUAUCUCAAGGCUUGUGAUGUGUGGAUGGGUAUUAAAUAAAGAUUUGAUAAAACAGAUGGAUCAAGAACUUACAAUUUGUAUCAAGAAAUUACAACUAUGUCCCAAGGUGUUCAAUAUGUUUCAUCUAUUUCACUAAGUUGAAAGUUUUAACGGAUGAGUUUGAGUCAUUAGUCACAUCACCUUCUUGUAACUAUGAAAAAUCAAGAGAUUUUUAGCUUUUCUUCAAAGGCAAAAGUUGUAUUAGUUUCUAAUGGGCUUGAAUGAUUCAUACUCACAAGAAAAAGCCAAAUCUUGUUAAUGACACUACUACCUACUGUUAACAUGGCCUACUCCAUGAUCAUAAGUGAUGAGAAUCAAAAUUCUAUAGCUCAGUCAGUACAGGAAACAAGUCUUCUUAGUGUGCACCUAUUACAAUUGAUGAUGUUGCAAUGUACUCUAAAACUGGAUAUCAAGGUGGUUAUCAAAAUUGAAAAAGGAACUAUGUUUCAACUUAUAACUCAAAUGAUGUUUGUGAUCAUUGUAAGAUGAAAGGUCACUAUAAUAUGGAUAUCUACAAGUUAGUUGGAUAUCCACCAGGUCAACCAAAACAUGGAGAUCAAAGAGUUAACAAUGACUUCAGAAGUGGCUUUGAUGACAAAAUUAACCAGAGAAAGGUUGCUUCUAGUGCUCAUAAUGUUAUGGUUGAAGACUGGCAGCUACAACCUCAACAGAGUCAAUCACAUGGUGCUUAUCUGGCUUCAAAAAAUUUACCAAAGGAUGGGAUGAUUACACCAAUGUUUACACCUAGCAGUAUGAUCAAAUUUGCAAAAUACUGGAACAACAGAAUCAAGUUUCAGCAUUUAUGCCCUCUACUAUUGUAGCAAAUAUGACAGGUAUUGGUAGGGCCCUGUUGGUCCACAAUAAACCACAUGAGUGGAUUAUUUAUAUAGGUGCUACAAAUCACAUGACAAUAGACAUUGAACUUCUAAAUAAAGGUUCAAUAUCUGAGUCAAUACAUCCACAAAAAGUAACAUUACCAAAUGGUGAUAAGUCAAUUGUUACACACACUGGAUCUAGAAGUAUCUCUAAUAGGAAUACUAUAUAAAAAGUGUUCCAUUUACCUCAAUUCAAAUAUAACUUAUUGUCGGUAUCACAGGCUACUAAAAAACUUAAUUGUUCUGUAACUUUCUUUCUUACCUUUUGUGUGUUUCAAGAACUUUGGCAUGGGAAGGCAAAGGAGAUUGGAAAAGAGAAAAAUGGACUAUACUUCUUAUUGAGAAAAAAACUUCUAGGGCAUGGCAAAGUAGCAGGUUGUGUGUUCAAUACUCAGAAUAUAAAUAAAUUUGAUCUAAGGCUUUGGAAUAAGACACUUGGACAUGUUCCUUUUAGGACACUAUCUCACAUGUUUUAUAUGUCAAAAACUCAUGUAGAUGACAAUAUAUAUAAGUGUGAAGUCUGUCCAUUUUCUAAACAAACUAGGCUAACCUUUCCUUCUAGCAGUACAUCUAGUGUUAAAGCUUUUGACUUAGUGCAUAUGGAUCUCUGGGGUCCUUAUAAGGUUUCUACUUAUGAUGGACAUAGGUCCUUCUUAAUUGUUGUGGAUGAUUUUACUAGAAUGACAUGUAUAUUUUUACUUGAAUUGAAAUCUGAUGUUGUAGCUAUUUUGAAGCAUUUCUUAUCUUAUGUUCAUACUCAGUUUAAAACAUGUGUAAAAGUCAUCAUGAUAGACAAUGGAACUGAGUUUGUUAACAACUCAUGCACUAAUUUGUUUGCAAACUUAGGGAUAAAGCAUCAAACCUCCUGAUCUUAUAAAUCCCAACAAAAUGGUGUGGCUGAAAUAAAGCACAAGCAUUUGUUGGAAGUGACCAUGGAUUUAAGGUUUCAAGCUAAUAUACCUUUAAAGUUUUAGGGAUAUUGUGUACAAGCAGCAACAUACUUGAUUAAUAGGCUUUCAUCUGUUAUGUUAGGUUAUAUGAUACCUAAUGAGAGGAUGCAUAAUAGAAAACCUUCCUUAGAUCAUCUAAAGGUAUUAGGAUGUCUAUGUUAUGCAAAAACUGUCAAUGAGUCGGAUAAACUAAUGCCUAGAUCUAGAAAAGCAAUUUAUAUGGGAUAUUCAAAAACAAAGAAGGGCUACAUUCUCUAUGAUCUUACUAACAAAAUUUUCUUUGUAAAUAGGGAUGUGGUGUUCAGAGAGGACAUAUUUCCAUUUAACACCGAUCUAGAUCAAUCUCUAUAACAUGUGUUUGCUCCAUAUGAUCUAGAAGCGAAAUCACCUAAUACCACUGGAUUGACUAGACCUCAACCUGAUGUUGAUCUUUAACAGUGAACCAUAAGUGACUUUACUACAGAUUAACCAAGUACUACACAUAGUCAACCAGUACAACUCACUGCACAGGAUCACCAUGUACAACCUGUUCCAACAAGAAGAAUAACAAGAUUUAUUACUAGACAGCAGGUUGCAGAACAGACUGUCACAACAAGGAUCACAACUAGACCACAACCAACUACUCAACAAGACCAAAUAAAAUCUACUAGGGGUUCAAAUCCGCCUGCAUGGAUGAAAUAUUUUGUGUCAUUGACUAUUAAUGACAAUGUUUUAUACCCUUUAUCUAAUUAUAUUUCUUAUGAUAAUAUAUCUACUAAGUAUCAAUGCUACCUAUCCAAUUUUUCUAACAUUAUGAAGCCUACCUCUUAUGCAGAAGUAGUAAAGGAUCCAAGAUGGGUAGAUGCUAUACAAACUGAAGUGGCUGUACUUCAAAACAACAAUACCUAGUAAGUAGUUGAUCUUCCAGCAGGCAAGCAACCUAUAAGGUGCAAAUGGAUCUACAAGAUCAAGUGUAAGCAUUAGGAAAAGUAGAAAAAUUUUAGGAAAUACCAGUUGCAAAAGGUUUUAGUCAGAAAGAAGGCAUAAACUACCAAGAAACAUUUUGUCCAGAGGUAAAAAUGAUCAUAUUGAGAAUAGUUUUGGCAAUAGCUACUACUAGACACUGGCACAUUCAUCAAAUAUAUGUGUUCAAUUCUUUCCCACAAGGAUAUUUAGAGGAUGAUCUACAUGAAGCUCCCACAAGGAUUUAGAGGUCAGGGGGAGAAUAAACAAGUACAUAGACUUACUAAAUUCUUGUAUGGAUUGAAACAAGCACUAAGACAGUGAAAUGCAAAGCUUCUCAGGCAUUAAUCAACUGCAAAUUUAGGUAAAGAAAAUAUGAUCAUUCAUUAUACAUUAAGGAAAUCAAUGAUGAAAUGAUUGUUGUACUAGUAUAUGUUUAUGAUAUACUAGUAACUGGGGAUAAGAUAGAUCAGGUAAUGGAGACAAAGGAAACUCUUCAUAAGGCCGUCAAGAUGAAAGGCUUAGGAGAAUUGAAAUACUUUCUAGGUAUUGAGUUUGCAAGGUCUAAACAAGGGAUUGUGAUGUACCAAAGGAAGUGUACCCUUGAGUAGUAACUAUGAUCAACAUGUUUCAUCAGUUGUAAGGCUUAAUGAUGAAAAACUGUAUGACCAAAGAAUGUAUCAAAGAAUAAUAGGGAAGCUUCUAUAUAUUAUAGUAACAAGACCAGACAUAGCUUAUAGUGUUCAAACUCUAAACCAAUUCUUGUAGAAUCCAAAAUAAUCUCACAUGAAUGUAGCACUCAGAGUUAUCAGAUAUAUAAAAGGAAAUCCAGGACACGGACUUCUGAUGUAUAGUGCAAGAAGAUGUUCUUGUUAAAUCUCUUAUUUUUUAAUAAGUGGUUUCAUAUUUUAUAAAACAGUCCUCCGGCCAAAAAGUCAAAACUUCUAAAAUAAUAUUAUUACUAGUUUGUUAUGAUAUUGAUGUAUAUUAGUUGUAGUAAAUGUCUAUCAAGAAUAUAGAUAAUAUCUGUCAAGAUUUAGCUGAUAUCUUCAGUAUUUGAAGUAGCCAUCUUUUAGAGGGAAACUGGGAGUAAAUUUCUCCUAUAUAAGGGCUUCCUUUAUUGUAAAUCGUCCCUCAAGAGAAAAAAUAAUUACUCUCUCUAAUCUUGUUUUUCUGUACUUUAUUUUUUAUAACAUGUUAUCAGCAUGAUACUCUACAAGUGAAGAUAUUUAUUUGAUUGAUUCUGGCACUACACAUGCGAUAUUCAAAGACGAUAAAUAUUUCUCUCAUCUAAACAUGAGCUAUAUUAAUGUUACUAUAAUUUCUGGUAGCACUAAUUUGAUUGAAGGCUUCAGAAAAGCCAUUAGAAUCUUGCUCAAGGGAGCUAAACUCAUCAUAAAUUAUGCUAUGUUUUCUCUUAAGUUUGGGAGAAACUUGUUGAGUUUUAAAGAUAUCUGUGAAAAUGGUAUCAUAUCAAGACAAUUGAUGAGAUGAAUCUUGAAUAUCUUGAUAUCACCAAGAAUGUCUCUGGGAAGACAUGUGUUAUAGAAAAGUUCUCUGCUUUAUCUUCUGGCAUGUAUUGAACAAAGAUUUGUACAAUUGAGGUACAUUUUAUAGUAAACCAGAAGUUUACUAAUUCCAGUACUUUUGGACUUUGGCAUGCUCGUCUGGAACAUUCCAAGAGGUGGGUGACAAUAGGCAUGAAUGCAUACAUGGGGAUAUUUGUGAACCCGUUCACCCACCUAAUGGGUCGUUUAGAUACUUUAUGCUCCUAAUAGAUACUUCUUUUAAAUGGUCUCGUGUGUGCCUAUUGUCAUCUCGCAACUUGGCAUUUGCAAAAUUAUUGGCACAAAUAAUAUGAUCAAGGGCACAGUUUUCUAAUAAUCAUAUUAAAUCUAUUCGCCUUGAUAAUGUUGCAAGACUUUCAUCCCAAGCAUUUAAUGACUAUUUCUUAUAGAUUAGGAUAAGAGUGAAACAUCUUGUAGCUCGUGUUCACACUCAAAAUGGCCUUGUCGAGUUAUUAAUUAAACAUUUUCACUUGAUAGCAAGACCAUUACUUAUGAGAACUAAGUUUUCCACUUCUAAUUGGGCUUAUGUGUAACACCCCGUAUUUUUCUAGUAUAAUUUAAGUCCUAAUAUAUGAGUAUUCAUAUAUAUAUAUAUAUAUAAAUAUAUAUAUAUAUUAACACUCAUUAUUUUUCAGUUUAGAGUCUGCCAUUGUGUAGAAAAUUAAAGUAGCUUUCCAAAGAUAUAAAAUUUGCCAAAAUUUGAUAAUCGGAUAAGAAGUUAUGGCGAUUUAAAGUUUCAGUCAUUAAACACCGUUAUUUUAACCCUUAGCGCGUUGUGUAGGCAGCCCAAAUGACAAUUGUCGAUUUCCAGUGUGACUCCGCGAUUAUGGUGCGUCGUGGAGAAGGCUAAUUUCCCAUUUGUCAAUUUUCAAUGAACCUCCGUGAUCAUGGAGCACCGCGGAGAUGGAAAAAUUGGCAUCCAUAGGCUUACCGUGAUAUAUAGUGGCGUAUUGCGGCAUUUGUUCAGGUCCCAAUUGUCCUUUUUUCAGUGGCUUGAUGCGAUAGUGACGCAUCACGCCAAGGCCAAAAAUCAGUAUUUCAAUUUCCAGCUUGUGUUUUAAAUUUGUUUAAGAGUAUUUGAGUCUUUUUCCUAAGACUUAAACUAGUCCUAAACAUAAAAUUUAACCCCUAAUUGACCUAAAUACUCAUCAUUAUUCACUUUCUCUCAAAUUAAAAAUCCCCUUUUUCAAGAACAAGAAACCCUAGCUCUCAAGAAUCAAGGCCAAAUCUCAAGAACACACCAUCAACCAAUUCAUCCAUUAAGGUAUGUUGGAUGUUCAUACAUGGAUACCUUUCAUCCAUGGAGUCCAAGUAUCCAUUUUAAUGACAAAUCUAUCAUAUUUUCAGGUUUAUUUGAUUUUAAAUUAUGAUUUCAUCCAUGAAUCUCCAUGUACUAGUGAUUUCAUACCAUGUCACCAUGAAAUUAUUGUUAUUAUUCAAUCCUCCAUGUUUUAAUAUUGUUAUUUACUGAACAAAACCAUGAUUUAACUCUAUUAUGUCGGAUUUAUGCUAUUUCUAUAUGUUUUAGGACAUUCCUAUGAUUGUUUUGAACCAUGAACUAUAAGUGUUUGAUAAAAUGCUACAAGAGUAAAUGUUUUAUGGAAGCCUUCAUGUUAUGUCCUGCAAUGUUUUAUUGUCAUGAUAAUAUUAUUGUUUUGAGUCCUGGGGGUAUUAAAUACCUGAAACCAUAGUUGUUUACUUAGUGUUGUUUUAGUAUCUUAAGAAUAACUUUAAAUUAAAUCAUGAGUAUUAUCAGAACAGUCAGUUAAACUCAGAACGAUUAGUUGGGAGUAGGAUUUAGCAUCGAGCGAGUGUAGGCAUGGAGGCUUCCCCAUCAGAUAGGCAGAGUCUUUAGUAGCAGUCCUUAUACUCCAGAACUACGUAGCCAGCAUAGGAUAUGAGAAGUCACCCAUCAUAAUAGGCUUGACUAUCUCGCAGGGUCACCCGUCAGUUCAGGCAUGACACCCUUAGUCCUUUGGACAUUAUAUCAGUUUAGUGGAUCCACACAACCAAUGUUAGUACCCGUGACACGGUAUUAACACCCAUCUAAUUGGGGUUAUAGGUUGGACUCUGAUUAGCUCAGAUUAGUGCAUGUCGGUUAGAUGAUACCUUCCACAGUCUCAGAUAUAGUCCUAGUUCAGUUAUGCAGUCUUAGAGUUGUUUGACCAAAGCAUACUGAUAUCAGUAUUUUGUCAGUAAUUUAGUUUAAAGAUUUUACUCAGUCUAUGUUAUAUGCUUGGUCAUGCAUCCUCAGGGUCUACAUAUUUUCAUGUAUUUUCAGUAUUUAGAGACUCUCAUGCAUAUAUAGUAUUUACUGAUUUACAUAUCUCCGGUAUCUAUAGAUUUCAUGUCCUAUACUCAGUACUCUAUGCUUACAUAUAUAUUCAGAUAGUUUAUUACUCCUAUUCAUAAAACCUUGCAUGUCAGCCUACCUCAUUUAGCAUACUAGUAUAUUCAAAGUACUUAUCGCAUACUUUUUAUUUUGCACUAUGAUGUCUCAUAUCAUAGAUGUUGACGCUCAGUUCCUGGAUCAAACCUAAAUUCUUAGAUUAUGAGCAGUACAAUAGCAGUGGUGAGUCCUCAUCAUCCGAGGACAAAUUAUAUUACUUCAUGUCCUUAUCCUAGUAGUUAGUAGAGUUAGUUGGGGGCCUGCUUUAUCAACUCACAGUAUUCAGUUUAGAGGCUUUCCAGACACUACAGUUAGCUAUUCAGAUUAUUCAGAUUUAAGUAUUAUACCAGAUUCAUAAUUUAGUAGUCGUUUCAUUAUUAAAACCUUAUGGCAUUUUAGUUAUUCUUCCACAUUCAUGAUUAUAUUAUUCAGUGCUCAUAGCAGGUACCAGCUGAUGGGUUAGCUUGUGGUCCCUCAGGAUCAUAAGCACCGUGUAAUGACUAAGGGUAGUCUCAGAUCGUUACAUCAUGCGAUUUUUCAUACUGCAAUACUUGUUCAUCUUAGACUGACAAAUCAUCAUAAAUUUUAUCUAUUGCAAUUGGUUGGCUCAAGAGCCUAAUACAUCUCAUCUGAGAAUUCUUGGGUGUGUUGUAUAUGUGCCUAUAGCACCACCAAAUUGCACCAAGAUAGGCCCCCAAAGAAGGUUAGGAAUUUAUAUUGGGUUUGAAUCACCCUCCAUUAUUUGCUAUCUUAAACCAUUAAUGGGAGAUAUGUUCACUUCUCGAUUUGCAAAUUUUUAGUUUGAUGAGACAGUUUUCCCAAAAAUUAGGGGGAAAAGAUAGUGACAUCAAAAGAGAAAUUUUAUGAAAAAAUUCAUCACUGUCUCAUCUUGAUCCACACAUUUUUAAUUAUGAGCAAGAAAUACAAAAGAUUAUUUAUCUGUAGAAAAUUACAAAUCAAAUGUCAGACAUAUUUACAGAUUUAAAAAGGAUCACCAAAUCAUAUAUUCUUGCAGAGAAUGUACUAAUUCGAAAUGAUAUUCCUAAAGGGCCAUCCACCAGUGUCAUACCUAAUGAGUCCAAAGUACGCUUGAAGUGUGGUAGAUCAUUGGAUUCUAAGGAUCGAAAUCCUAGAAAAAAAUAAAUUAUCAAGAUGACACUAUGAAAGAUCCUCAUAUGGAAAUUCAAGAUUUGGACAAUGUUGAUAUCCUUAAAGGAAUCAUUGGGCCUGAGACUCAAGAAAAUGAGGAACUAUCCAUAAAUUCAAGUGAUGUUGGAACUAAUUUGAACCGAUCCAAAAUAGUAGUGGAUUAUGUCUUUGCAUAUAAUGUUGCAACAAAAAUCAUACAAGAUAGUGAAGAUCUUGAAUCUCAAUCUAUCACAGAAUGUCGACAAAGAAAUGAUUGGCCAAAAUGGAAAGAAGUAAUUCAAUUUUAAUUGAAUUCACUUGUCAAACAUGAAGUUUUUAGACCUAAUGGUGUUAAGCCUAUUGGCUACAAAUGGGUCUUUGUACAAAAAAGAAAUGAGAAAAAUAAAAUACUAAGGUAUAAGGCACGUCUUGUUGCAUAAGUAUUUUCACAACGGCCUGGUGUCGAUUAUGACAAGGCAUAUUCACCAGUUAUGGAUGCAAUAACAUUGCGUUAUCUUAUUAGUUUCACUGUUCAUGGGAGACUUGAAAUGCAUUUGAUGGAUGUGGUAACAACCCAUCUAUAUGGAUCACUUGAUAAUUAGAUAUACAUGAAAAUUUCUGAAGAAUUUAAAAUUUCGGAAGCAUAUAGUUCAAAACCUCAAAAAAUGUAUUCCAUUAGAUUGCAAAGAUCAUUGCAUGUUUUGAAGCAAUCUAGAUGCAUGUGGUAUAACCGUCUUAGUGAAUAUUUAUCUAAGGAAGGUUAUACAAAUGAUGAAAUUUGUCCAUGUAUUUUUAUAAAGAAAACAACGUCGGAGUUUGUUAUACUUAUUGUCUAUUCGGUGACAUAAACCUUAUUGGAACUCUAAUAGAGCUUCAAAGGUUCAUUGAUUAUCUAAAGAAAGAAUUUGAGAUGAAAGAUCUCAAAAAGACCUAAUUAUGUCUUGGUUUGCAAAUUGAGCAUUUGACAAAUGGUAUCUUUGUCCAUCACUCUCUCUACUCCUUUUUCCUUCCAUACACGAUUGAAGUACCCCUUCAUUACUGAUUGUAGAGGAUUCAAACCCAUCACAUAGCAUAUUACCGCUGACUCCCAAAAAUUUACCUCCUUUUGAACAUCUUGCAUCGUUAUUUUAACUGUAGUACUCGGCUCCUUAAGAUUAUCCAAUUCAAAUUCCUCUAUAUUUCUCCCAACACUUACAAUUCACUUCAUUUGUUCUCACUAGAUUUCAGUGCCCAUGAGUCAUUAUGGUGUAUGACUGGGUCUUCCUCAACCAUAUCUACCCAGCUUGUUUUGCCUUAACUCUUUGAUUGCGAAGUCAUCGUAUCCUCCAAAUUUGAGGUUUUGGUCAUAGGUGUACUGUGUGGUAACUGGAAUGGCACUAUCCUUUGUAAUUCAUUCACAUUCUGUAUUUUUUUUGUAUCUCCCGAUUGUGGUACUGGCUUUGUAUUAUUGUUGGUGGACCGAUUUACUAUUUGGCUCUGUGAAUUUGUCCCUCCGAGCUUCGAUUUCCUUGCCAUUUUCGAUUUUCACUAAGAGAGAUCGCCAUCUCUACAAAGAGAAUUUUUUUGCAACUUAAAGCAGUACUUUCUUGAUUAACGAAUAGGAAAGGAUUUUGGAGUUCUAACUUCUAACCAUCACGAAGUUUUUUCUCCUCAUAUAUAACUGGUGUAACUACCUCUAUUAUAUUUUUCUUCCCUUUAUUUUUCAUAAAAGGACUAGUCAUAGUUACUCGAGAAAAUUGAAGAAUAGGUGUCUUUUAAGUCUUGAAUGAAGGAUUGGUGACAUUGACCAUCAGAUAGGGGUCAAAUAUUAUUAGGAAACUUGAUCAAGUUAAUUGUGGACUUGAUUAAUAUUUUCAAAACUUUCUAAUUUUUUCAAAAAUACAAAUCAACUCAACCCACACCCUCUUCAAUCCAAAUCAACCACUCUCUUCUCUCUCUCGACAGCUUCUCUCAACUAACAGUUCUGCAAAAUUUCUCCCUUCAACCCCCGACGAUAAAUAGUUGGGCUUCGAGUACCCCUCUUCAAUUCAAUCAACCUGUCUCUCAUCCCUCAGCUUCUCUCAACUCUCUCCCAACCAACUAUUUUGCAAAUUUCUCAUUUCAAUCCUUGGCGACUUUAACAUUUGACUAUAAAUAGUUGGGCUUCGAGUUCCUUUUCGACUUCAAUCAAUGUGACAGCCUUGCUCUCCAACACAACAACUUCGAAUUCUUCAUCGGUCCUUUUCUUCUUUCACAGGUAAAAAUUUAUGGCCUUUUUAGUUUUGAAGAAAAUGAGGAACUUGAGCCAACUUCUUUUACAGUAUUGGUUAACAAUUUCAAUAUUUGUUGUACUAAUUUAAAAUGUGGUCUGAAUAAAAUCCUAAUUUCCAGUAUUUCUUCUCUUCUCUUUUUGAAGUGAAUUAUGAUAUUUUGUUGUUUGUUACAUUUUUUUGAAGUUUGAUUUUUAUUGUUUGUGUUUAUAAAAACAAAAGGAAAAUUUUAUUUGAUUUGUUCUGUUCUUGUUCUUCGUAAAAAUGGUGAAAUUGCUGUUUUUUGUUUAACAAAAUUGUGCUACUGUUUCCCCCGAUAGAUUACCCAUCUGGUGCAACAUAUUAACCAUCUGAUGUAAUAGAUUUAUUAUAUGAUGCAAUAGAUCAACCAUCUGAUGCAUCAGAGGAACCAUCAAAUUAUAAUUCUGAUGCAACAGAUUAAUAAUCUGACGCAACAACUUUACCAUAUGUUGCAACAGAUUAAGCUUCGGCUAAAAAAUCUGAUGCAACUAAUUAACCAUCUGGUGCAAUGGAAGAACUAUCAGAUUAAUGAUCUGAUGCAAUAGAUGAACCUCCUAUUGGAUAAAAUCCUACCAACUCUUCCUACAGGAAAAGUUCAAGACUUGAUUUUUCCAACGCGAUAAACGACCCUACGUUGGAAGAAAUUUAAACAAUAUUGAUCGUUGAUAACUGUUCCAACGGAUCACUUAUGUGUUGCAAUAGAUGUCUGGCCUGUUGCACAGACCAUUCAUCUUUCUCAACAGAUGAGUGAUAUGUUUUGUAUUAUUGCAACAGAUUACUCAGCCAUUGCUACAGAUUAUUUAACUGUUCCAAUAGAUCACUCAUAUGUUGCAAUAGAUGAUGUCACAACAGUUGUGUGAUCUGUUGAACAGAACAUUCAUCUAGCUUAAAAGAUGAGUGUAUGUUUUGUAUUAUUGCAACAGAAUACUCAUCCGCUGCAACAAUUUAGUUAUAUGCUGCAACAGAUAUACUACCUAGUGUAACAGAUCGGUGAUCUGUUGCUACUGUUAUUUUACUAUUUUGCUUGUUUGAUUUACUAUUAUCCUUUUUUAACGAUACAUUAAUCAACAAUAAUAUAUUAUUUUAUGUUCCUGUUAAUUUUAGAUAAUAUGAUUCUCAAAAGAACAAAAACCGAAUCAAGUCCAAGUAAAGGAACAAGUGAAGCAGCUAGGCUAUAUCCACCACUCUAUGAGCUUGCUUUACAAGCGUUAUCUAAAUCUGGAAUAGAAUAUGAUGAACACGGGGAGGAGGAAUGUUUCAAAAGAGAUGAUGCAGAUGCUAAUAGCCCUUCCACCGAAGAGCUGGUCAAAGCCUUCAACAUUGAUCGUUAUCCUAUGAGAAUGCAGUGCGAUGGUGCCGCAGAUUUAAUGGGUGAUUUCAUGGUUAAGUUAGCCAUGGGAAAAUCUUUCGACGCCUUCAGAAAAAUACUUCAAGAAGAAAAAUUGGAUGCUUAUUUGGACAGCUGCUUUGGGAAAUAUCUUGAUUUGCCGAAGGAUAACAAUGUUCGUUUCCAAAUGAAAAUGGUAUAUGAACUUCUUAAGCUUAGGUUUAUGUAUGAAAACAAAGAUAAGAUGGCUGAGGUAUGGAUAAAUUACUGUGGCAUGCCUGUUUGUUUUGGUUGGAAGGAGUUUGCCAUAGUUACUAGACUAAAAUGUUAUCCUCCUUCUCAAGUUAUACCUAUUCUAACCCCAAAAAAGAGCACCUCGCACACUCAAAAAAGGCAAAGGCAAGUCGUGUGAUCGUAAUGACCUGGUGUCCAUUGUUGGUCCAAGCUUCAAAAAUAAAAAUUUGAUAGAAGGGUUGAAAGCUAAAGGACUUUCAAAGAAGCAAAAGCAGUCAUUGUGCUUGGUUUGGUUUGUACAUAAUAUUCUUUGGGCGAGAGACAUUAACAACAACAUAAGCAUCAGUUUAAUAAAUCUCUCUGAGGAUCUUGAGGCAUUUAACAGCUAUCCAUGGGGGUAUGAAAGCUUCAAAAUGACUGUCAAAUAUUUAUUGACUCCGUUAGCGCCAAAGACAGUCAACUUAUAUGGCUUCCCAUGGGCUUUCAUGGUAAAUGUUUCUUUCUUUCAAUAAUGGUUUUGAUUUAUUUACGUUAUUUUAUAGGCUUGGGAGUUUUAAGCUAUUCCUUAUUUGAGACAGCAAGUGAACUACCAGGAAGGAGUUUCCUGUCCAAGAAUCUUGAGAUAGUUGUCGGCCAAAACUGAUAAAAAUGUAAAAUUUCUUGAUCUCUUCAACCCUCGAAGGAUGCAGUAAGCAUAAUUAUAAUUAAUUUUUUAUUUUAAUUAAUGUCUUUUUUUGAAUAAUCUAAUCAUCAUUCUAAUAUAUGUAAUGAUUUGUGUUAGAAUGUGCAUCCGUCGCUAGUUCCGACCAAUUGAGAGUUGAAGAUGCCAUUUUUUCUUACUUUACGGUCUGUGCAAACUUUAUCGGACCCUAAGGUCAUUGAAGAAUAAAAAUGGAAUUGUUUGGAGCAACAACCAUUACAAGAAAAAUAAUUUUGGAGGGUGGGAUUGUUGUUGUUGAUGGAGCUGUUGGUGGUGGUAGUGGUGUUGCUGUUGGUGCUAAUGAUGCUCCUCUUACAGUAUUCAAAGCAAAUCAUUAUAAGUAUGAUCAUACUGGUUAUACAGAUUUUGCCUCUCCCAGCCAAUGUUUUGCAUGCAAAUGUCAAGACUGCAGGGCGAAACAUGAUAUAGUGAUUAAUACUAUUAAUGCAUUAACUCCUUCUGUAAAGAAAUUGACAUCUAAGAGGGGUCUUAUUCCAUAAAAGAGGAUUUUAUUUCCAUCCUCUAGAUUAGAUAUUAGGGCUAAGAGGAGAGGGAGAGUGAUUUUUAGGGCAUUUCAGGCAUCCAAAAAAGCAAAAUUGUAACUCCUCUGUCUGUGUGUUGCACUGAGCAACGUACAAUGUCCAAAGGAGAGCAGCACGAGCUGAAGAAAGUAAAUAUAUUAUAUGUCUUCCAACUGACAAAACAAACAGACACAUAUCUGUUUCAACAAAUGACACAUCUGCUGAAAAUUAUCAAAUCGAUAUCUAUAUUUGUUGCAACAGUUGACUAACCUGUUGCACCAAAUACUUUAUCCGGUGCAACAUAUGUCUCGUCUAUUUUAGUAAAUCAAACAGCUCUUUGUACAGCUUUUAUUUGUACUAACAGGUGACUUAUCUACUGCAACAGAUGAUUCAUAUGUUGCAAAGGAUGGUUCAUCCGUUGAAAAUUAUCACAAAGGGUUUUCCUCAUGUAAAAAUUUGUUCCAACAAUUGAUUCAUUGUUCCAACAGAAAUUUAAUAUGUUUGGGACAAUUUAAAAUGGGAGGAAGACUUGUUUGAUUUGCUAAAAGAGAUGAGUUAUCCUAUUCCAUUUUGUUAUAUCUCCGUGAUUAGCAUUGACCAAUUCUAGAUCACCAGGCGGAUGUAGAAGAAGCUACUGCUGAACAAUAUUGACAAUAUGCUACUCUUUUUAUGGAAAUAUAGAGAACAGAAAGCGCAGAAACCGUACGCAAGCGACAAUGAAGAUCCACGACGAGCAAAGCCAAAUUCCAUAGCACCGGAUGAAGAACAACUUGUCCAUACUGAGUAGAUCUUUAUAGCUUGAGCCAGUCAAAGUAAUCCUUGGCAGUAUACUUAAAUUGUUGUUGAUGUAUUUGUUAAUAUCUGUACCCAUAACAAUUUUUUUACAUUUCAUUUAUUUGUUGACUUAUUUCAGCUAAUUUAUGAAGGCUUCGAUUUAUUUUAUUUUGUCUAUGAAUUUUAUUUAUUCCUUAGAUUUGAACUUAUUAAUUGAAAAGGAAUACUAGAUUCAGAUAUUGCAAUAGAUAAUGUAUCUGUUACAAUAGACGACACAUCUAUUGGAAAAUUCGAACAAAUUUAGACAUAUGUUGCAACAGGUAGGUGGUCUAUUGAAAUUUAUCAAACAGGUCUUCCCACUGUUGCAACAGAUGGACUUUAGAUAAAAACAUCGAGAUAAUGCAACAGAUAACACAUCUAUUGGAAAAAAGAACAGAUUUAGACAUAUGUUGCAACAGAUGGACUUUAUCUGUUGCAACAGACGACACAUCUAUUGGAAUAAUCAAAUAAAUUUAUACAUAUGUCAUAACAGGUAGGUUAUAUUGGAAUUUAUCAAACAAGUCUUCCUACUGUUGCAACAGAUGGACUUUAGAUAAAAACAUCGAGAUAAUGCAACAGAUAACCAACCUAUUGCAACAGAUAAACUAUAUGUCAGAAUAGGUAGGAUAACUGUUACAACGGAUGGAGAAUCUGUUGCAUUAUAAAAAUUCAACUUUUGUUAGACAUAAAAAAUUGUCACUACGUAUAAAAAGGUUAAAGUGAAUUGAAAUAAAAAAGGCNNNNNNNNNNNNNNNNNNNNNNNNNNNNNNNNNNNNNNNNNNNNNNNNNNNNNNNNNNNNNNNNNNNNNNNNNNNNNNNNNNNNAUUGUCUUAUAUAUUCAUCUUCCUCCUAAAAUUUAACCCUAAAUUUCCAAAUCUUCUUCUUUAUUGUCAUCUUCUUUUAUCUAUCCAAAUUCUUCAAAUUAUUACUUUUAUUUUUUCCAACUGACCUUGACAAUGUCAAGCGCAUCUUCCACUGUUUUUUGUGAUAAAGAUUUUUGAUAUUGUAAUUGCGGUCAUGAAGCUCUGUUAAAGAUUUAUUAGACUCAACAAAAUCCAGGUCGUAGGUUUUUACUUAUAAAAAAUUUUAAAGGUAAUAUUUUUUAUUUAAUUAAUUAAUUAAUUAUUGACUUGUAAUUAUUUUAUAAUUGUGUUCUCUUUUUUAUAGAAAUUGGGUGGAUGCGAUUACUUUGAUUGGUAUGAAGAACAAAUUCCUUCAAAAGCAAAUCGUUUAAUCUGGGUUUGUUGAACAAAGUCAAGGAUUCUGAAGAGAAAUAAAAUCGAGUAAGAAGAUACCACAUUGUUGUCAUUAUUGCUACUGGUUUGGUGUUGUUGGGAACAUAGAUAUUGAAGCCUAAUUGCUGAAAUUUUCAUGGUGGUGUGUGUAUUUUCUACUGGUUUGUUGUCGACGAGCACAUGGAUAUUCAAGUGUAGCUGUUGAAAAAUAUCAAAAAGAUUUAGGCAUAUGUUGUAAAAUUUAGGUCAUCUGUGGAAAUUAUCAAACAGGUCUUCCCACUGUUGCAACAGAUUAGACUUAGAUUAUUAGAUUAUUCAUAGAAAUUAUCAAAUAGGUCUUCCCACUAUUGCAACAAAUUAGAAUUAGAUUAUUAGAUUAUUCAAACAGGUCUUUCCACUGUUGCAACAGAUUGAUAAUCUAAUCUAUUGCGUUAUAAAAAACUCAACUUUCAUCAGAAAAAAUUAUUACCACUACAUGUACAUGUAAUAAAGUGAAGGGUGACUUGAAAUUAAAAUUUUCUAUUUCACAGGAUCUUCUAUAUACACAGGCUUCAAGCAUCCAGUUAGUACCCCAUAAGCCCAGACCUCUUGCAGGUUUGCCACAGUGUUGUCGCAUAGAAAAGUCAUUGGCUCGGCCAUUUCUAUGCUGGUCAGCAAAUAUUUGAUGUGUGCAAGAGCAUACGAGCCGCUCGCUUUAGCAGCAUCAUCUUUUGGAAGGAUCAUUCCCCUGUUUCGACCUUCAAAAUCCCAUGAUUUCUUCAUCAACACUUCCUUUGGCAAAUGAUUCAUCAGUUUACUUUUCCUCAACAAGAUGGGUAACAGCACCAUCAGUGGCUCCACGAGGAGAAAAAGAUCAAAAUCAUCGAUGAGAGGUACGUUGGAGUCAUAAACAUUGAUCUUUCCCUCCUCGAGUAGUAUCUCAAUAGCCCGAUAAUGCAUGUCGUUCAUGCUAAUAACUGCAAGAAUCCUUUUUGUCUCGGUCCAGCUCUUUCCGUAUGGAUUUGGCCUGUCCCCUCUAACAUAUCUUAAUGUUUCUUCUUCAUCCAAGACCAAUGUAGGAACUAAGAAAUCAAGUCCCACGCCAAGGCCUGACACCUCUCAAUUGAGUUGAUCAUACCUAUAUUUGAGCUUCUUGCAGAAGUCGAGGUCCAUUAUUCUAUCAGCAGCAUCAUAAACUUUCCGGUACAUUAAUUUCCUUUUCCUCAUGAGGUAGAGAAUUAUGUCAACAUGCUGUGAGAUAAGAAGUCAAUUUUUAAAGAAGUCAAUUUUUAAAUAGGUUAGUAAUUGUAAAAAUGCAAUGGAUGGUCUAUCUGUUGCAUAGGGUUCUCUGAAUCAAUAAUCCAACGCAACUUAUGCAACAAAUGGAUAAUGAGUUGCAACAAAACCACAACCAGUUGCACCAAUAUACCCAGCUGUUGCAAUAGAUGUGAAAUCUAUUGCGUAGCUUCUUAUUCAUGGGGUCGAUUAGAAGGGCUAGGUUAGGAAAAGUAAACUUGCCUUGUCCUCGUACGGCAUACGCAUAUCAGUCAAUGUCUGGAAGUCUUAGGGGGAAAGGGAGGCCUGGGGUAAUCUGGUGCGCGUGGCUUGGAAUUCUUGGCCUGUCGCAGAUCCCUCUUCUCUUUGGCGCCAAGUUCCACAUAUAUGUCCACCUUCUUGACUAGCCCCUAAACUUCAAUAGCUUUUGGAGAGGGAGGAAUUGCAAUUUCUUUUGAUUUUCGAGCGGAGAGUACGUCUCUAAUUGCUCAUUUCUUUCUCCUAACCAACGCUAUAGAAGUGUGUGGUUCCUUCACCUUCUUGGAUGGUAUGACACAACUCUUGGAUUUGAAUUCCUCUAUAUCUUUAGAGAUAGCCUCUACUUUUUCAAAGAUUUUAUCCUUUCUGUUCUUGUACUCAUCACAUUCGCAACGAGAACACGAGGGUGAAGAGGGCUGAGAGGGACCUAUGUAAGGGUGAAAAGGGGUUUUUCAAACAUAUUUAUUCUUUCUUGAGCAUCAACAUGCUCAUCAUCAUGAGUGGUAGCAGCAUCAGCAUGCCUACCACCAACACCAACAACUCCACCAGAAGAAGCACCCGGAUCUACCUUAGUAAAAGGUUGGUCAUGAAAAGCCUCAACAUUAGGCUGACCUUGCCUAACUGCUCUUCUUAUGGUUGUUGCUCCAACCAAUUUCUUAUUUAUUAACUCCACCGUUGGGUCCGCAAUAGUAUCAACAUGACCUAGAGUAAUAUAAAAAGUCAUCACGACUCCUCCUCGGUAGGCACAAUCCAUGGAUGCACAACCUAUAAAAAAGAAAAAAAAGAUAGAUGCAUUUAAAUCAUAUAAUAUAAUAAUUUUCACAAUUGGGCUAUAUUUUAAAAAAAUAAAGAUCCAUCUGUUGCAUAGUUUGCAGUAUAUGGUUAAAAUUUGUUUGAGUCUGGUUCAGAGAAACAGAGCAACACAUGGAUAAUCUGAUGCAAAAUAUCAAUCAUCUAUUGCAACAGCUGCACAAGACGAGUAAUAUUUUAUGCAACAGAUGAUCUGUACGUCGCAAUAGAUGAACGAUAUGUUAUCAGAUUAAACAUUUGUUACAUAAUUUGCAGUAGAUGGUUAAUCUUUUAGGAGUCGGGUUCAGAGAGCCAAAGCCACAGAUGGGUAAUCUGAUGCAAGAUAUACCUCGUCGCAACAAAUGUCCCAUCUAGUGCAUCAGAUAUAACAUCUCAUGCACCAGAUAUAACAUCUGUUCAAUAUCUUUCUUAUCUUUGAGUAGAAUUAUUUUACUUGUAGAAGACAUACUGCAUCAUCCGGAGAGUUAAAGAGAUCAGCCUCCUUAAUAUUGGUGUUGCUCUUUGCAGCCAACCACCUAAACAUCCUUGGAUGAGAAACCUCAUCCGGGUAAUCCAUUAACUGCUUUCGGAAGGGAGGAAUGGGUUCAAAUGCCCAAGCCUAAAAAUGUAAACAGGAAGCAAGCAAAAAAAAUCAUAAUAAAUAUAUUCAAUAUAAAUUAAUGGAUGAGUAAAAUUAGUUAUUAAUUUUACCAUGAAAGCCCAAGGAAAGCCAUAUAAUAUGGUCGUCCCUGAGGAUAGCUUUGUCAGUAAAUAUUGGACAGUCAAGUAGAAGCUAUCAUAUCCCCAGGGAUAAUUGUUGAAUUUAUCAAAAUCCUCAGCAUGCGCUAGCAAAUCAUCUUCUAUGACCUUGUUGACGUUUCUUGCCAAUAUAACUGAAUGGGUAAACCAAACUAAGCACAAUUGCUCCCUGUACUGAUCUGGUAUAGUUUUAUCCUCGAGAUCUGUCAACAAAUCUGAUGCUUUAUAGCCACGAUGGCAUCUCAAGCCCGUCACUAUGGCAAACUCUUGCAAGCCAAAACAAACAGGCAUGCCACAGUAGUUGAUCCAGAUUUCAUCCAUCUUCUUCUUGCCCCUCUCCUCCGAAUCUUUAUACCAUAUACCAUCGUUAUAGGGAAAUAGAUACGGGCAGAGGGGUCCUCAGUCAACUCAAGAAAGCAUCCAAAGCAGCUCUUCUUAAAAAGUCCGCCUAUGUUUUCGUUCUUCAUAAUUUUCAUGAAAUGUUUAAAAAUUUUCCCCAUCUAACAUUUAAGUACAAUUUGACAAGUUAGUUCUUUUCCUUCUGGGUCAUUUAUCGGCAUCGCAACUUUAAACCUGUCAAUACUAAAAGUUUUGAUAGGAUUAUGCUGGGAUAUCGAUAUUAACUCACUCCCCGUCGGUGAUCUAUUAUCAUCAUGUUGAUGAUCAUCUUCUUUAUCUUUUUGACUCUCCAAUUCCUCCUCUUUCUCACUUUCAUUUUGUUCAUCACCAUCUACGGACCCUUGUCCACCUCCCUCAAUGUUGUUUUCACAUCUCUCCUUAGCUUCACUUUUUCCUGACUGAGAUUGUUCAAGAAGCUUCUUCAAAUCCCUCUGUACUGUAGCCGAUUUUUUAGUAGUCAGACAUUGAUCCACUUUCACUUUCUUUUUUUGGGGGAGACAUGUUUUACCUACAGACAAAGAAAAACAAAAAUUACAUUACAGCUGAUGUAUGCAUAGAUUUUAAAAAAUACAUUACAAACACCAUGAAUACUGACACACCAACAGCCACCACCACAAACACCACCAACCAAUGCCAACAAACAAACAAACACCACGAAUACCGACACCACCACAAACACCACCAACCAAUGCCACCGCCAGUGCCACCACAACGACCAAAAACACCACCACCACUACUACCACCCACACCAUCCAACUAUACCACGACAGUCAACAGAACACUGCGACGGAAACUAGGGAUUUCUUAAGUUCUUCCUACAAUUUUACCAUCAAAACUAAAAAUUGUAAAUCCAUUCUCAAAGAUAAUAAAACUAAAAGUUUUAUUUUUUAUCAUUAACUUAAAAUACCUUAUUUUUUAGAGAAAAAAAUAAAUAUAGAGCUCUUCUCAAACUCUGUUGCCUACAAAGACAAAGAAAACGACUAAUACAAGCAAGAAUGAUGUCAAAAAUAACACAUAUGUGGUCGGAAAUGAGAAGAAAAGUGAUCUGUUGUGGAAGGUUGAGCAAAUUUGUUGAGUAGUUGUUGUUUGUACUGUAUUGUUGGGUGAGAAUAAGAGAGAAAGAGCCAGACCUCGAGAUUUGAAAUGAUGAAACGUUUUGUAUGGGUUGAUUUGUAUUUUGGAAAAGAAUGACAAGUAGUUUUGAAAAUGUUAAUUUUGUCCGAAAUGAUUUUAAUUAUUUUUAAAAUCAUAAAAUAUAUGUGUAAUUUUUAAAAUCAUAUAAAAACAAUUGAAGUUGUAGUUGACCAAGUACUCUAAGAGGUGACCCUGUGAAAACUCACCCCUGGUCCUAGAUUAAUCAAUUUAGGAGUCUAACAUAUGAACUCAAUUGAAAUUGUAAAAAACAAAUGUUCAACAUGUUGCAUUAGAUUUCUCAUCUGUUGUAUAUUAUCAAUCAGAUUAGGUAACAAUAGAUUAUGAAUCUGAUGUAUAUUAUCAAACAGAUUAAGUCAUCUGUUGUGAUAUAUUACCCAUCUGUUAUAAAUUAUCAAAUGGAUUGUCAUAUGUAGCAACAAAUUAACCAUAUGUUGUAAAUUAUCAAAUAGGCGUUGUCAUUUAUUGUGGAUGACCCUAUGAGAACUCACCCCUAGUCCUAGAUUAAUCGAUAGUUGACCUUAUGAGAACUCACCCCUAGUCCCAGAUUAUUCAAUCAAGGUAUUAGUACCCUAGUCCUAGAUUAAUCAAUCAAGGUAUUAGUCUAACAUAUGAGGUAGGAAAAAUCAGUUCAGCUCAAAGUGAUCGAUCGCCGACUUUGGUCGGGAGGAACGCAAUACCGUUUCAUCAUGCAAUUGACAAAAGACUCAAUUGAAGUUGUAGUUGACCCUAUGAGAACUCACAUUCAAUUAAGGUAUUACUCUAACAUAUGAACUCAAUUGAAUUAUAUAUAAAUAAAUGUACAACCUAUUGCAAUAGAUGUCUUUUCUGUUAGAUCAAAUCAAACAGAUUAUGUAAUUUGUUGCAAUAUAUUACACAUCUAUUGUAAACUAUCAUACAUAUUAAGCCAUUUUUUGUGAUAGAUCACGAAUCUGCUGUAAACUAUCAAAUAGAUUAAGUCAUCUAUUGCAACAGAUUACCCAUCUAUUGUAAACUAUCAAAUGGAUUGAGUCACAUAUUGCAAUAGAUUACCCAUCCGUUGUAAAUUAUUAAAUAGGCGUUGUCAUCUAUUGUAGUUGAAAUUAUGAGAACUCACCGCUAGUCCUAUAUCAAUCAAUUAAGGUAUUAGUCUAACAUAUGAGGUAGUAAGAAUCAGUUCGGCUCAGAGUGAUCUAUCGCUGACUCUGGUCAGGAGGAAUACAGUACCAUCUCAUUAUGCGAUUGACAAAAGACUCAAUUGAAGUUGUAGUUGACCCUAUAUUCAAUUAGGGUAUUAGUACCCUAGUCCUAUAUUAAUCAAUUAAGGCAUUAGUCUAACAUAUGAGGUAGUAAGAAUCAGUUCGACUCAGAGUGAUCGAUCGACGACUCUAGUCGGGAGGAACACAGUACCAUCUCUUUAUGCAAUUGUCAAAAGACUCAACUGAAGUUGUAUUUGACCUUAUGAGAACUCACCCCUAGUCCCAGAUUAUUCAAUCAAGGUAUUAGUACCAUAGUCCUAGAUUAAUCAAUUAAGGCAUUAGUCUAACAUAUGAGGUAGUAAGAAUCAGUUCGACUCAGAGUGAUCGAUCGACGACUCUGGUCGAAGAAACGCAAUACCGUCUCAUCAUGAAAUUGCCAAAAGACUCAAUUAAAGUUGCAUUUGACCCUAUGAGAACUCACAUUCAAUUAAGAUUUUAGUCUAACAUAUGAACUCAAUUGAAAUUAUAUAUAAAUAAAUGUUCAACCUGUUGCAACAUAUGUCUUUUCUGUUGAAUCAAAUCAAAUAGAUUAGGUAAUAUAUUGCAACAUAUUACGCAUCUGUUGAAAACUAUCAAAUAGAUUAUGUCAUUUGUUGUGACAGAUCACAAAUCUGUUGUAAACUAUCAAAUAGAUUAUGUCAUCUGUUACACUUAAAUAUUUUUUGAUCCUUUUUUUAUAAAGCAAUUUAGGUAUUUCCUGUCCGAGAUAAAAUAGUAAAAAUAAUAAAGUGGUAAAAAAUAUUACUCGGUAUAACUUUGAUAACUCAAAAAUCUCCUGAGUGAGUAGUCUUAUCUGGUCUUUUCAAUGUCACUAUCUCCUCAUGCCCCUCAAAAGUUAUUAAUGAAUAUUUAAAACCCCCCAUACCUAGAACUCUCUCUCCUUCAUCCAUAAAGUAGUCUAGACUAGACUUAACUCAUAACUUUUCUUUAUUCUUUAUUCUCAAUUAUCUUUGUUGUUUUCUUUUUUUUCUCUCUUUUCUCUCUUCUUUCUGAUAAGGAUCCUUUGGAAUCACAACCAAUCAAUAUCUUUUCUCAACUGAACUAGAUGUUCUGAUCCAUUUGCUUUUUUGACAUUGCAGGUAUGGUUCAAAGUUGCUCUUUUCAUCUCGUCUUUUUCUUUGUAUAUCAUUUAAAUUAGUUACUUACAUCUGUUGCUAUCAAUGAUUUACCCAUUACCAGUUUGCUAUUUAUUGACAAAAUUGAAAGAAAGGUGACUUUUAAGUCUUGAAUGAAUGAACCAUUGUUCUUAUUAAAAUAUGUGAAAAAAGUCAUCUAUUGGGAGAACUUAAAAAGCCUUGUUAUCAAUAUAGUUUUUUUAUGUCUUUUGUUUGUUACUUUGGUGGUGCUGUUGUUGGGGGUGGUGGUUUGUUGGAAUAUGUGAUGUUUGUGUUAUGGAUGGUGUUGGAACAUAUAGUGUUGUUUUGUUUAUUUCUUUGUUGUUGAUGAUGUUGGUGGUGGUGUUGCAAUAGUUUUCUCAACUGUUGCAACUGAUGAAUCAGCUGUUGGAACAGACGGAGCAGCUUUUUUAAAAAAUCAAACCAGUAGAAAGGCUGGUUUGAUUUAUUCCAACAGAUGGACCAUCUGUUGCAACAUGUCAUCUAUCCUUUGCAAACAUUGCCUCAUCAAUUGAACAGAUGGGUAAUCUGUUGCAUCAUAUUGGUCAUCUGUUGAUUCACUCAAUUUUGUGUUAUCCUUUUGUAAUGUUCUUUUUGUUCUUCUCUUGUUUGAUAUCAAAUGUAUUUCUCUUGUUUGCAGACAAAAAGAAGUGAAAUUGGAUCCACUUUUUCCCUGACAACAUUAAAGGCUAGAGUAAAGAUGGGUUCAAAGAAAUAAGCUUUUUGCAGAUGGAACCACUUCAUAUGUGGAGGGUAUGUAUUACUGACCAACCUAUCAUGAAAACAAACAUCCAGUACAAUGAUUUUGUAAAUGUUUAUUUUUUACCUAGUAGGCAUUAAUUCUUCAAACAAGAUAUGAAAUUUUACAGUUAAGAUUGUUAGGUUCGAACUGGUAAGGCUGACAGACUAAGACGAUGGUGUCGAUAUCCCGUUACAAUUUAAUGACGGUUUAUGCUCGUGUUUUUAUGUCAAGUUUGGGGAAGGUUUCAAGUUUUUGGCGGCAGUGUAAAUAUUCCAUAGUGAUUAGACCGAUUUUAAUGGCACAAUGGACUUCUUGAAAGGCCUCCGAAGCCUCGCAAUGGAACAAACAAUGAUAGAACCAAUAGAAAUUCCCCUGGUCUAAAUUUAUAUGGAUGGGUUGUUGGCGGAGACUAUUAUACAGCAGAAGGUGUUUGGGAGAAAACCUGUGUGGGAAUAGGGAGGUUGGGAAGGCCAUAUAUCAUCUUAGUACUUGUUUAAGAGGAUAAACAGGAUCGGAAAAGUGUAGCGAAAUUAGCUUAUGAAAUUGACAUGAAAAAUGAAAAAACUGGAUGAUAUGAGAAUGUAAAAGUGUAUCAAAAAAUGAAAAUCCAUCAGUCGUUGAAGAAAAAGAAGAAUGGUCAAGAGGAAUUGACCUUGUGUAUCCUCUUAAACAAGUACUAAGAUGAUAUAUGGCCUUCUCAACCUCCCUCUUCUCGCACAGGUUUUCUGCCAAACACCUUCUGCUAUAUAAUAGUCUCCUCCACUAAUCCAUCCAUAUAAAUUUGGACCAGGGGAAUUUCUAUUGGUUCUAGCAUUUUUUGCUGCAUUGCGAGGCUUCGGAGGCCUUUUAAGAAGUCCAUUGUGCCAUUAAAAUUGGUCCAAUCACUAUUGGAUAUUUACACUACCGCCAAAAAUUUGAACCCUUCCCCAAACACAAAAUCAUAUGCAUGAAUCGUGUCAUUAAAUUGUAACGGGGUAUCGACACUACCAUCUUGGAACUCUUUGGCCUUAUCAGCUCGCACCUAUCAAACUAAACUGUACAAUUUAGGAUCUUGUUUGAAGGAUCAGUGUCUAAUCAUCGAUAAAAAACUCCAUUCACAAGAUCAUUGCACUUUAUGUGUCUUCACGGUAGCCUGAUCAAUAAUAUACAUAACUCCAUGCAUGAAAAUAGGAUCCAUUGCACGCAUCUUAUUCUUCCUACCCCAUCAGGACAUAUCAGUGUUUUUUAUUCAUUUGCAUGAAUAUGAUGACUAUUAAAAUAGAGGUGUGAAGAGUCGUGACUUUUUAUCUUAACACAUUCAAAAUAGCUGAUAAAUCCAAAUCUCCAUCUAUUGCAACUGAUGAAUCAGCUAUUGGAAGAAAUCAAAACAUCUCCUCCAAACAUAUGGUCCAUCUGUCGCAACAGAUAAUCUAUAUGUUGCAACAGAUGGUAAAUCUGUUGCGAUAGACCUGACUUUUUUUUAAUUAAUCUGCAUGUAUGUGAUUAUUUCUUUCUAAAUACAUUUGUUUCAAUUUAGUAUUCCUAUUUAUAAAAUCAAGAGAAUUUUAUUAUAUUCUUUCAAGAUUACCCCUAUUAUUAAAUGACUACAUAAAGUAUAUUAUUCACAUUUAUACUUUCUAAUCAUAAUUAAUAAGGCCAAUUUGGUAAAACAAUCACCUAAUUUAUAUUUUUAUUAAUUGGUGUGGCAAGCCCAUGGGGCCCAACUAAUACGUAGCAGAGGGACUAUUAAAAAGAGGUGAAUACUUUUUAUCUCACAUAUUCAAAACAGCUAAUGAAUCGGAUACUCCAUCUGUUGAAACUGAAACUAAUGAAUCAGCUGUCAGAAGAUAUCAAAACAUCUCCUCCAACUUAUACAUACUGUCCAUCUGUUUCCACAGAUAAAUCAGAUGUCUUAUUUGUUGCAUAUAAAAACCAUCUAUUGCAACAGAUGGUAAAUCUGUUUUGACAGCCGUCUAUUGCACAUUCAAUCCAUCCAUCUGUUGCAAAAGAUGCUAAAUCUGCUAAAAAUGUUGGAUGAUCUGUUGCAACAGCUCAAUAAUAACAGCUUUUAUCGAGUCUCAAACCGCUAUGAAAAGGUAAGAAGUAAUUGGUGUAAAAUAAAAAGUCACGACUUUUCACAGAAAAUAAAAUGCCACCAGUUUGAAUGUAAUUAAUACAAUAGAGCUGAACAGCCCUGCCUUUUGGCCUGACACGUCCAGAUUAUAUUAUAGGUCCCUCAAUCUUCAUUCAACUCUAUUUAUUUCUUGCAUUUUUUCCUUUCAUGUUACAUCUUCAACCACUUCUCUUCAAAGAUCAUAUUCUUUUCUCGUUGAGGUAAGUUUUUUUUUGGCAUAAAUUUACCAGUUGGUCGUAUACGUUGUAUUACAUUGUGAACAUUUUUCUUUACAUGUGUCAAUUCAUGAGUGUUCUAGAUAUGGCUGAUCCUUUUUCGGACAUUGCUAUUCUACGCGACACAGUUCGGGAACUUCAAAGGCAGGUUAAUGACCUACAGAGCGAGUUGAUCGCUGAGAGAGCGACAAUGUUCAAAGAGAUGUAGAGGCUGAUGAGAGCCCUGCUGCUGCGAUUUGAUUGACCGACUGUCAUUAAUGAUGAUAAUGAUAAUAAUAAUUAGAAUGUGCUUUUUCUUUUAGUGUAUGUAUUUUAAUUUUUCUAUAUUGGAUCUAUACCUAAUGUAUUUUAUUUUUCAUUUAAUGGAAAAUUUACUUUUAGUCAUACUUUGGCGUUUUAAUUCUUAUUCAAUUUUCAUUCUGUUUUCUUCUAAUCUAAUACAUGUUGGAGGCAAUGUUGAAUCCAGUAGCACUAGCAAUUUUGGCUUUUGAGUUCUUUCAACAGUUGGAACCGAUUGUCAUCUGUUGGGUUUCAACAGAUUAUCCAUCUGUUUUGACAGAUUUUCAUUUGUUGGAGAAAAGCAUUCCAGUUGUUUGUGCAACUGUUGAGAAUAAUUGUGGUCUGCUAUAUAAUUUAAGUUCAUGUUUUGCCUCAUUUUAUUGAUGCACAAGUUAUUUAAAAAAAAGGAUAUUUUAUAUAUAAUAAAUGAUAACAUUAGAUUCACAACAAUGAGUUAAAUAUAUAAAAUUCCACAACAAACAAACAAAUAAACAACAACACAAGUUUCUGCAAUUACAACGAUCAUGGUGGAUUAUGAUUCAGGCAUGUAGUUCUUUUGUCUCUAGCGCAAUUACAUAUGGAGCACUUGUUUCUUCUUGAUGAAAAUGAUCCUCCAACUCCACGCCUCCUUUUAUAUGACUUUCUUCCCGGUUUGAUAGUGCUCGGGUCAAUAUAUGGAGGAGGUAUUAAUCUCCCCAUAAGCUCUACUGAAACAACCCAAGAUUCUUCGGGAGGCACUGGAGUAAUAUGUCCACUAUAUGCCAUUUCAUAUUUUUCCACCAAAUAAUAUUGAGAGGAGUGCUCGUAAACUUCAGGUCCAUAUUUAUGGCCGUAUUGAGCUCGAAGGGCUGCCAUAGCAUGUGGACAAGGUAUUUUGUCCAAGUCAAAAACUCUACACGUACAAGAUCUUGUUUGAAGUUAGACUGUGGCAGCAUCACCAUGACCGGUGAUAUGAAAUUUGUAAUCUGCUAUUUUAUGAGAGAAUAACCUAUUCCCCAAACUGAUGUUCAUUGAUAUUUUCUUUUCGAUUUUGAGAAGAAAUCAGGUUCUUUUUCUGGAAACUUGAACUGUACACGCCUUUCAUUAAAAAAAUUGCUAUAUUUCUCGCUUAUUUUUUCAAACAUAGCCUUGAUGGAAAAUUUUCUUUCAUCGCCAAACAAUGAAUUCACCGAUUCAGCUAUGUUUGAUGUCAUAAUAUUGUACCUAUCACUUAGUACGACAUCAAACUAAAAUUGUAAAUCAAACAAGACAUUAAAUUCAUAAGAAUGGACCUAUUUGCUGGACAGAAUCCCCGGCUCCAUCUCUCGAAACCGACACGUGCAAGAAAUUCUGCUACCUUGGGAUUCACAUCCGCUAUUUGCUUAACUCAAGUGAUCUGCUUAUAUAUUCUUAUUUGAGUCUUCUAACCUCUCCUAUCUAAUGUCACGCCCUUGAUAAAAUGAAAUUGUGUCAUUAUUCCUUGAUAAUCACUUCUCUCUAAUACUUCUUGAAUCUACCUUCAUAUUCAGCCUUACAUACCUCCACAUUGGACUUUCAUACAUCUUCUUUGCAUGAUUAGAUUAUUAAUUUAAUGAAUUUAUAAUUUAUUUUUUGGUUAGAAAUUAUUGAAGUUUGUAGAAAAUGUCCUUUCUGGCCCUGUGAACAUCUUUUCUCAAUGUAUUAAAGAGGGCCUCUCUAACACAAUUCUUUUAUAACAAAAAAGAAGGAAAGAAAGAUUGUUUUCUUUCAACAAUAAAACUAUUUUAGACCUUGAAUUAAUCCUCUUAAAUAUUCAUAUUCUCUAACAAAAAGUCUUACAACAAAAUCCAAAAUAAUAUUGUCACGACUCAAAUUUGUUGUGAGUGGCACACACAUUACUAAUUCAAUGGGAGAAUCAUCUACCCUAAAAUACCAUCUUAUAAUCAAAGUUUAGUAUAGGACCACCUAUUAGACUUGGUCUUGGCUACCAGAAGGUCACAGUUUAGGAGUCCUAUGUCGGAAAAGGGAUGGACAAUUGGACUUCUUAUAUAGACUUAAACAAUUCUUUCUUUGUGAACAAAUGAGCUAACUUUUGGGGUUAGAUUAGACCCAAGAUUCAUUUUUUGUCGGUCACAAAUACAAUAUUCAGUAUCCAAGUCCACUUAGCUUAUAGAACAUCAUGACGUGCAAUGAAUUGCAUAUAAAACUCUUUGUUGCCUGUCUACUUGAUCCAAAAUAAGAAAAAGAAAAUUUCCCAAUUCGUUUUUAUAGUUUUCCAAUAUUCACAAAAAUAUAUAGUUUUUCAAAUUUUUUCCGUACCUAAUUUUCAAAGUUAAUCCAAAACCAACUCUUUAAGGGAACCUUCAUAUCAAGAGUAUAACAAUCAUUUUUUCAUCAUAGAAAGCAUGACUUUUGUGCAUGAGUUUAACUUCAAAUUUCAUUAUUAAAAAUGAUAGUUUGUUCUUUUCAUUGAAUUUUUUAACUCCAAAAGACGAUUUUAAAGCGGAAUCCCCAUUUAUUAGAUAGAGAAGAUCACCAAAAUUUCACGAUCCGCUAUCGAAUUUAUUCCAAUUCAGAAUGCUCAUUGAAUGAGCAUUCUCAAUAUUAUGCCUUGAAGAGGACUCGAACCUCCACGCUCUUUAGCAUGAGAUUUUGAAUCAAGUGUGUCUACCAUUUCACCACCAAGGCAUCUUGAAAGUGAAUCGUAUUCCAUGAAUACGAUAUCUAUCUAGUGUGAUGUAUAGAAUAUAUGACAAAGGUGGAUCUAUUGAUCGGUUAUGUCAUAUAGGCCCGAGUUGGACAUCCAAUUGCUUCGAUUUAAAUUAUUUGGAGAAUGCAAUGCCUGAUAUCUAUCAAAAGAUGGACAAUCAUUAUGCAAAAUGAUAGUGUAGAAGCAGGUAGUUAAAGGAGUUCCAACUAUAUCAAAUUACUACUGCAAUGAAUUAGUGAAGUUAAUUAUAACUAACCUCUAGCUCACCACUAACCAACCAACUAACCUACUAGUUGUCUUAGCCUACUUACUAACUGUCUAUAGAUACAUAUGUAUCAUGUACUAUUGGAUAACAACUUGAAUACAAAGAAUUAUAGUUUUGGCUAAUGCUCUAUGAUUAUUAUCUGUGCUCUCUUCUUCUCUCUUCUCUCUUACUUUCCUGCCUUCUUGCUUAGUUGUUCAUAGUGAUUACCAUUAAGAUCACCUAAUUCUUCAUGGUAUCAUAGCUUGCACUGAAUUGAAUCAAUACGUGAGACUAGAUUCUACAUUUGUUCUUGAAAUUAAGAACUACAGAAUCUGGGAGUUUAUUUUUUUGCAAAUCUUCUGUAAUAAAUUGCAAUGGCGACCGAUGUUGAUGGAAUUGGUAGUUGAAUUGUACCUUCAGUGAAUAAUGCAAAUUCCAGUACUUCAUUUCAGUUUACAACUACUACUAGAGAUAUUAAUCACCCUCUAUAUCUCUUAACUGCAAAUAUUUCAGGUACUUCACUUAUUUCAUUUCAGCUGCAAAGAAGUGAAAAUUAUGUAGUAUGGAGUAAAAUAGUUAGGAUACAUUAUUAGGUAAAAAUAAGUUUGGAAUGGUUGAUAGUUCUUGGAGGAAAUAAAUCUUCUCUACAGACUUAGCUAAUCAAUGGGAAAGGGUUAAUGCAAUAGUACUGUCAUGGCUGAUUAAUUCAGUGUCUAGUAACCUUCUUGGAGAGGUAGUACAUGUCUCAAAGCUUGUGAUUUGUGGAUGGGUCUUAAAGAAAGAUUUGAUAAAACAGAUGGAUCAAGAACUUACAAUUUGUAUCAAGAAAUUUCAACUGUGUCCCAAGGUGUUCAAUCUAUUUCGUCUAUUUCACUAAGUUGAAAAACUUAAGGGAUAAGUUUGAGUCUUUAGUCCCAUCACCUGCUUGUAACUAUGAAAAAUCAAGAGAUUUUUUAGCUUUUCUUUAAAGGCAAAAGUUGUAUCAGUUUCUAAUGGGCUUGAAUGAUUCAUACUCACAAGCAAAAAGUCGCAUCUUGUUAAUGACACCACUACCUACUGUUAACAUGGCCUAAUCCAUGAUCAUAAGUGAUGAGAAUCAAAAGUCUGUGGCUCAGUCAGUACAGGAAACAGGUCUUCUUAGUGCUGCAACUACUGCAAUUGAUGAUGUUACAGUGUACUCUAAAUUUGGAUAUCAAGGUGGUUAUCAAAAUGGAAAAAGGAACUAUGUUUCAACCUAUAACUCAAAUGAUGUUUGUGAUCAUUGCAAGAUGAAAGGUCACUAUAAUAUGGAUUGCGACAAGUUAGUUGGAUAUCCAUCAUGUCAACCAAAACAUGGAGAUCAAAGAGACAACAAUGACUUCAGAAGUGGCUUUGAUAACAAAACUAACCAGAGAAAGGUUGCUUCUAGUGCUCAUAAUGUUAUGGUUGAAGACUGGCAGCUACAACCUCAACAGACUCAAUCACAUGGUGCCUAUCUGACUUCACAAAAUUUACCAAAGGAUGGGAUGAUUACACCAAUGUUUACACCUGACAAUAUGAUCAAAUUUCCAAAGUACUAGAACAACAUAAUCAAGUUUCAGCAUUUGUGCCCUCUACUAUUGUAGCAAAUAUGACAGUUAUUGGUAGGGCCCUGUUGGUCAACAAUAAACCACAUGAUUGGAUUAUUCAUACAAGUGCUACAAAUCACAUGAAAGUAGACAUUGAACUUCUAAAUAAAGGUUCAAUAUCUGAGUCAAUUACCAAAUGUUGAUAUGUCAGUUUUUACACACACCGGCUUUAGUAGUAUCUCUGAUAGGAACACUAUACAAAACGUGUUCCAUUUACUUCAAUUCAAAUACAACUUGUUGUCAGUCUCACAGGCUACUAAAAAUCUUAAUUGUUAUGUAACUUUCUUUCUUAAUUUUUGUGUGUUUCAAGAUCUUUGAAAUGGGAAGGUGAAGGGGAUUGGAAAAGAGAAAAAUGGACUAUACUUCUUAUUGAGAAAAAAACUUCCAGGGCAUGGCAAAGUAGUAGGCUGUGUGUUCAAUACUCAGAAUAUAAAUAAAUUUGAUCUAAGGUUAUGGCUAGGCAUAAGACACUUGGACAUGUUCCUUUUAGGAUACUAUCUCACAUGUUUUCUAUGUCGAAAACUCAUGUAGAUGACAAUAUAAAUAAGUGUGAACUUUGUCCAUUUUCUAAACAAACUAGGCUAGCCUUUCCUUCUAGCAGUACAUCUAGUGUUAAAGCUUUUGACUUAGUGCAUAUGGAUCUCUGGGGUCCUUAUAAGGUUCCUAAUUGUGAUGGACAUAGAUCCUUCUUAAUUGUUGUGGAUGAUUUUACUAGAAUGACAUGUAUAUUUUUUCUUGUAUAGAAAUCUGAUGUUGUAGUUAUUCUGAAGCAUUUCUUAUCUUAUGUUCAUACUCAGUUUAAUACGUGUGUAAAAGUCAUCAGGAUAGACAAUGGAACUAAGUUUGUUAACAACUCAUGGACUAAUUUGUUUGCAAACUUAGGGAUAAAACAUCAAACCUCCUGAUAUUAUACAUCCCAACAAAAUGGUGUGGCUGAAAGAAAGCACAGGCAUUUGUUGAAAAUGACCAGGGCUUUAAGGUUUCAAGCUAAUAUACCUUUAAAGUUUUAGGGAUAUUGUGUACAAGCAGCAACAUACUUGAUUAAUAGCCUUCCAUCUGUUAUGGUAGGUUAUAUGACACCUAAUGAGAGGAUGCAUAAUAGAAAACCUUCCUUAGAUCAUCUAAAGGUAUUAGGAUGUUUAUGGUAUGCUAAAACUGUCAAUGAGUCAGAUAAACUAAUGCCUAGAUCUAGAAAAGCAAUUCAUAUGGGAUAUUCAGAAACAAAGAAGGGUUACAUUAUCUAUGAUCUUACUAACAAAAUUUUCUUUGUAAACAGGGAUAUGGUGUUCAGAGAGGACACAUUUCCAUUCAUAAUCGAUCUAGAUCAAUCUCCAUAACAUAUGUUUGCUCCAUAUGAUCCAGAAGCAGAAUCACCUAAUACCACUGGAUGGACUAGACCUCAACCUGAUGUUGAUUUUCAACAGUGAACCAUAAGUGACUUCACUACAGAUUAACCAAGUACUUACUCAGAGUCAACCAGUACAACUCACUGCACAGGACCACCAUGUACAACCUGUUCCAACAAUAAGAAUAACAAGAUAUAUUACUAGACAACAAGUUGCAGAACAACCUGUCACAACUAGGAUCACAACCAGACCACAACCAGUUGCUCAACAAGACCAAAGAAAAUCUACCGGGGGUUCAAAUUCUCCUGCAUGGAUGAAAUAUUUUGUGUCAUUGAAUAUCAAUGACAAUGUUUUAUAACCUUUAUCUAAUUAUAUUUCUUAUGAUAAUAUAUCUACUAAGUAUCAAUGCUACCUAUCCAAUUUUUCUAACAUUGUGGAGCCUACCUCUUAUGCAGAAGCAAUAAAGGAUCCAAGAUGGGUAGAUGCUAUGCAAACUGAAAUGGCUGCACUUCAAAAAAACAAUACCUAGUAAGAAGUUGAUCUUCCAGCAGGUAAGUAACCUAUAGGGUGCAAAUGGAUCUACAAGAUCAAGUAUAAGCCUUAGGAAAAGUAGAAAGAUUUUAGGCAAGACUAGUUGCAAAAGGUUUUAGUCAGAAAGAAGGCAUAGACUACCAAGAAACAUUUUGUCCAGUGGCAAAAAUGGUCACAUUUAGAAUAGUUAUUGCUACCAAAACUCCCCAAGAACACACGAAAAAAACACCAAUCAGUCCACUAGUUUAAGAACUAUAGACCCUUUUGAUGACCUAUCUCGGAUUCGCAAGAGGAACAAGAAAGGAAGUGAUAUCAAGAGUAAACACACUAAAAAAAAGCAAAAACACGUGAUGAACAAGAUGAACACAAGAACACAACUUUCAGAUUCAACAAGGUACAAAAACAGUCCACUGCAAACAUACAAAAUGCAAUAAGAUAAAGAUAGAUAGAUAGAUAGAUAAAUGAAGAUGUAAUAUUAACAACCCAAAAGCUUAUUCCACUUUUGGACCUUUAAUAUCACACACAACCUAAACCUAUCUCUUACGUGACCUUAAGGGAACCGGAAUCCCCAAGCAAUCUCUGUUUCUAAGUGAUUCAUCAACACAAGGAUUCCACCUUGCCCAAGGAUUUUACCUUGCUAAGAGGCUCUCAAAAGAGGCUACAAAUAUCAUCAAAAAUCAGCCCUAAAAUGACCUAAUAAGGUUAUAUUUAUAUCUAGGAAAACUUAUUACAAAUGAUCAAAAAAGCCUUGCAAAGGGGCAGAUGAAUAAUGAUGGAUGAACAGUAAUAGCUUUGGAGUGUGGGACUUGCUCUCUACACUUUAAAGCCUAUUCCUUGGAUGGGCAGCCCCACAAGAUGGGGUCUUCACUCACGUCUUCAUGUCCUCAAGUGCUAAAAUGCCUUUUUGACCCCUAUCAUCCUUCCCUCCUUAGAAAGGAUUCGUCCUCGAAUCCGAACCUUGCAAAAUGAUAGGAAGGACAAAAAAACAUAAUUUCCUCAAUGUAUGAGGGUUAGGGUUAGUGUAAUGAAUCAUAGCAUUAUGCCAAGGUUUCUCAAACUUCACGUAUACCCAAACAUCCCUCGAGUUCUCAAAAAUGAUACACCAAUCAUAGGAAACCCGAAUUACGUACAAGACAUGCUUAGCAUCAACAUAAUCAUGCUCACACAAUGCACAUAUGUCAUUCCCAAAUAUGGUUUGAAAUGAAUCAAUAUCACACCUUAAGUUAUCAAUGGGAUCAAAGGGGUAGGGUAUCUAUGGACAUGGAUGGAGGAUAUGCUUCUUUUCCCCGAGACUACCACCAAUACAAUCACAUAUUCCCUUUAUGCUAGGAUGAUCUACAACAAAAACAACUAGAGGUUAAUCUUUAGUCAAUCGAACAAAUUGUUCAACAUCACCAUUUUCACACAUAAGUUGGUUGUCAUGACUUCCAUAAGACAAUGUACUAUCACUUUCCACAAUGGAUUCAACACUAGGUGGAUCAACUAGUAUAUCUACAAUUUCAAGUUGUAAAUUAUCAUCACAAAAUAAAGGCACAUUCAGCUCACUUAAAGACAAACUAUCAUUCACACUAAGUUGGCUAUUAUCCUCAUUCACUAGAGUGCAAAAGUUAGUUUGAUUACCUUGUAGCUCAUGUGGAGCAUGGCCACUCACGAAAAUUUGAUUAGGAAGGCUUUGAUGCUCCAUCAAGUUAUCCAACUUCUUGCAAAGAGAGCCUUCCGUCCCUUCUAAUCUCCCUUCCAUUCUUUCCAUUAUUUGACCAUCGAUGGCAUCAAGCCUUGACAUGAUGGAUUUAACCCAACUAGGCAUUUCAGUUUCAUUCACCAUUGUACCUAUCAAGAUCUACUAAACAAACAUCACAAAAAUAUCAAACACGUUAAAAAAUUAGCAAAAAUUAGUCCGCAUGAUGUAUCAAAACAGUCCGCACACUCUCAAGCUCACGCUUUGGAAGUUUUCACUCUAUUGGCCUCACAAGUGUUGAUAACUCGCAUGUACUCCAAUGAGGUCACUUGGUUCCAACUGUGGCUAGAGGGGAUUAGAUUCUUGUUUUAAACGACUCAAAAAGUAAUGUACGAACUUGAACCAAAAAGAAUACUAUGACUCAAAAACGAGAAAAGCACACAACAAAUGCUAAACACGAAUGAACGAACACAAAGACUAACUAACAAUCUAGUAGAUGAGUACUAGUUUGCCAAUUAGUAUUGGAACCAAAGAAAUUGAAAGUAAGGAACAACAAAAGGAAACUAAGAAAUAUAAAAUUUGAGCCAAAAUUUGAUGAAUGAACAGUAUCUUGAUGAUGUGGCAGCCACGUAUUGGUCGCGGUUUCUACAAUUUUUAUUUUCCAAAGUCCAAUUCUUGACCAAUUUUAAUUUGGAUUGGUAGAAUUUGUUUCAAGGAGGGAAGAAUAAGUCUUGGAGCCUUUUUUUUUCAAGUUUCACAUUUCAAGACUUGACUUUUCUAGUACUUUUCCUUCAAACAUGGACCCUUGUUUCAUGGGAAAGUGGUUGAGAAGUGAUGUAAAGUCUUUAGUGUGUAGGAAAAGUCUUUGAGUCACAAGUACUACACCUUGAAACUUGGAUCNNNNNNNNNNNNNNNNNNNNNNNNNNNNNNNNNNNNNNNNNNNNNNNNNNNNNNNNNNNNNNNNNNNNNNNNNNNNNNNNNNNNNNNNNNNNNNNNNNNNNNNNNNNNNNNNNNNNNNNNNNNNNNNNNNNNNNNNNNNNNNNNNNNNNNNNNNNNNNNNNNNNNNNNNNNNNNNNNNNNNNNNNNNNNNNNNNNNNNNNNNNNNNNNNNNNNNNNNNNNNNNNNNNNNNNNNNNNNNNNNNNNNNNNNNNNNNNNNNNNNNNNNNNNNNNNNNNNNNNNNNNNNNNNNNNNNNNNNNNNNNNNNNNNNNNNNNNNNNNNNNNNNNNNNNNNNNNNNNNNNNNNNNNNNNNNNNNNNNNNNNNNNNNNNNNNNNNNNNNNNNNNNNNNNNNNNNNNNNNNNNNNNNNNNNNNNNNNNNNNNNNNNNNNNNNNNNNNNNNNNNNNNNNNNNNNNNNNNNNNNNNNNNNNNNNNNNNNNNNNNNNNNNNNNNNNNNNNNNNNNNNNNNNNNNNNNNNNNNNNNNNNNNNNNNNNNNNNNNNNNNNNNNNNNNNNNNNNNNNNNNNNNNNNNNNNNNNNNNNNNNNNNNNNNNNNNNNNNNNNNNNNNNNNNNNNNNNNNNNNNNNNNNNNNNNNNNNNNNNNNNNNNNNNNNNNNNNNNNNNNNNNNNNNNNNNNNNNNNNNNNNNNNNNNNNNNNNNNNNNNNNNNNNNNNNNNNNNNNNNNNNNNNNNNNNNNNNNNNNNNNNNNNNNNNNNNNNNNNNNNNNNNNNNNNNNNNNNNNNNNNNNNNNNNNNNNNNNNNNNNNNNNNNNNNNNNNNNNNNNNNNNNNNNNNNNNNNNNNNNNNNNNNNNNNNNNNNNNNNNNNNNNNNNNNNNNNNNNNNNNNNNNNNNNNNNNNNNNNNNNNNNNNNNNNNNNNNNNNNNNNNNNNNNNNNNNNNNNNNNNNNNNNNNNNNNNNNNNNNNNNNNNNNNNNNNNNNNNNNNNNNNNNNNNNNNNNNNNNNNNNNNNNNNNNNNNNNNNNNNNNNNNNNNNNNNNNNNNNNNNNNNNNNNNNNNNNNNNNNNNNNNNNNNNNNNNNNNNNNNNNNNNNNNNNNNNNNNNNNNNNNNNNNNNNNNNNNNNNNNNNNNNNNNNNNNNNNNNNNNNNNNNNNNNNNNNNNNNNNNNNNNNNNNNNNNNNNNNNNNNNNNNNNNNNNNNNNNNNNNNNNNNNNNNNNNNNNNNNNNNNNNNNNNNNNNNNNNNNNNNNNNNNNNNNNNNNNNNNNNNNNNNNNNNNNNNNNNNNNNNNNNNNNNNNNNNNNNNNNNNNNNNNNNNNNNNNNNNNNNNNNNNNNNNNNNNNNNNNNNNNNNNNNNNNNNNNNNNNNNNNNNNNNNNNNNNNNNNNNNNNNNNNNNNNNNNNNNNNNNNNNNNNNNNNNNNNNNNNNNNNNNNNNNNNNNNNNNNNNNNNNNNNNNNNNNNNNNNNNNNNNNNNNNNNNNNNNNNNNNNNNNNNNNNNNNNNNNNNNNNNNNNNNNNNNNNNNNNNNNNNNNNNNNNNNNNNNNNNNNNNNNNNNNNNNNNNNNNNNNNNNNNNNNNNNNNNNNNNNNNNNNNNNNNNNNNNNNNNNNNNNNNNNNNNNNNNNNNNNNNNNNNNNNNNNNNNNNNNNNNNNNNNNNNNNNNNNNNNNNNNNNNNNNNNNNNNNNNNNNNNNNNNNNNNNNNNNNNNNNNNNNNNNNNNNNNNNNNNNNNNNNNNNNNNNNNNNNNNNNNNNNNNNNNNNNNNNNNNNNNNNNNNNNNNNNNNNNNNNNNNNNNNNNNNNNNNNNNNNNNNNNNNNNNNNNNNNNNNNNNNNNNNNNNNNNNNNNNNNNNNNNNNNNNNNNNNNNNNNNNNNNNNNNNNNNNNNNNNNNNNNNNNNNNNNNNNNNNNNNNNNNNNNNNNNNNNNNNNNNNNNNNNNNNNNNNNNNNNNNNNNNNNNNNNNNNNNNNNNNNNNNNNNNNNNNNNNNNNNNNNNNNNNNNNNNNNNNNNNNNNNNNNNNNNNNNNNNNNNNNNNNNNNNNNNNNNNNNNNNNNNNNNNNNNNNNNNNNNNNNNNNNNNNNNNNNNNNNNNNNNNNNNNNNNNNNNNNNNNNNNNNNNNNNNNNNNNNNNNNNNNNNNNNNNNNNNNNNNNNNNNNNNNNNNNNNNNNNNNNNNNNNNNNNNNNNNNNNNNNNNNNNNNNNNNNNNNNNNNNNNNNNNNNNNNNNNNNNNNNNNNNNNNNNNNNNNNNNNNNNNNNNNNNNNNNNNNNNNNNNNNNNNNNNNNNNNNNNNNNNNNNNNNNNNNNNNNNNNNNNNNNNNNNNNNNNNNNNNNNNNNNNNNNNNNNNNNNNNNNNNNNNNNNNNNNNNNNNNNNNNNNNNNNNNNNNNNNNNNNNNNNNNNNNNNNNNNNNNNNNNNNNNNNNNNNNNNNNNNNNNNNNNNNNNNNNNNNNNNNNNNNNNNNNNNNNNNNNNNNNNNNNNNNNNNNNNNNNNNNNNNNNNNNNNNNNNNNNNNNNNNNNNNNNNNNNNNNNNNNNNNNNNNNNNNNNNNNNNNNNNNNNNNNNNNNNNNNNNNNNNNNNNNNNNNNNNNNNNNNNNNNNNNNNNNNNNNNNNNNNNNNNNNNNNNNNNNNNNNNNNNNNNNNNNNNNNNNNNNNNNNNNNNNNNNNNNNNNNNNNNNNNNNNNNNNNNNNNNNNNNNNNNNNNNNNNNNNNNNNNNNNNNNNNNNNNNNNNNNNNNNNNNNNNNNNNNNNNNNNNNNNNNNNNNNNNNNNNNNNNNNNNNNNNNNNNNNNNNNNNNNNNNNNNNNNNNNNNNNNNNNNNNNNNNNNNNNNNNNNNNNNNNNNNNNNNNNNNNNNNNNNNNNNNNNNNNNNNNNNNNNNNNNNNNNNNNNNNNNNNNNNNNNNNNNNNNNNNNNNNNNNNNNNNNNNNNNNNNNNNNNNNNNNNNNNNNNNNNNNNNNNNNNNNNNNNNNNNNNNNNNNNNNNNNNNNNNNNNNNNNNNNNNNNNNNNNNNNNNNNNNNNNNNNNNNNNNNNNNNNNNNNNNNNNNNNNNNNNNNNNNNNNNNNNNNNNNNNNNNNNNNNNNNNNNNNNNNNNNNNNNNNNNNNNNNNNNNNNNNNNNNNNNNNNNNNNNNNNNNNNNNNNNNNNNNNNNNNNNNNNNNNNNNNNNNNNNNNNNNNNNNNNNNNNNNNNNNNNNNNNNNNNNNNNNNNNNNNNNNNNNNNNNNNNNNNNNNNNNNNNNNNNNNNNNNNNNNNNNNNNNNNNNNNNNNNNNNNNNNNNNNNNNNNNNNNNNNNNNNNNNNNNNNNNNNNNNNNNNNNNNNNNNNNNNNNNNNNNNNNNNNNNNNNNNNNNNNNNNNNNNNNNNNNNNNNNNNNNNNNNNNNNNNNNNNNNNNNNNNNNNNNNNNNNNNNNNNNNNNNNNNNNNNNNNNNNNNNNNNNNNNNNNNNNNNNNNNNNNNNNNNNNNNNNNNNNNNNNNNNNNNNNNNNNNNNNNNNNNNNNNNNNNNNNNNNNNNNNNNNNNNNNNNNNNNNNNNNNNNNNNNNNNNNNNNNNNNNNNNNNNNNNNNNNNNNNNNNNNNNNNNNNNNNNNNNNNNNNNNNNNNNNNNNNNNNNNNNNNNNNNNNNNNNNNNNNNNNNNNNNNNNNNNNNNNNNNNNNNNNNNNNNNNNNNNNNNNNNNNNNNNNNNNNNNNNNNNNNNNNNNNNNNNNNNNNNNNNNNNNNNNNNNNNNNNNNNNNNNNNNNNNNNNNNNNNNNNNNNNNNNNNNNNNNNNNNNNNNNNNNNNNNNNNNNNNNNNNNNNNNNNNNNNNNNNNNNNNNNNNNNNNNNNNNNNNNNNNNNNNNNNNNNNNNNNNNNNNNNNNNNNNNNNNNNNNNNNNNNNNNNNNNNNNNNNNNNNNNNNNNNNNNNNNNNNNNNNNNNNNNNNNNNNNNNNNNNNNNNNNNNNNNNNNNNNNNNNNNNNNNNNNNNNNNNNNNNNNNNNNNNNNNNNNNNNNNNNNNNNNNNNNNNNNNNNNNNNNNNNNNNNNNNNNNNNNNNNNNNNNNNNNNNNNNNNNNNNNNNNNNNNNNNNNNNNNNNNNNNNNNNNNNNNNNNNNNNNNNNNNNNNNNNNNNNNNNNNNNNNNNNNNNNNNNNNNNNNNNNNNNNNNNNNNNNNNNNNNNNNNNNNNNNNNNNNNNNNNNNNNNNNNNNNNNNNNNNNNNNNNNNNNNNNNNNNNNNNNNNNNNNNNNNNNNNNNNNNNNNNNNNNNNNNNNNNNNNNNNNNNNNNNNNNNNNNNNNNNNNNNNNNNNNNNNNNNNNNNNNNNNNNNNNNNNNNNNNNNNNNNNNNNNNNNNNNNNNNNNNNNNNNNNNNNNNNNNNNNNNNNNNNNNNNNNNNNNNNNNNNNNNNNNNNNNNNNNNNNNNNNNNNNNNNNNNNNNNNNNNNNNNNNNNNNNNNNNNNNNNNNNNNNNNNNNNNNNNNNNNNNNNNNNNNNNNNNNNNNNNNNNNNNNNNNNNNNNNNNNNNNNNNNNNNNNNNNNNNNNNNNNNNNNNNNNNNNNNNNNNNNNNNNNNNNNNNNNNNNNNNNNNNNNNNNNNNNNNNNNNNNNNNNNNNNNNNNNNNNNNNNNNNNNNNNNNNNNNNNNNNNNNNNNNNNNNNNNNNNNNNNNNNNNNNNNNNNNNNNNNNNNNNNNNNNNNNNNNNNNNNNNNNNNNNNNNNNNNNNNNNNNNNNNNNNNNNNNNNNNNNNNNNNNNNNNNNNNNNNNNNNNNNNNNNNNNNNNNNNNNNNNNNNNNNNNNNNNNNNNNNNNNNNNNNNNNNNNNNNNNNNNNNNNNNNNNNNNNNNNNNNNNNNNNNNNNNNNNNNNNNNNNNNNNNNNNNNNNNNNNNNNNNNNNNNNNNNNNNNNNNNNNNNNNNNNNNNNNNNNNNNNNNNNNNNNNNNNNNNNNNNNNNNNNNNNNNNNNNNNNNNNNNNNNNNNNNNNNNNNNNNNNNNNNNNNNNNNNNNNNNNNNNNNNNNNNNNNNNNNNNNNNNNNNNNNNNNNNNNNNNNNNNNNNNNNNNNNNNNNNNNNNNNNNNNNNNNNNNNNNNNNNNNNNNNNNNNNNNNNNNNNNNNNNNNNNNNNNNNNNNNNNNNNNNNNNNNNNNNNNNNNNNNNNNNNNNNNNNNNNNNNNNNNNNNNNNNNNNNNNNNNNNNNNNNNNNNNNNNNNNNNNNNNNNNNNNNNNNNNNNNNNNNNNNNNNNNNNNNNNNNNNNNNNNNNNNNNNNNNNNNNNNNNNNNNNNNNNNNNNNNNNNNNNNNNNNNNNNNNNNNNNNNNNNNNNNNNNNNNNNNNNNNNNNNNNNNNNNNNNNNNNNNNNNNNNNNNNNNNNNNNNNNNNNNNNNNNNNNNNNNNNNNNNNNNNNNNNNNNNNNNNNNNNNNNNNNNNNNNNNNNNNNNNNNNNNNNNNNNNNNNNNNNNNNNNNNNNNNNNNNNNNNNNNNNNNNNNNNNNNNNNNNNNNNNNNNNNNNNNNNNNNNNNNNNNNNNNNNNNNNNNNNNNNNNNNNNNNNNNNNNNNNNNNNNNNNNNNNNNNNNNNNNNNNNNNNNNNNNNNNNNNNNNNNNNNNNNNNNNNNNNNNNNNNNNNNNNNNNNNNNNNNNNNNNNNNNNNNNNNNNNNNNNNNNNNNNNNNNNNNNNNNNNNNNNNNNNNNNNNNNNNNNNNNNNNNNNNNNNNNNNNNNNNNNNNNNNNNNNNNNNNNNNNNNNNNNNNNNNNNNNNNNNNNNNNNNNNNNNNNNNNNNNNNNNNNNNNNNNNNNNNNNNNNNNNNNNNNNNNNNNNNNNNNNNNNNNNNNNNNNNNNNNNNNNNNNNNNNNNNNNNNNNNNNNNNNNNNNNNNNNNNNNNNNNNNNNNNNNNNNNNNNNNNNNNNNNNNNNNNNNNNNNNNNNNNNNNNNNNNNNNNNNNNNNNNNNNNNNNNNNNNNNNNNNNNNNNNNNNNNNNNNNNNNNNNNNNNNNNNNNNNNNNNNNNNNNNNNNNNNNNNNNNNNNNNNNNNNNNNACCAUGUACAACCUGUUCCAACAAUAAGAAUAACAAGAUAUAUUACUAGACAACAGGUUGCAGAACAACCUGUCACAACUAGGAUCACAACCAGACCACAACCAGUUGCUCAACAAGACCAAAGAAAAUCUACCCGGGGUUCAAAUCCUCCUGCAUGGAUGAAAUAUUUUGUAUCAUUGACUAUCAACGACAAUGUUUUAUACCCUUUAUCUAAUUAUAUUUCUUAUGAUAAUAUAUCUACUAAGUAUCAAUGCUACCUAUCCAAUUUUUCUAACAUUGUGGAGCCUACCUCUUAUGCAGAAGCAAUAAAGGAUCCAAGAUGGGUAGAUGCUAUGCAAACUGAAAUGGCUGCACUUCAAAAAAACAAUACCUAGUAAGAAGUUGAUCUUCCAGCAGGUAAGUAACCUAUAGGGUGCAAAUGGAUCUACAAGAUCAAGUAUAAGCCUUAGGAAAAGUAGAAAGAUUUUAGGCAAGACUAGUUGCAAAAGGUUUUAGUCAGAAAGAAGGCAUAGACUACCAAGAAACAUUUUGUCCAGUGGCAAAAAUGGUCACAUUUAGAAUAGUUAUUGCUACCAAAACUCCCCAAGAACACACGAAAAAAACACCAAUCAGUCCACUAGUUUAAGAACUAUAGACCCUUUUGAUGACCUAUCUCGGAUUCGCAAGAGGAACAAGAAAGGAAGUGAUAUCAAGAGUAAACACACUAAAAAAAAGCAAAAACACGUGAUGAACAAGAUGAACACAAGAACACAACUUUCAGAUUCAACAAGGUACAAAAACAGUCCACUGCAAACAUACAAAAUGCAAUAAGAUAAAGAUAGAUAGAUAGAUAGAUAAAUGAAGAUGUAAUAUUAACAACCCAAAAGCUUAUUCCACUUUUGGACCUUUAAUAUCACACACAACCUAAACCUAUCUCUUACGUGACCUUAAGGGAACCGGAAUCCCCAAGCAAUCUCUGUUUCUAAGUGAUUCAUCAACACAAGGAUUCCACCUUGCCCAAGGAUUUUACCUUGCUAAGAGGCUCUCAAAAGAGGCUACAAAUAUCAUCAAAAAUCAGCCCUAAAAUGACCUAAUAAGGUUAUAUUUAUAUCUAGGAAAACUUAUUACAAAUGAUCAAAAAAGCCUUGCAAAGGGGCAGAUGAAUAAUGAUGGAUGAACAGUAAUAGCUUUGGAGUGUGGGACUUGCUCUCUACACUUUAAAGCCUAUUCCUUGGAUGGGCAGCCCCACAAGAUGGGGUCUUCACUCACGUCUUCAUGUCCUCAAGUGCUAAAAUGCCUUUUUGACCCCUAUCAUCCUUCCCUCCUUAGAAAGGAUUCGUCCUCGAAUCCGAACCUUGCAAAAUGAUAGGAAGGACAAAAAAACAUAAUUUCCUCAAUGUAUGAGGGUUAGGGUUAGUGUAAUGAAUCAUAGCAUUAUGCCAAGGUUUCUCAAACUUCACGUAUACCCAAACAUCCCUCGAGUUCUCAAAAAUGAUACACCAAUCAUAGGAAACCCGAAUUACGUACAAGACAUGCUUAGCAUCAACAUAAUCAUGCUCACACAAUGCACAUAUGUCAUUCCCAAAUAUGGUUUGAAAUGAAUCAAUAUCACACCUUAAGUUAUCAAUGGGAUCAAAGGGGUAGGGUAUCUAUGGACAUGGAUGGAGGAUAUGCUUCUUUUCCCCGAGACUACCACCAAUACAAUCACAUAUUCCCUUUAUGCUAGGAUGAUCUACAACAAAAACAACUAGAGGUUAAUCUUUAGUCAAUCGAACAAAUUGUUCAACAUCACCAUUUUCACACAUAAGUUGGUUGUCAUGACUUCCAUAAGACAAUGUACUAUCACUUUCCACAAUGGAUUCAACACUAGGUGGAUCAACUAGUAUAUCUACAAUUUCAAGUUGUAAAUUAUCAUCACAAAAUAAAGGCACAUUCAGCUCACUUAAAGACAAACUAUCAUUCACACUAAGUUGGCUAUUAUCCUCAUUCACUAGAGUGCAAAAGUUAGUUUGAUUACCUUGUAGCUCAUGUGGAGCAUGGCCACUCACGAAAAUUUGAUUAGGAAGGCUUUGAUGCUCCAUCAAGUUAUCCAACUUCUUGCAAAGAGAGCCUUCCGUCCCUUCUAAUCUCCCUUCCAUUCUUUCCAUUAUUUGACCAUCGAUGGCAUCAAGCCUUGACAUGAUGGAUUUAACCCAACUAGGCAUUUCAGUUUCAUUCACCAUUGUACCUAUCAAGAUCUACUAAACAAACAUCACAAAAAUAUCAAACACGUUAAAAAAUUAGCAAAAAUUAGUCCGCAUGAUGUAUCAAAACAGUCCGCACACUCUCAAGCUCACGCUUUGGAAGUUUUCACUCUAUUGGCCUCACAAGUGUUGAUAACUCGCAUGUACUCCAAUGAGGUCACUUGGUUCCAACUGUGGCUAGAGGGGAUUAGAUUCUUGUUUUAAACGACUCAAAAAGUAAUGUACGAACUUGAACCAAAAAGAAUACUAUGACUCAAAAACGAGAAAAGCACACAACAAAUGCUAAACACGAAUGAACGAACACAAAGACUAACUAACAAUCUAGUAGAUGAGUACUAGUUUGCCAAUUAGUAUUGGAACCAAAGAAAUUGAAAGUAAGGAACAACAAAAGGAAACUAAGAAAUAUAAAAUUUGAGCCAAAAUUUGAUGAAUGAACAGUAUCUUGAUGAUGUGGCAGCCACGUAUUGGUCGCGGUUUCUACAAUUUUUAUUUUCCAAAGUCCAAUUCUUGACCAAUUUUAAUUUGGAUUGGUAGAAUUUGUUUCAAGGAGGGAAGAAUAAGUCUUGGAGCCUUUUUUUUUCAAGUUUCACAUUUCAAGACUUGACUUUUCUAGUACUUUUCCUUCAAACAUGGACCCUUGUUUCAUGGGAAAGUGGUUGAGAAGUGAUGUAAAGUCUUUAGUGUGUAGGAAAAGUCUUUGAGUCACAAGUACUACACCUUGAAACUUGGAUCUAUGUCUUGCAAGACUAACACAAUACAAACUCUUGUUCUUCAACUUCUAAGAUCAAUAACCAUUUUUUUCAACAAGGAGAUGGUGAAGAACACCAAGAACACAAACUUUGAGUCUUGAAGUUCUAAGGUUCAAGUUGGACCUCCCAAACAACAAUAAUAACUUCCCAAGCUUAAAUUCAACAACACAAAUUCCACAAUACACGUUCAAAACUUGAACUAACAACACAUCACACGUUCAAGUCUUGAACCCACAACAACAAUACCAACAACAAUCGGCCACACUUUGUUUACAUUAACAACAUCAACAUUUCAAGCUAAAAUAUAAGAUAUAGACUCAACGUGUUAGUGAAGAACAAAACUAACACUUAGAGACAACAAAGACAAGUAAAAAUAUUGGUCAAUACACAACAAAAACACAAUUUUUGGCCAAGAAAACAAAAUGGACAGAUUGAUAUUUUUCUGAAAUCUUCAAAUCUCAAAUUUUUAUUUUUAUUUUCAAGUGAGCUAGCCCAAGAUUUGAUCUUGUAAGAACAAUAUUAAUCUAUGCUCUGAUACCAAAUGAUACCAAAACUCCCCAAGAACACACGAAACAAACAUCAAUCAGUCCACUAGCUCAAGAACUAUGAACCCUUUUGAUGACCUAUCUCAGAUUUGCAAGAAGAACAAGAAAGGAAGUGAUAUCAAGAGUAAAUACACUAAAAAAAUAGCAAAAACACAUGAUGAACAAGAUGAACACAAGAACACAACUUUUGGAUUCAACAAGGUACAAAAAUAGUCCACUACAAACAUACAAAAUGCAAUAAGAUAAAGAUAGAUAGAUAGACAAAUGAAGAUGUAAUAUUAACAACCCAAAAGCUUAUUCCACUUUUGGACCUUUAAUAUCAUACACAAACUAAAUUGUAAUGUCCCAAUUUUCUGAAUUGAAAUGCUACACGGUGCUCAUGAUCCCAAGGGACCACAAGCUAACCCAUGACUGAUAUCUGUACCUGUACACUACAUAUAUAACAAAAUAAUGCGGAAAACAUGAACAUGUAGGCCAUAAGGUUCAACUAAAUACAGAAUCUGUCAAAACAUAAUAUCCAUAUGGGUGAAAAAUACCCAAAAUAGUUGAAAACUAAAUCAAAUCUGAACAUAAAUAUGAAUACUAAAUCUGAAAGCCUCUAAGUACUGUCUGAAUAAGAAGUUAAAGGAACAUGUCUCCAACUAACUCCAUAAACUGAUAACGGGCUAAAAUAAUAAUGAAUAAAUCAAAUCAUAUUGUCCUCGAAUGAAGAAGAAUCACUGAAUAUCUACGACUGGAAAUGCUCCUGCUAAUGCUGAUCUGGAGCUCGUGUCUCUGAACCUAUGGAAUAAUAUGAAAAGAAAUCACCAUAGCGCAAAUGUGUCAGUACGAUGGAAUGUACUGAGUAUACAAGUGAGGUAGGCUAAAUAUAAAUAGGGUUUACAUGCAUGAACAAUGCCAACUGUCUGACUGAUAUGAACGUAAAAGUACAAAUAUACAUACAUAGUAACUGAAAUUGUGGGUGCAUGAUAGUUAUUCCUGCAUGCUAAUACAUGGUUUACUGAUGGCUAAUAUGACUGAUACUAAAAUUUUGAUAACAUGGGCGACUGUAUCUGACAAUCCUGAAUCUGAUUGAAUUAUCUGAGCUCCGUACUAUAACUGAGUCUGACUGUAUCUGACAGUCCUGAUAUAUGAAAUCUGAAGACCUAUUUGAGUUCUUUUACUGAGAAUAAUUCUAAAACUGUGGGAGGUAGUUGUUUAACCAACACGCCCUAAUAAUGCAUAUAACUAAGUUAGGGUCUAAUCUCUGCCCUGACUGGAGGGGUGUCAAUACCGCGCCACUGGUAAGGACAGUUGUGAGUGACCCUUAGAGGGCAGGUAUUCGAAAGGAGAAUGGUGAGAACCCUAAACUGACAGGUUAAGCCACCUCAUCAACCCUAAUCUAAAAGGCUAAGAUGUCUCAACCUACGCUGGCUACGUAGUUCUAGAACACAAGGAUGACUGCUGAGAAUCACACCCUAAACUAGUAGGUGAGUUUCCAUCCUUGGGUUUACUCGAUGCUAAGUUCUACUCCCAUCUGAAGAGACUAAACAUGAUUCAAAUGACUGUACAUGGACAGAUUAACUGACUUCCGUUGACUGAUGGAGUAGUACUAUUAUCUAAGAGUUAACUGAAAUCAUGAGAUUUUGAGGUUUCCUGAGUCACAUGACUGACUGAGUUCUAUAGAUUAUAGCUUGACUGAGAUUAUCGUGACAACAUGACAUGGCUCUAGGCACACAGCUAUGUUUUUUGGGUAAGAAUACCCCCAAGACUCCAUAAAAGAAAACUGACACACAUGACAUAACUUGAUCACAAGAUUUGAGUCUACAAUUCAUAAUCAUAAGUAGGGGACAUCAUAUUUCAUAUAGUUAUUCUACAUCUUAAACAUUGUAGGGAAUGCAUGGAUAUAUUUUGUGCACAUAUUGUAUAUCUCCAUUAUCUUACAUGCUUCAUACCACCACAAUAGCAACACAUGAAAAGCAUGGAAUUCAUAUUGAAGUAUAUAGCUAACAUGGACUUCUCAUUUAGACAUCAUAGAAUCAUGCAAAAAUGAAUUUCUGGCAUCCUAAGCAUUUUAUCAAACACCUUGCAUGCAUUCUUUAAGGCAUAGGUGGGUUUUAUACUUGUACCAUAUUAAACCACCUAAAGUUCAUGGUUUUCAAUUAACAAACAUAUAUAUUCCAUGAAAACACUUUUAAUCACAUUGAAAAUUAAACAACAAUCAUCAACAUGUACAUACUCAUAUCACCAUAAAAAGUUUACAAAAUAAUAUUUAAAACAUGGUUCUUGAGCUCUAUGAAUGGAUUGGAUCCAUAGAUAAACACUACGCAUACCUUAGAAAGGAAACCUUGAUGAUUUGCUGGAGAGUUCUUGAAUUGGGAAAAUUAAUUAUCGAUUAUCUUGAAAAAAAGGCUUGAAUCUUGGUUUGGAGAGAUGAGUUUGAUGGAAACCCUAAUCUUGUAGCUGAGAGCGUAAGAAAGGGUUUUUGAGUUGCUUAACUGAAGAAAAAUGGAAAAAAUUACACCUCUUUAGGGUUAUAUGUCAUGAAAGGUGAAGGAAAUAACCAAAAUACCCUUAUGAAAUAAAUUUCCAGUUGCUGAAAAAUCAUAGCUAAUGACCUUCGUGAUAGGGCAUCACAAAUGUGAUAAGCUAUCACAAAUGUCUUCACUUAGGAGCUGGUUUCUACCUAAGGCUGACGACCUUCGUGAUAGGGCAUCACAAAUGUGAUAAUCUAUCAUGAAUGUCGUCACACUAUUUCCAGCCUGACAUGCUGGAGUAAAAUAGGAAUAACUCUUUUCUUCGAUAUCGAAUUUAGGAGAAAUGGGUAUAGUUGGAAAGGUAAUUCAAUUAUAUGUCUGUUGAUAGGUCAUGAGCUGAAAAAUUCCAAGUAUAAUGAGAUAUGUUCUCAUUUGAAGUUGACUAUACCAAUAUUCUUCUCAAGAAUUCAAUCGGUAAGGAAUGUUUGGAUUCGUCUGAUAGCUGGGAGUUAUUUGAAGCCUUAAUAUACAUCUAACUUACUCAUAAAACUAUAAAAUAACCAUGAUGUACUAUGCAUGAGCUUGGUACAUGGCUCUAAUAUUGGUUUGGAUUUUUCAGGGUAUUACAUAAACCUAUCUCUUACGUGACCUCAAGGGAAUCGUAAUCCCCAAGCAAUCUCUGUUUCUAAGCGAUUCAUCAACACAAGGAUUCCAUUGCCAAAACCCUUGAUUUUUUUAUUCAGGUAUAUUAUAUUACACUGGCCUAGUGUCAUGUGGCAUAUCAAAAUUAGAAACUCCAACCUUAGCGGCACACUCGGGUUGGGGGCUUCCUCGAGUCAAUGGCGGAUUCCAUACGGCCCAUGGGAUUUUAGAAUUGUAGGGGUGUACCACCUAACUCAGAAUUAAUACAAAGAUCAUAAACUGCAUUGUCAAUAAUGAUUUAUAAUUUUUCAGAAAGGUGCCCAUGUGUUUUGAAAACUAUUUUAUGUAUGAUGUUUUGACAAAUUUCUAUCCAUUAUUUUAUUUAUAUAAAACCUUUAUUUUUGGAUUACUUUGCAUACCAGUACAUCUGUAUUGACUCUCUCCCCCUCCCUCCAAGUUCUGAGGAUCAGUCUAGGGGUCCAGAUAAAUGGUAGAUAAUUCAGACAGUAGAUCAGGUUGUGCAGUGGUAAGCCUUCUCUAUUUUAGAAGUCCUGUUCUUUCAGAUUAUGUCCUUUAUUAUAGUUUUGGUCUACUAAGGGCCUUGUCCCAAUUUCAGACAGUUGUUAUUUAAUCAUGUAGUAGAGAUUUUGCAGACGGUGUUUGGUUGAUAUUGGAUUUUAUUCCUUAUUAUUAAACUAAAUUUAGAUAUUACCAUGUUUUCGUAGCAAAAUUUAUUUCUACAUUUCCUAUUUAUAUAUAUAUAUAUAUAUAUAUAUAUAUAAUUACAAUUUUGAAGGGCUCUUGGGCCUUCAUGGUUUGGGAUGUACGUCACGGCCAGGGCCCCGAUUCAGGUCGUGAAAAACUUAGUAUCAAAGCACGGUUCAUGGUCCUACGGUGUCUGCGAAAUUGCAUUGGGUAGAGUCUUGUUUAUGGGUGUGUAGUGCGCCACACUUAUAAGCAGGAGGCUACUAGGCGUUUAGGAGUGUCUCCCUUUCAUCAUGUUCUAGUUCAUGCUAUGGAGUUAGAAUAUUCCUCUUUCUUACUCUAAUUCGUUCUAUGGUGUCGCCCAUACGAAAGUAAUAGUCAUCCUUAUUUUUUCCUUACUAUGAUGUUCUCAGACAUGUCUCAUUAUUGGGGUGAUUCAAGUGCAAAAGUUUAGAGUUUCAAUGGUAUGGUCCUUUCUGAUUGAGCUAUAUAACAUUUUGAAAUUGUGAAAGGAAUUAUGAAGAGUCCAUUAGUGCUUGAGGUUGUAUUAAUUCUAGUGUGAACCUUGAUCUUGAUAAAAUCGUGCUUUUCAGCCAGCGAUAUUAAGUGUAUUCAGUCUUUUAUUCAAAAAUUUAUGUUGCAGAUGUCAUGCUUUUGGGAGGAUUAUGUAUAGCAGAAUGUUGGAACUGUAUUUCCACCUGAGUAGUAGUAUAAGUUAAGUGUCGGUGUCAUGACCUAUUGGUAGUGAUGUUGGACCAAGAAGUUGGUGAUGUGAAGUCACAAAGUUAGAAGUUAGAGUGAGGGUGACUUUUGUGUAAAUAAUAUUUUAUUUGCAUAACCAAUGUUGGAGGAUGAUCUACCCCUUUAUAGUGAUAAACUAAUGUGGUAGCUCGUAGCAUGUGUGUAUUGCAUGGUAGUCUGUGGGGGAAGUGUUUGACUCAGAUUUUAUUUAUACAGAGUAAGAUGUGUAUUCUUAGAUCAUUGAUUAUUGUGUGUCAAGUUUCUAACUCCUGUAAUCUUGUUAUCAUUGUAUUAUUGAAACUCAAAGUCUAGUGAAGCCGUGUGGGGCUCUUUCGAUUCACUAGCAUAGUUUCCUUGUCAUUCAUCUCAUUUCCUUAUUCAAAACACAAAAAUCAAAGUCUAGUGAAGUCGUGUGAGACCUAUUUUGAUUCACUAGCAACUUGUUGUUCAUCUUGUUGUUCUUGUGUUGGUUGGAACUGGGGUUUUAAAGGCGUAAUGGAAAGAAAAGUAGUAAGGGCUAUUUAUUGAAUAUAUGUUUAGCCAAUUUUUUUUUCAUGAGACUGAGUUAGUAAUGAAGUGAUACAUCCUUGUAUGUUAGUUUAGUAGAAGACAGAGAAGGAGUUAUUAGUCAAGGUGAAUUGUUGGUUGCCUGAAGUACGAAAAUGACUAGCUUGGCCAGUAAGUUAUAAUUAUAGACUCGUGGUUGUUUAUGGAAUCUGAAGGUAGUCUAAAUGUACGCUUGGGUAAGUAAGUGUGAUGUGGGAAAGAUGUAUAAUUAGAUAAGAUCGUACGGGGUUAUAAUAUAAGAUUAACGUUGACCAUGUCUACUAUGUGACUUUACCCCCCCCCCCCCCUUUCCUUCUUUUCGUUGGUAGUUGUAAACUAGUACUACUUGUGAGAAGGUAUGUAGUAGAUUUUUGAGGUAUUUGGAUGGAAUAUCCCAAUUUGAUGGACUAGUAUAUUGUGUUGCAUUCUUCAUCGAAGGUAAAUGAUUGAUGUUAGACUAUAGGCUUAAAUUUAAUGUAGGCUAUGACGGAAGUAGUAUGGUUCAUCAAAGGCUUGGUGAGAUCCAUGCUAAGUGUUAGAAUCUAAGUUUGAGUUUUUAAAGAUUGAGCUAAUAGAAAUAAGAGUUGAGGAACUAGAAGGUGUACACUCCGACUAUAGGGAUACUUGUGAAGACCCGAAGUUAGUAAGUGUGCAAGUAUUAUAUGAUGACAAUUGAUGGCUAUAGAAAGAUAAAGUGUAUCUUAGAAGGUAGUACUUUUCACUUUUAGGUGUAUUCAUUCGGUUUAAGUUUUAUGAUAUGCGUGUAUGGUCAUUUUCCAGACCCCGGAGUGCAAUGAGUGUAGUUCAGUUUAAAGUCUAAAAAGAGAUCUAUCAAACUUAAGUGGUGGCUUGAAGCUAAGGGGGAGAUGAUAGAUCAAAUAACCAAGUCAGGCUCUCAGAUUCUGAUAGUAAUGCCAGUGUGACAUAGAACAUUAGAAAGUGAGGGUGAGACUCAACCCAUUCUCAUCUCAGUAUUUUUCAGCUAUCCCAAUACCUACUCAUGCUUUGCGUUUCGGUUCAAUCAUCAUAGUUCCUGUUCAUGUAUAUGAUAGAGAAUCACGUGCUCUUCCAGUUCCUAAAUGAGAAAUUAUAGUUCAUUCAAUAGUCGGGAUCACAUUCCAUAAGUUAUGAACUCCAAAUUGAGGUCAUAUAGCUCAUAACUCGUGUACUCACGCUUUAUAGUUUGCUUAGUACCUAUAACUUAUGCUAUACACCUAAUGAUUGGCAAGGUUGAACCAUAUGGAAGAAUAAGCGAUGCACCCCUUGUUGUGUCCGAAAUAUAGAAUGAAAUAGAGGUAAGAUUAGCAAGUUGCUUCAGUUGUGUACCCUUUAUUUUCUCUUUACUCUUAGUAUACCCAACGUCAUUCGAGGACGAAUGUCCCCAAGGGGGAGAUAUUGUGAUGCCCCGCACUUUUCUAAGCUAGAAAACGAACUAUUGUUCGUAUAUGAGAAAACCCCAAUUUUGUAAGCCAUAUUUGGGAACCUAAACUACCAAGAGUACCCUAGUUAUAAGAGAGCUUAUGAUGUGUUAAGUGUGGUUAUAUGAGUCACUUAAGGUAGUACAAGCUAAGAGUUUUGAAAUCCAUCAAGUUUUAAUGUUUGAAUUUGCAAGGGUCAUCUUUGAAUGAGCAUAACUUGAUAAAUAUGUGGUAUUUCUGCAUAUUUCUACCCACAAAAUUAUAGAGAAUCGAAUUAGCUUUCCAAAGAUACCAAUUUCACCAAAAUCCGACACCCGAGCUAGGAGUUAUGGCUUUGCGAAGAAGAGUGCGUCGCCUAACCAAUCGCACAUGCACACUGGAAAGCAUAUGCGGCGCCUAUGUAAAUAUAGGAGAUAUCAUAUGCGGCGCCUAUGUAAAUAUAGACGAUAUCAUAUGUGGCGCCUAUGUAAAUAUAUGCGAUAUCAUAUGUGGCACAUAUCUAAUGGUUUCAAGUGACUUAAACACUCUGUUUUUGGGUUAUUUUGAGGGCAAUUAAGUCUUUUGGCACUCCUUACACACCCCUAAACUUAACCUUAUGAAACGAGUUACGGAUUUUAUCAUUUUUUUAACUUAAGAAAUAUGAGAUUACCCUUAAAAUGGAUUUUUCUUGAGAUUUUUUAGCAUAAUAUUGGGAGUAAUAUUUAGCACCGAGUUGGGUAUGUUACUACGGUUUCAUACCCUAGAACUACGUGCCAUCGUAGGUUGAGACAUUGACUUCCACUAUAUGUAGAAAAUUGAGAUAGGGAUCACUGAGAUGAGAUUGUUCUACACCGAUGGAAAGGGUAGGACAGCCCUAACCUUACGGGGGCAAGUCGUGGGACAUCAUGGGUGCUCACAUGGUGUACAUGUCGGUUAAAAGAACCUCCCAAAGAGUCAUCCCUCAUUCUUAGAUUGUUUUUACUGAUUUAAAAGAGAUUUGAAAUACAGAUUUAGGAUGUAUUCAAUAUUCCAGAUUUCACUAAGAUUUCUUGAUGAGAGAAUAAGAAAAGAAUCUUGAUAUUUGGAUUAAGUGUAAUGACUCAUGAUAUCUAGAUUGGCAUAUUUUACCAUUCAUUGUGUAUGAUUUCAGAUUUUAGAUUUCUUUCAAGCUUUAUGAGCCAUUUACAAAUGUCCUGCAUGAUUUGGAAAGAAAACUUAUGACAUGAUCGUUAAAUAUAUAUAUAUAUAUACAUAUAUGCAUAUAAAUAUGUUUAUUUCAUGCACCCCCAUGUACUCGGUACAUAUUCCAUGGUACUGACCCAUAUGUUCGCAUGUGGACUACAUUUUUCCUAUAAUGUAGGUUCAGGUGCUCAUUCCCAGGUUUGAUCGUGAUUAUCCGAGCAUGUAGAUCUACAUCCUCUGCAGUGGUGAGUCGUCAUGGUCCGAGGACUGGUUAUUUAGAUUUCCUCAUUUACUUUGAGUCGUUCAGUUUAUUUCCUGAGUUCGGGUCAGUUGGAGUUUGUCCCAAUGGCUCAUGGAUAUAUAGUUUAGUAGAGGCUUGUCACACUAGAUGGAUAGAUUGAUCAGAUUUGUUAGAGACAUCGUAUUUUGUUACUUUUCGUAUUUCAUUCGUAUUGCAGUAUGAUAUUAUGGAGGAUGUUUUGAUUAUGAUGACUUUGAUUAGUGUUGAAUGGUAGAAAAAUGGCUAAAAGGGUUAGCUUGGGGAUACUUGUAGCCUUAAGCACCGUGUGACGCCUCGGGACCCAUUUUCGGGGGGUUACAGCUAUAUCCUUUCUUAGAAGACAUAUCAUGUCCAUGUUAUUCCAUACCUUAAAGACUUUAACAUUCCUACUGUAAUGCCCCAAUUUUUUAAAUCGGAAUGCUACACGGUAAUCAUGACCCGAAGGACCACAAGCUAACCCAUGACUGGUAUUUAUACAUGUAUACUGCAUAAAACACUGUAUAAUGCAGAAACAUGUACUGAAAGGCCAUAAGGUUCAAAUCUGAAUAAACAUCUGAUAAGAACAAUGUCUGAAAAAUGGUAUAACAAUACCAAAACAAAUUUGAAAUAACUAUCUGACAUGCUAUAGUCUGAAAUCCUCUAAUUAUCUAAAUAAGGAGUUGAUGGGACAUGUCCCCAAGUAACUCCAAAUACUGAAAUAAACUGAAAACUGCAAUAGUAAUGAAAUCAUCAUGUCCUCGAAAGAUGAGGACUCACUUCUAACUCUGACUGCUGAGACUGGAAUCUACUACUAAUCUGGAGCUUGUGCCUCUGAACCUAUGGCGUAAGAUAAAACACCAUAGCACAAAUGUGCCAGUAUGUCUGAAUGUACUGAGUAUACGAGUGAGGUAGGCUAAAUUCAAAGGGUUAUAUGCAUGAACAAUGCUGACUGAUAUGAACGUGAGAAUACAUACAUGCAUCGAUAACUAUAACUGAACUCGUGUUGAUAUUGACUACUAUGUCUGAAUACUGACAACAUAAGUUUGCUAGUGCUGAAUAGAUGAAUGACUAUUUCUGACAGUACGAAUUAUGAAGAACUAGUCUGAUUGAUUGUGUCUAACAGUUUUGAAAUUGAAUACUGAUAACGUAAGCUAUGAUGACUAAUAUAGCUGAUAUGACUAUGAUGGUCAGCAUGACCGAUGUAACUGAUACUGAGCAAAUGUAUCUGAUAGUCUAAGUUCUGAUGGAACUAUCUGAGUUUCGUACUAUAUCUGAUUAACUGAAUUUGAGAUCAGUCCAAUCAGUGGAUUUGACUUAGUCUGAGAUCAGUCCUAUCAAGCGGGUGAUCUUUAAAUCUGAUGAUUUAAAUACUGAUUGACCAUAGUUGAGAUCAGUCCAAUCUAAUGGGUGAUCCCUAAGUCUAAUGAUAAUGAUAAGGAUUGACCGUAUCUAACAGUCCUGAAUCAAUACUACUGAGCUGAAUUGACUAUACCAGACAGUCCUAAAUCUGUAACUAAAACUGUGGGAUGUAUUCAUCUAACCAAUAUGCACCAUGCUAAGCUAAUUGGGGGUCCAAUCUCUACCCUGAUUAGAAGGGAGUCAAUACCGUGCCACCAGUAAAGACAACUGCUAUGGAUUCAGUCCUAAUCUAACGGGUAACCCCUAGGAUUAGUCCUAUACAUAUAAAUAUGCUAACUAGUGAUCCCUGAGUAUGUUAGCCCUAUCUAAUGGGUGACAUCUCGUACCUACGCUGGCUAUGUAGUUCUGAAACUUAGGGAUUGCUUCUAGGGAUCUCAGUCCUAUCUAGCGGGUGAGUCCCUAUCCCUAGGCUCACUCAGUGCUGAAUCCUUCUCCUAACUAAAAGAACACAGUUUUGAUUAAUUAAACUGAACUAGACUGAGUUUACUGAGUUCUGUGACUGAUGGAAUACUACUAAUAUCUGAUAGCUGGCUGAGUUCAUAAUAUUACUGAUCUUACUGAGUGUUGAGUUCAUGAGAUUACUGAUCUUACUGAGUACUGAGUUCAUGAGAUUUCUGAGAGUACUGAAUUAUAGAGAUUACUGAAGUUAUCAGGUACUGAGAUUUCUAAAAUUAACUGAGAUUAACUGAGAUUACUGAACUACUGAGAAUGCUAAGGUUUCUAAGUUUUCCUGAGUCACAUGACUAACUGAAUUCUAUAGAUCAUGGCUUGACUGAGAGUAUUAUGAUAACAUGACAUGACUCUAGGCACACAACUAUAUUUUUUUGGGUACAAGUACCCCCAGGACUCGAUGGAAGGAAACUGACACAACAUGACUUACUUGAUCAUAGGAGUAAAGUCCACAAUUCAUAAUGUCAUAAGUUGGGGAUUUCAUGAAGUACAUGGUCAUCAUAAUCUUGAACAUGGAAGAUAAUGCAUAUAACAUGUACAUACUUUCAUGGGUCCAAUUUCAUGAGCAUUCCAUAUCACAACAACAAUACAUAAUAAUUUGCAUGAAAUUCAUGUUGAGUCAUAAGGGAUAGAGCAUGGACUUGUCAUUUAGGUUCUACUAAGCUAUAAUGCAUGAUUUCUAGUCUCUUAGGUAUUUUAUCAAACACCUUGCAUGCACACUUUAUGGCAUAGUCAUAUUCAUCACUUUAAUAAUUCAAACCACCCAAAAUUUAUAUAUUUCAAUAUACAUGUCAUCCUAGUUUCAUAAAAUUACAUAAAGAUUCUAACUUGGGAGUUGUAUAACAAUCAAUCACACAAACAUAAUCGACCCACAACAUAACCUCAUGAUUCAUAAUUUAAAAGAGGGUUCUUGAACUUUAUGGAUGAAAGGGAUCCAUAAAUCAACACUACGCAUACCUUAGCUCUUGAUUUAUUGAAGAUUGACGGAGAGAUUCUUGAAAUUUGAUGGUGAAUUCCCUUGGAAUUGAUCAUUCUAUGAAAAUCCUAGCUUGUGUUCUUGAGAGUUUUUGAAAGAAACUAACAAUAUUUGGGUGAAAAUAUAAGGAAUCUCGUGUUAAAGUAGCUUAUAUAGGGGUUGGAAGGUUACAAUUUUGCCCUUGGGAACACGGACUGGAUUGCUGAAAAUUGGCCCAAGGCUAUAGCAUGGGCGGCGCCCUGCCUAGCCCGGGGGAAUAACCUGGGCAGCACCUAGCUACAACAGUGCAGUAACCAGGGCGGUGCCUUGGCUACAGCGGUGCUGAAAGCUGGGCGUCGCGGGCUUAACCCCUUUUGCUACUGGUUUGGCACACCAAACGUGCCCUUACGCUACUCCAAAAAUUUCAAAAUUUAUCCGAUAUGUACUACGACCUUGUCCCAUCGCAACGCAACUCGGAAAUUAAAAAAUGAAGGUCGGAAAGGUCUUCAAAUAAAUCCACAAAGUUCGGAGGUCUAAAAUAAGACUAAGUGUUGAAAACUUAGCAAAGUUUUCUAAGUCUUGGAGCUUGUGAAGCCUAACGAUCGAAAUUUUAGACUUAGGAUUUUACGGGGUAUUACACCUACCCAUCAUUUGUGGACGAAUGAUCCCAAGGGGAGAUAAUGUAACACCCCGCAUUUUCAGGGUAGAACAUAAACUGUCAUUCCUACAUGUAGAUAUUCCAAAAGGCCAAAAAUACAAUUCAAAUUUGGUAUGUUAAUCAAUUAUGUAGUGUGGUAACCUAUUUGAGCAUGAAUUUAGAUCAUAGAGUUCCCCUAACUCAAGGUCAAGUUGAAAGCUUUCCUAUCGUUCGAGUUUUAGUGAACGUCAAAACUUGAGUCAACUUCAAUUGAACAUAACUACUUAUAUAUGAUGAACUGGGUGGUCUACUAUAUAUCAAAUGAAAUCUCUUCAAAUUAUCUUUCCAAAGAUACCAAUUUCGCACAAAACCAAUACCGGAUCAAAAUGUUAUGCCCAUUUUACUCCAGCAUAUCAGCCUGGCAACUGAGUGAUGACAAUUCUGACGGCUUGUCACAAAUUUGAUGACUUAUAGAAUAUGUCGUUAGCCUUAGUUAGAAAAUCAUAAAUUUUAAAUCCUAGGUGACGACCUGGGCUGACGGGCUAUCACAGAUCUGACGGCUUCUCAGCCUUGGUCGUCAGCUGAAAAUUUCAGCAACUGGAAAGUGAUUUCGUAGGGAUAUUUUGGUCUUUUUCUCACUCCAAAAUUGUUUCAAAUGAAUUAAAUCACCCCUUAAGUGUUAUUAAUCCAUAUAUUAUCAGUUUUACAACAUCUCACUCCUCUCUACUCUCAAGAACAAGAUGAAAACUAGGGUUUCCUCCAAGAUCAAGAAAUCAAGAAAAUCAAUCCUUAAGUUCAAGAUCUCCAAGAAACAAAUCAAGAUUCAAGUUUCCUUCCCUUCCAUAUAUCAAGAAUUCAUCUUUCUAAGUGAAGAUAUUCAAGAAAGGGAUCAAGAUCCGGGUUUCAUCUAUCUAGAUCCGGGUUUCAUCUUUCAGAUCUUAUAAUUUAAGGUACGGGGGGGUUUUCUAAAAUCUCAUGAGCAUAGAAAUCAUGUUUUUAGGAAAAGGGUUUCAGACUUAUGAACAUAUUCAUGUUUUAGAAGCAUUGAUGAUAUUGUUUUGGCCUUUAGGCCUUCCCCCAAAUUGAUUUAAAGUGAUACAUAUAUAUAGGUAUGUGUUUUAAGGUUGAUAAUUGAAUUGAGAGCAUGAUUCAUGUAAAAUCUCUCUCUGGUUAUGAUUUUUCUUUUACUUAUGACAUGCUAUGGAUUGUUCCGAAUGUGUUUCGAAAAGCUUGAUAUGAAAGGUCUUGAAUAACGUCAUAUUCGGAUUAUGAUUUUGAUUUAUAAAAGAGAGAGGGUAGUUUACGUUGAUAAAUGUGAAAAUAUUCAUAUAAUGAAAAAGUGGAUGAUUUUUCCAAAAGCACAUAACCACCAUAUGUUUGAGGAAUUCUUGUAUAGUUUUGACUUAUGUUUCGGAACAUGAAAUCUCUUAAACUAUUUGCAUGUUUGGGUGGUCUGAGCUAUGUUUAAUGGAAGAAUCAUGCAUGAUGCAUUAUGGCUCAGAAAUAGGACUUGCAAGUCUCGGUGUGACGACACCAAUUCAGAUUAUGCCAUGAUAAUUCAGAAUAGAAUAGAAUGCACGUUUGAAAUCAGACUUUUCAGAUGUUGAAACUAGAAAAAUGCAUGAUUCAGAAUAGGAUAAAAUUAGGCAUAAAGAGAUCUUAGGAGGUUCCCCGAAGAAGGCACGAGUUCAGACAACUCACUUUCCAAAACUGUGAUUUGCCGAUCCGGGUAUAUUAUAUUACGCUGGCCUAGUGUCGUGUGGCGCAUCAGAAUUAGAAACUCCAACCCUUGCGGCACACUCGGGUUACGGGCUUCCCCACCAAGUCAAUGGCGGAUUCUAUACGGCCCGUGGGAUUUUCGACUUGUAGGGGUGUACUACCUAACUCAGAAUUAAUACAAAGAUCAGAAACUGCAUUGUCAAGAAUGAUUUAUGAUUUUUCAGAAAAGUGCCCAUGUGUUUUGAAAACUAUUUUAUGUAUGAUGUUUUGAAAAAUUUCUCUCCAUUAUUUUAUUUAUAUAAAUUCUUUAUUUUGGAUUACUUUGCAUACCAGUACAUCUGUAUUGACCCCCCCUCACUCCAAGUUCAGAGGCUCAGUCUAGGGGUCCAAAUAAAUGGUAGAUAAUUCAGACGACAGAUCAGGUUGUGCAGUGGUGAGCCUUCUAUAUUCUAGAAGGCUUGUUCUUUCAGAUUAUGUCCUUUUAUUAUGGUUUUGGUCUACUGGGGACCCUGUUCCAGUUUCAGACAGUUGUUAUUUAAUCAUUGAGUAGAGAUUUCGCAGACGGUUUUCAGGUGAUGUUUAGUUGAUAUUGGAUUCUUUUCCUCAUUGUUAAAUUAUAUUUAGAUUAUGACCAUGUUUUCGUAGAAGAUUUUAUUUCCAUAUUUCCUAUUUAUAUAUAUGAAUGGUGUAUAUGAUUACAAGUUAGAAGGGCUCUCGGGCCUUCAUGGUUUGGGAUGUCCGUCACGGUCAGGGCCCCGGUUCGGGUCAUGACAAGUUGAUAUCUAUCAGUAUUUGAAGUAGCCAUCUUUUAGAGAGAAACUGGGAGUAAAUUUCCCCUAUAUAAGGGCUUCCUUUAUUGUAAAUCGUUCCUCCAGAGAAAAAAAUAAUUACUCUCUCUAAUCUUGUUCUUCUCUACUUUAUUUUUUAUAAUAUAUUAUUAGUACGAGACUCUACCAAUGAAGAUAUUUAUUUGAUUGAUUCCGGCACUACACAUACGAUAUUCAAAGACGAUAAAUAUUUCUCUCAUCUAAACAUGGGCUAGAUUAAUGUUACUACAAUUUUUGGUAGCGCUAAUUUGAUUGAAGGCUUCGGAAAAGCCAUUAUAAUCUUGCUCAUGGGAGCUAAACUCAUCAUAAUUAUGCUAUGUUUUCUCUUAAGUCUGGGAGAAACUUGUUGACUUUUAAAGAUAUGGUGAAAAUGGUUAUCAUAUCAAGACAAUUAUGAGCUGAAUCUUGAAUAUCUUGGUAUCACCAAGAAUGUCUCAGGGCAGAUAUGUAUUAUAGAAAAGUUCUUUGCUUUAUCUUCUGGCAUGUAUUGAACAAAGAUUUGUGCAAUUGAGGUACAUUCUAUAGUAAACCAGAAGUUUACUAAUUCCAGUACUUUCGUACUUUGGCAUGCUUGUCUGGAACAUCCUUGAUCUAUAAUGAUGAGACGAAUUAUAAAAAAUUCAAAUGUGCAUCCAUUAAAGAACUUGAAGGUUCUUUCAAAUGGUGAAUUUUCAUGUAAUGUUUUUUAUCAAGGCAAGAUAAUUGUGAGGCAAUCACCAACAAAAGUUGGGAUUGAGUCCCCCACGCUCUUGGAACAAAUACAUAGGGAUAUUUGUGAACUCGUUCACCCACCUAAUGGGUUGUUUAGAUACUUUAUGGUCCUAAUAGAUGCUUUUUUAAAUGGUCUCGUGUGUGCCUAUUGUUAUCUUGCAACUUGGCAUUUGCAAAAUUAUUGGCACAAAUAAUAUGAUCACGGAAACAAUUUCCUAAUAAUCAUAUUAAAUCUAUUUGCCUUGAUAAUGCUGCAAGAUUUUCAUCCCAAGCAUCUAAUGACUAUUUCGUAUCGAUUGGUAUAAGAGUGGAACAACCUGUAGCUCGUGUUCACACUCAAAAUGGCCUUUAUGAGUCAUUAAUUAAACAUUUCAGUUGAUAGCAAGACCAUUACUUAUGAGAACUAAGUUUUCCACUUCUAUUUGGGGUCAUGUGCAACACCCCGUAUUUUCCUAGCAUAAUGUAAGUCCCAAUACAAGAGUAUUCAUAUAUAUAAUAUUUUUGAAACACUCAUUAUUUUUUAUUUUAGAGCCUACCAUUGCGUAGGAAAUUGAAUUAGCUUUCCAACGAUAUCAAAUUUGCCAAAAUCCAAUAAUCGGGUAAGAAGUUAUGGCGAUUUAAAGUUUUAGUCGUUAAACACCGUCAUUUUAACCCUUAGCUCGUCACGUAGGCAGCCCAAAUAACAAUUAUUGACUUCCAUUGUGACUCCGCGAUUAUGGCACGUCGUGGAGAAGACCAAUUUCUCGUUUGUCAAUUUCCAGUGAACCUCCGCAAUCAUGGCACGUCGUGGAGGUGGACAAAUUGGCAUCCACAGGCUUACAAUGAUAGUGGCAUAUCGCGGCAUUUAUCCAGGUCCCAGUUGUCCCUUUUUCAGUGGCUUGGCAUGAUAGUGGCGCAUCACACCAAGGCCAAAAAUUGGGAUUUCAGUUUCUAGCUUGUGUUUUAAAUUUGUUUAAGAGUAUUUGGGUCUUUUCCCUAAGCCCUAAACCCGUCCUAAACACGAAAUUUAAAUCCUAAUUGACCUAAAUACCCAUCAUUAUUCACUUUCUCUCGAAUUAAAAAUCCCUUUUUUCAAGAACAAGAAAUUCUAGCUCUCAAGAAUCAAGUUCAAAUCUCAAGAACACACCAUCAAUCCUUCGAAAUUCAUCCAUUAAGGUAUGUUGGAUGUUCAUCCACGGAUCCCUUUCAUCCAUGGAGUCCAAGUAUCCAUUUUAUUACAAAUCUAUCAUCUUCUCAAGUUUAUUUGAUUUUAAAUUAUGAUUUCAUCCAUGAAUCCCCAUGUACUAGUGAUUUCAUACCAUGUCACCAUGAAAUUAUUGUUAUUAUUCAAUCCUCCACGUUUUAAUAUUGCUAUUUACUAAAAAAAACCAUGAUUUAACUCUAUUAUAUCGAAUUCAUGCUAUUUCUAUAUGUUUUAGGACAUUCCUAUGAUUGUUUUGAACCAUGAACUACAAGUGUUUGAUAAAAUGUUACAAGAGUAAAUGUUUUAUGGAUGCGUUCAUACUAUGUCCUCCAAUGUUCUUGUGUCAUGCUACUAUUAUUGUUUUGAGUCCUAGCGGUAUUGAAUACCUGAAAUCGUAGCUGUUUACUUAGUGUUGUUUUAGUAUCUUCAGAAUAACUUCAGAUUGUAUCAUGAGUAUUAUCAGAACACUCAGUUAAACUCAGAACAGUCUAGUAUGUCAGUGUCUUUCAGUUGGGAGUAGGAUUUAGCACCGAGCGAGUGUAGGAAUGGAGGCUUCCCCGUCAGAUAGGCAGAGUCGUUAGUAGCAGUCCCUAUACUCUAGGACUACGUAGACAGCAAAGGAUAUGAGAAUUCACCCGUCAGAAUAGGAUUGACUAUCUCACAGGGGUCACUCGUCAGUUUAGGCUUGACACCCUUAGUCCUAUGGACAUUAUAUCAGUUUAGUGGAUCCACACAUCCAAUGUUAGUACCCAUGACACGGUAUUAACACCCAUCCAACUAGGGUUAUAGGUUGAACCCCGAUUAGCUCAGAUUAGGACAUGUCGGUUAGAUGAUACCUCCUACAGUCUCAGUAUAGUCCUAAUUCAGUUAUGCAGUCUUAGAGUUAUUUGACCAAAGCAUACAGAUAUCAGUAUUUUGUCAGUAAUUAGUUUACAUAUUUUACUCAGUCUAUGUUAUAUACUUGGUCAUGCAUCCUCAGGGUCUAUAGAUUUUCAUGUAUUUUCAGUAGUUACACUCUCAUGCAUAUACAAUAUUUACGUGCUUUACAUAUCUCCGGUAUCUAUAGAUUUCACAUCCUAUACUCAGUACUCCAUGCUUACAUGUAUAUUCAGAUAGUUUAUUACUCCUAUUCAUGAAACCUUGCAUGUCAGCCUACCUCAUUUAGCAUACCAGUACAUUCAAAGUACUGAUCGCAUACUUUUUCUUUUGCACUAUGAUGUCUCAUAUCAUAGGUGCUGGCGCUCAGUUCCUGGAUCGCACCUAGAUUCUCAGAUUAUCAACAGAACAGUAGCAAUGGUGAGUCCUCAUCAUCCGAGGACAAAUUAUAUUACUUCAUGUCUUUAUCCCAGUAGUUAGUAGAGUUAGUUAGGUCCUGUCCCAUCAACUCACAGUAUUCAGUUCAGAGGCUUUUCAGACACUACAGUUAGCUAUUCAGAUUUCAGUAUUAUACCAGAUUCAUAAUUCAGUAGUCGUUUCAUUAUUAAAACCUUAUGGCAUUUUAGUUAUUCUUCCGCAUUCAUGAUUAUAUUAUUCAAUGCCCACGGCAGGUACCAGCUCAUGGGUUAGCUUGUGGUCCCUCGGGAUCAUAAGCACCGUGUAAUGACUAGGGGGUAGUCUCGAGUCGUUACAUCAUGCAAUUUUGCAUGCUACAACACUUGUUCGUCUUAGACUGACAAAUCAUCAUAAAUUUUCUCUGUUGUAAUUAGUUGGUUCAAGAGCCUAAUACAUCUCAUCUGAGAAUUUUUGGGUGUGUUGUAUAUGUGCCUAUAGCACCACCAAAUCUCACCAAGAUAGGCCCCCAAAGUAGGUUAGGAAUUUAUGUUGGGUUUGAAUCACCCUCCAUUAUUCGCUAUCUUGAACCAUUAAUGGGAGAUAUGUUCACUGCUCGAUUUGCAGAUUGUUGGUUUGACGAGAUAGUUUUUCCAAAAAUUAGGGGGGAAAGAUAGUGACAUCAAAAGAGAAAUUUUAUGAAAAAAUUCAUCAAUAUCUCAUCUUGAUCCACGUGUUUUUAAUUGUGAGCAAAAAAUACAAAAGAUUAUCUAAAAAGGAUCACCAAAUCACAUAUUCUUGUAAAGAAUGUACCAAUUCGAAUUGAUAUCCCUAAAGGAUCAUCCACCAGUGGCAUAGCUAAUGAGUCCAAAGUACGCUUGAAGUGUGGUAGAUCAUUGGAUUCUAAGGAUCGAAAUCCUAGAAAAAAAAUAGAUUAUCAAGAUGACACUACGAAAGAUCCUCAUAUGGAAAUUCAAGAUUUUGAAAAUGUUGAUAUCCUUAAAGGAAUCAUUGGGCCUGAGACUCAAGAAAAUGAGGAACUAUCCAUAAAUUCAAGUGAUGUUGGAACUAAUUUGAAUCGAUCCAAAAUAGUAGUGGAUUAUGUCUUUGCAUAUAAUGUUGCAACAAAAAUCAUGCAAGAUAGUGAAGAUCUUGAAUCUCAAUCUAUCAUAGAAUAUCGACAAAGAAAUGACUAGCCAAAAUGGCAAGAAGCUAUUCAAUUUGAAUUGAAUUCACUUCUUAAACGUGAAGUUUUUGGACCUAUAGCUCAGACACCUAAUGGUGUUAAGCCUGUUGACUACAAGUGGGUUUUUGUACAAAAAAGAAUUGAGAAAAAUAAAAUACAAAGGUAUAAGGCACAUCUUGUUGCAUAAGGAUUUUCACAACGGCCUGGUGGCGAUUAUGAAGAAGCAUAUUCACCAAUUAUGGAUGCAAUAACAUUGCAUUAUCUUAUUAGUUUCACUGUUCAUAAGAGACUUGAAAUGCAUUUGACGGAUGUGGUAACAAUCUAUCUAUAUGGAUCACUUGAUAAUGAGAUAUACAUGAAAAUUUCCGAAGAAUUUAAAAUUUCAUUAGAUUGCAAAGAUCAUUGUAUGGUUUAAAGCAAUCUGGAUGCAUGUGGUCUAACCGUCUUAGUGAAUAUUUAUCUAAGGAAGGUUAUAUGAAUGAUGAAAUUUGCCCAUGUAUUUUUAUAAAGAAAACAACGUCGAAGUUUGUUAUACUUAUUGUCUAUUCGAUGACAUAAACCUUAUUGGAACUCCAAUAGAGCUUUAAAGGGCCAUUGAUUACCUAAAGAAAGAAUUUGAGAUGAAAGAUCUCAGAAAGACAAAAUUAUGUCUUGGUUUACAAAUUGAGCAUUUGACAAACAGUAUCUUUGUCCAUCACUCUCUCUACUCCUUUUUCCUUCCAUACACGAUUGAAGUACCCCUUCAUUACUAAUUGUAGAGGAUUCAAACCCAUCACAUAGCAUAUUACCGCUAACUCCCAAAAAUUCACCUCCUCUUGAAUAUCUUCCAUCGUUAUUUUAACUGUAGUACUCGGCUCCUCAAGAUUAUCCAAUUCAAAUCCCUCUAUAUUUCGCCCUGCACUUACAAUUCACUCCAUUUGUUCUCACCAGAUUUCAGUGCCCGGGAGUCAUUAUGGUGUAUGAUUGGGUCUUCUUCAACCAUAUCCGACCAGCUCGCUUUGCCUGAGCUCUUUGAUUGUGAAGUCGUCGUAUCCACCAAAUUUGAGGUUUUGAUCAUAGAUGUACUGUGUGGUAACUGGAACGGCACUAUCCCUUGUAAUUCAUUCACAUUCUUCAUUUUUUUGCAUCUACUGAUUGUGGUACUUGCUUUGUAGUGUUGUUGGUGGACCGAUUUACUGUUUGGCUUUGUGAAUUCGUCCCUCCGAGCUUCGAUUUCUUUGCCAUUUUCAGUUUUCACUGAGAGAGACCGCCAUCUCUACAGAGAGAAUUUUUUGGCAGCUUGAAGGAGUACUUUCUUGAUUAACGAAUAGGAAAGGAUUUUGGAGUUCGAACUUCUAACCAUCACGAAGUUUUUUAUCCUCAUAUAUAACUGGUGUGACUACCUCCUAUUACAUUUUCUUCCCCCCCUUUUUUUUUUUGCAAAAAAGAACUAGUCAUAGUUACUCCAUUCAUUUCAAUUUUUGUCAAUAUGUUAUUGUUUAUGGAGUCAAAAAAGAAUUUUCUUAAACUACAUUUUCUUAUUUUUUAAAAAAAUAUUUUAAACUAGAGGAGGAUCUAGUUAAAUCGAUUCACAAGUUCUUGAAAACCCAAUAACUUUUAUAUUAACCCUAUAUUUAUCAUUAAAGAUUUAUUAAAUACAUAUAAAAUAUUUGUUGGAAACUUAUUAACAAAAUAGACCAGAAACAAUUGCUAACCUUUGACUACAGAUUCGAUUCUCCUUGGGAAUUAAUAAAUGUUCUUAAAAUAAUCUGAGAUUUUUGAGAAUUCAUAAAACUCAAAUCUUAUAUUUGUUUAUGAUGAGUAUAUGCUUUUAUAUAUGUUGUAGUAUUGAGUGAUUAUAUACCCCUUUCUCAAACAUCGAUAUCCAUAGCUCUUUCUUUCUUUUCUUUUUUUUUUGAAAACAAGAAAACUAAUGAAAGAAAUAAAUUAGUUUGGACUGAUUUAAGUCUAUUUUAGGUCCUAAUUGAACUAGACUUAAAAUGGAAAUAAUUAUCUCAAUAUAUGCUCUUGAUUUUCAAUAAUUUUCAAAUCAAUACUAAAUGCUUAACUGAGAAAAAGUAUCAUUAUAUAUAUAAAAGUUUGUAGAUACACAGAACUGUGAAUAUUUUCAAGUUUUCUCUACCCACGUGGAAUAUAUAUUGUUCAAACCAGACGACUUGAAGGCCACACAGAACAAUAGUGAGUCAUAGACUCCAAAAAAAAAAAAAAAACUAUCAUUUUUAUUUCAUUUAUUAUAAAGUUGUUUGGACACCCACUUGCUAUCUAGAGAAAAAACUAUACUCAUACAAAUAAAUAAUCAAAAUUUUUAUUAAGAGAGCUUGAAAAAUACAAAUAUAGUACUUAUUUGGAAUUUUAACUUGAAAUGUCAAGGUGAAACUUUUAUGGAGAGGAUUCGAAUGAACGCCUUCGCUCCCUAAAUCCAACCUUAUACAUAAUCACCAAGUCUUUUUUCCUUCUAGCAUGCAUCAUGUGUGUCAUCACUCCACCUGAUACUUCUAAAUCUAGCUAGGUACUCUUCCUUUAAUCAUCUAAUUAUUGCUUUCUCACAGCAAUAGGAAUUCUAACAAAAUGUUUGCCAUCACUCCAUGCCAAACUUCCAAAGGUAAAUUUACUUCUUCUUUGGUUAGUAGUUGUGAUCUUUACCUCAAAGGAAAUCUUGGUUGUCUUGGCAUUAAACUUCAACACAUCUGGAGUUACUUUAAUAGCAGUAUUUCUUGGAGGUUUAACCACUAAUUUGUAUAAAGAGUUAGCAUUUCCAACAUUGGUGACAGUUCUCUUGAUUGUAACUGAAUCCUUGAGAUUUGGAAUAGAUAUUGAAGGGAGAUUCAUAUCCAUCCUUGAAGGUACUUCUUUGGGACACACAAUGCCUGCUGAAGAAGAUGAUUUUUUCGCAUCGGAAUGAUACGUAGUUGCAUUGUAAAUCCUAUCAUUACUAUAACCCAUGCUGCAAAAAUAAUUCAAAUAAUCAUUUCUAUCCAUAUCAUAGAUUAAACCAGGAUCUGCUGCUCCAUUUGGAUUACAUAUGCCACCUCCAAAGUCAAAUGGAUCAGCAAGUUUUGCUCCAUUUCCUUCUGAAAAAAUUUCAGUUGCAUAUGUGUCCUCGUUCCAUGCUACACACAGAUGACAAACAAAUCCUUUCACAACACUUAACAGUGUAAAAGUGUAGAGUGUAAACCUUUGUGCACGAUGGGAUUAAUUAAAGGGACAAAUAACAUGUAAUUACUACUAAUAAGCUUAAUUUGGUAAAAAUCAACCUGUUAUAAUGGGAUAAAAUAUAUUAAUGGUGUAAAAACUUAAUAAAUGUAAGGUAAAUUAUUUUCUCAGUGAAACAAUUGGAAAGUCAUCAGUGAUUGUGUUCUUUUAUGUUAAAUUGAUGUAUAACAAUGAGAACUUUUCAUAUAGAAUUCGGUAAGGUAAGUUAGUAUACUAUAAUAAGUCGAAUUGUGCUAUUAAUGUAUAGAAUUUAAAUUUAUAAGAUAUUACCUGUUGUCACAAGUGCAGACUUGAUAGCUGCUGGAGACCAAUUAGGAUGUGCAGCUUUGAGGAGUGCAACAAUUCCUGAGACAUGAGGGGCUGACAUGGAUGUUCCUGACAUGAUGUUGAAUCCAUUGUAUCCUUUAAGAAGGUGAGGUGGAACUGCAGCGAGUAUAUUUACACCAGGAGCUGCAAUAUCGGGCUGUAA